CAAGCUCUGCCACGGCAUCUCCACCUCGUGCGCCACUUAGCUGACUGACGCACCUCCCAUUCCCGCGCGGCCCUUCUCCGCCCCAGAUCUCCUCUCUUCCUCACGCCGCCCGCCCAAGCCACCAUCAGUCCGCAUUCGCUGCUGUUGCUGUCUGCCAUCGUCACCACCAUACACAACCUCCUUGGCCGCUGCCGCUCUCUGCAAAUCUAGAUGAAAGCUCUCAAACGAAGUCAGACUUCGUCAUCUUCCAAUUCCAGAAUGAAAGAGUCAAGAAGAAAGGGACGCCAUUCUGGAUACGGUAAGCCACCAUCAUCCUUCAAAUUUCAGUUUUAUACAAGCUUUCGAAGCCUAUUUUAUUUUUCACGUUGUGGCUUGUAGCCAUUUCUCUGUUUGAGUUAUUCACUAAUUGGAAGUAUGUAUGCUUUGAAUGUCGAUAGGACUGGAGUUUCUUGUGUUUUGACAUAAUUUUGGGGCUGAAUAUAGCUUUAAUUGAGUAGAAAAUUAGUAAAAACUCUAAUGCCCUCAACCUGUUCGACGAAAUGCUUGGCUGAAAAUUUCUCAUUGAAAGAACAUUUGGUUGCAUUUUUUUUCGUGUGAAAGAGCCAGCUAGUUCAGCAGGUUCAUUUCUUUGCGCCUGAAAAUUUUUGAUGUGUUGAUAUCUUGCACCUUUUUCUGUUUUUCCGUUCCCUUAUGCUUCCCAUCGUAUGAAUUCGAAUUAAUGAUAGGAAAGGGAGUUUUGGUUUCUCGUUGUCUAUUACCAAAUUCUGGUAUGGCUUUGAUUGCAAAGAAAGUUGCGAUGGCAACUGAUGUUGAAUCAAUUCGGUGGAGAAGAUGAUCACUUGUCCAAAAUUGCAAUUUCAGUCCCUUUAUUCUCUUUGGCUUUGUGGUUUAAUCCAGAGUUGAGAACUUCCUAAUUUGAUUCCCAGAUUUCUAUAAUUUUUUUCGAUUGGGUCCUUAUUUGCAUUGCAUUGGAACCCCUCAAAUCCCCUCUUGUUCUGAUAUGACCCGGAAGAUUGGGAGGAGUGAACUUGUUUCUCCCUUUUAGAUUUUAAUCAUCUUUUAAUCUGCUUAAGUAGUCUUUCAGCUAGAUUAAUUCUUGUUUUUAGAUCAUAAUUGUGGCUUGAUUAUUUUAGUUGAUUUGCUAAUCUGGUUGGGUUUAGUUUUGAUUUAGGUUGUGGGCAAUAAUAUUUGUUUGGAUUCGUAAAAGUGGAUUUAAUUUGUUUUGUUUGGGUUUCUGGUUUGGGCUUAGGAGGUAAAGCCCACUCUUUUGGUUGGGUUUGUUUUAUGGGUUAAUUCCACUUUGUCCUCCCAAACUUUAGGCGAUUAUCCACUUAAGUCCCUAAACUUCAAAAUGGGAUACUUAAAUUCCAAAACUUAUAAAUACCUCCCACUUAAGUUCCUGAACUUAUAAAAUGGAACACUUAAAUCCCUAAAUCCUUAUAAAAUGGGACACUUCGACCACCAACAGCAUUCAGGAUUUGUUAACAAUUUUCCUUAAGUGGGAGGUAUUUAUAAGUUUAGGGAUUUAAGUGUCCCAUUUUGAAGUUUAGAGACUUAAGUGGGUAAUCGUCCAAAGUUUGGGGGACAAAGUGGAAUUAACCCUUGUUUUAUUGACUAGGAGAUUCGCGCGGUGUGAAAUUAAUAGGUAGUAUGCCCAGUGUAAAGCCCAUUAUAAUAGUUUUUUUAAAAACAAAAUAGAUAAUCCAUAAUUAGGAGUAAUGACUAAAAUAAGUUAUAAAACUAUAUUGGCCAAAUAUGUUGAAUCAAGGCCAACUAUAUUAAUCAAGAAUACAGUUAAAAAAAAACUUCUAUAAAUUAUUACAAGUUGUAUGCAUGAUUGGAUACUAAGUGUUUACUAACUAUGGCUCAAGCUUGCAUUUCUCAAUCUCUUUACAAUGCCGAAUAUCGUUUAAGAGUUUAUUUGUCCUCCUCUUCCCAGAGCUUAUUCGAAUAAUCUCCUACUGCCAUGUUUUUAUCCUGCACAAGAGGUAAUGCAAUUUUAUGUUUAAGCCAUAUGAAUUUUAUGUAUCAUUAAAGAUAUAAUCUAGACAGAGUCAUAAAUGAACUACUCUGAUGGAACUAAAAGGAAUAUAAUAUUACAGUAUAAAUUGAGUUAGAAUUGGCCCAGCAAGAAGCAAAUAAAAACUACUUUCUCCGCUAUAAAAUAUGCAAUUUGCUGGUAGCUAUGCUUGAUAUGCACAUGCAAUGGUGAUGACGUUCUUUAUUGCCAUGGCGUUGUAUGUGUCAAAAUCAACUGUAAAUUAAGCUCUUGUAUGCUGAAACCAAAACUUUACACAUUAGACAAAAUUAAGAAUGACACCAUGUAAAAAUAGGAACGAAAUAUGUGAUAAGUUUUGAAGCCAAAAAUAUUGAAAUUUGAGAAAUAAAAAUGAAAGAACUAACAUUUCCAUGGGAAACAAAUAUGAAAAAGAAAUUAUUGAUUAAGUAAAGAGGCCAAUCGAUCUCACAAUUAUUGAUCACUAUACCAGGGAAAGAUAAAUGAUAGCAAAUAGUAAAAUAGUUCAUAUCCACACUGUUUGUGGUUGCAAAACCAUACCUUGCUUCUUGAUAAGAAUUCAUGAGAAAAGUCUUGUAGUAGCCAGCCAACUCAAGCAGUUCAUCAACUUUCUCACUUUUCUUCCCAAAAUUUCAAAAGCAAAUUCAGUAAGCACUAUAUGAUUGAUAGCAACAAGUGAUUAUUCAAAAAACAACGAGUGAAGGAAAUGCAAAGGGAUUUAGAAAUUUGAGGGAUGAAAGCAAAUGAUCCUAAGAGGGUUCAGCACAUGCAGUCCUCAACCAAGAGACGUUGAAUUUAGGCGAAAACUUGCUAUUCAUCAAGAAUGACAGUAAUACCUAUACAUUAUUUGGAAACAAGCGCAAUCAAGUCAUCCAUGUGGUUUCCAUCAUUUGAUAGAAAGGCAAUGAGCGGACAGAAUGACUUGGAAUUCAAGAAAAAAUCAAGCUAACAAGAAUACUUAAAACCAAGAAAAAAUGUAAGCCACCGACCAACUUGAUAUGAACUAUUUAAACUAUCAAUGAAAUAGCAAGUUGAAGUUCCCAUGGAUUACAUCAUCUUCAUUAAGAAAAGGCAUAAGAUCAUUACAUGCAAUCUUGGACCAAUCAGUAAAGUCAAGAUCAACUGAAAGCUUUUAAUGCAGAAAUUAUUAAUACAAUUCCAUAAGGCUUCCACAAAUAUGCCUUUUUGAAAUAGAAACAGGGUUGCAAUGUAACAAUUCUUAGAUCUCGAUUAAAUUCGGAAUUUGUAUUAUAGGUCCAAUUAAAAACAAAAGCAAAAAUUUUUUUGGUCGAAUAAAUUGAGGAAUUUGUAUCAGUUAAGUUUCUUUAGAAAAAGUAACAAGUAACCGAGGAUAGCAUAAGGUAAAUAAGUACCUAUUUAACUCAAAUUCUGAACUACAUCAAUUCAAAAGAAAACCAUGACUUGCAUUCCGAAUCCAAAGCUAGUCCGAGGGUCUUGUAAAGGGUUUGACUUGGCAUCUGGACUGUUAUAUCCUUCAAUUUUAGUUUGUAAAGAACCACAUUGAUCAUCUUCCAGUAGCUCAAAGACAAUAGUGCCAGGCUAAUUGUGAUAUUUCCAUCACCACAUACCUCGACUAAUUUUUUCACCAUAAGGUGUCAGUUUAGAUUCUUUAUCCACUUCUUCACCUUGAAAUCCAUAAACAGCCUCCAAUGACUUACCCAAAAUCCAUCAAUAGUUGUGCAAAGAAUAAACUGCUAAAUAAAUUUGAAAAAAAAAAAAGAAAGCAAAGAGAGAACAAAAACACUGAAACAAUAACUCCUGCACAUACCUUGAAGGCUGAAAUAAGAAAAGUAGCCUCCUUAUUUCGUUCUUCCUUCAUCUAACAAAAAUUUAGUGUAAACAAGCGUCCGUCAAAUGAAGAAUAUAAUUAAAACAACCUCAUGGUAAUAACAUGAGAAUGAUUCAGAGAAAAUUAUUGAACUUAUUCUCCAUAUUCUUCAACAUUAUUAACAGUUGUAAAUGAAAUAUACAACCCACCAUUUUUUCCUUGCUUUUUUUUACAUUAAAAUAAAAGUCUAUAGUUACAUGAAGCAAGAUGAUAUGUAGAUUAAUAUCACAAGUUUUCCUAUCCUUUCUGAGUAAGACCCUUUUGAUUUCACAGCCCUUUCAAGAAUUCAAUAUUUUCAUUUAAUGGUUCACAAACCUUACAUGGUUUGAAAUUUAACUACUUCAACCAUUAACAGCCUAGAAUUUAACCCUAAGCAUUGAAUAAAUUAUAUAGAUAGCAUGCUUAGCAAAGCAAACAUGACAUUCUAGUCGUUAAUCAAACAAUUUUGAUCCAAAUCCAAGAAAAAAACCCCAAGAUGGAAUUCCACUCACCUAGACUAUAUGUCCAAAAAGCGCAUUAGCUGGCUGCAAAAAGAAAAAAAAUGACAAAAUCAUUACCAACUAACUAAGAGAGUUUAACAGAAACAGUCAAUCCACACCCUCUUACUUUGAAUUUUUUACUUAUAAAGAGUUAUUGGCAAUAUCAACUGGAAAACAAAAAUUUCUAUGAACAUGAAAAAAAGAAAGAAAUUAAACCAUUUCAUCUAAGGAAAUAAUCACAAGUUUCAAUGCAAAAAAGUGAAAGCAUAAAAUAUUGGAUCUUAAGUAAGGAUAAUUACUGAAUGUAGUUGCUUAAAAAGACUGACAACCUCUUAAUCAUGACUUACACUGGAAUUUUAGGAAAUACUUCAAUAAGAGGUAGAUGUCCUCUCCAUAGUCCAUUUCUUGAACAUCUAUCAAAGAGGAGUAAAGAUAGGAGAAGAUUACAGUUGACUUCGGGUAAAACGAAAGAAAAAAAAAUAGAAAAACAGAGAUCCUAAAAGUAUUUACUUGAGCAAAGAAUUCCAAUCAUUCAUACUUGGUAUCAAAUCCCUAUUCCUCAACCCGUAGCAAACAUAUAAAACUUAUUAGAGAAUAAAAUAAAAUUUAAUCAAGAGAAAAAAGUAUACAUAGAACAAGAGUGGAGAAGCCAGCAGUUUUCAGAGAGAAAGAAAGGAAGAUAAGAACAGAAGGACUUUUCAAAUAGAAACUUUGAGUUGGAGAGGAUUGAGAUAUGGAAAAUUAUUUGAUGGGAAUUGAUUAGUCUUGUAGCAUUGAGCCAAACUCCUCUAUUGCAGAUACAGGAAUUUGAGGGAAGGCCUCUGGUUUUGUAACUCCCAGUACUUUAACUCGCCAGCAAAGAGGAAAACAAUAACUUUUUGCACAGAAAGGAGAUGGGAGAAUUUUUUUUUACACAAAAGAUAGGAGAGAGAUGGCUCUGAGGUCUUUCUGUCAAUUUUUCUCAUAAAAAAUCUGAGGUAAGAUGACUCCAAAACACCUCUCCAAAAAUAGUUGGAUGUGUCAAAGAAGUGAUUGUAUUCUCAAAUUCUAGGAAGAAUUGUAUGCCAUUUAUCUCAAAGUAGAGGCAUCUUGUCCUCAUAUUUGAACAUAAAUGUGUUAUAUUUAGUACAAAUUAUCCAUCCAGUUAAAACAAAUUAGGAGUUCUACCAAAUUUUCUUCAAAAGUAACAUGCCCUUCCUUUAAGUUCUUUCCUGCAUAAAAAACUUCAACAUAAAUUGAAGGUCUGCAUCACAUUCACCUUUUUGAACCUAUCAAUUGGAAUACCGUCUUCAUGUUUGUCACAAAAUUUUCUGUUUAGGCUUAUCUCAAUUAAGUUCAUUUUUACAAGUAAAAAAACUAUCAUAUCAGGUUCAGUUUUCCAGACUUAAUCUUACUGAAAUGUUACAAAUCUAAGAGAAAAUAAUGUUUUGUAAAUAUAGACUUAAGUCAACCAAAACUGAUUUUCCUAAUAAGAAUUUCCAAGCUAUUAAACAUCGUAGUCCAUGAUUCAAGAGGCAAAACUACAAUUAUGUAGCAAUUUAAUUCUUUUUUUGAUCAAGGAAUAGAAAAUUUAAGGUGUUUUAUUAAAACAGUAACUUAUUAUUUCAAGCAGGUGCUUAGAAUAUAAUAUUUGAGAAUCCUCGUCUUGGACAAACCUUUAACCACCUACAAAUAGGAAAACCAUUUAGAUUGCCAUUGUAACAAAAAAAUAUAUUGCUCAAGAUACUCAGUUUAAUAUCCACUUAAGGUUCAUAAAACGAAUAUUCAAGAGGUUUUACCAAGAGACAAUUUAUGUACUAAAACAAAAAAUUUCAACACAAAGCAAUCAAAAGAAUAGCAUCACACGAUCUUUUGUAACUCAAAGUUUUGGCCAAUGACCAAUGUGACCUGGAAGUUCCUGAUUCUCAGAGAAGAAAUUUAUUCAUUCUUCAAAUGUUGAAAACCCAAUGAAGAAAAAGGAAUCGGAAGAACUGGAGCAAAUAGAAAGACAUUUUGAAGAUGAAGAAAUCUAUUUUAAACAAGUGAAUCUUUUUGUUACCAUAUGGAUUUCUUUUCUGAGCAAGAGAUCAACAAAACACCUGCACGAAAGACACCAAAAAAAUGACUAAAAAGAAAACUCAAACGAGGUUUGAAAAGACCAAAGGCCAAAGAAAAGUAUACCAUCAUUUGAGCUCUGAAAAGAGCAAUUUAAAGUAAAAAUUAAAUUAGAAUGAUAGACAAAGCUUACGUUUUUCCCCUCAGCAGUUGUCUUUCACGGGUGGCCAAUUUUCCUCCCUGUUGCAGAAGAAAUCCAAGAAAGGCAAAAACGGAAAGAAAAAUGGAACAAUAAAACACCAAGUAGGUACAAAAAAUAAAGUAAAUAAAUAUCUACAAGCCAGCUAAUCAUCAAUUAUUCACCAUCUCCGACCAUAUUAAAAGGUUUUUGUUGAAACUAAAAAUAAAAAUUUAAUGAUAAAACUGAAACGAAACAAAGACGUUAAUCAUGGAAAGAAAGGGAAGAAAAAUACCAUAUCUGUAUUCUACAAAUUCAUAUAGACAGUGGAGAUGAAAUAUUAACCUUUCACUUCCUCGUUGUUUCAGAAAAGGAUAAAAAAAAAAGAAGGGGGAAGAAUUGAUUGUUUUUAGCCAAGGAAAUAUCAGGCAAAAUGGCAGAGAAAUAGAAAAAAUCAGCUAUAAUUACUUGAGGUAUGGAGAGAGGGAGAUGAAGGAGAACAGGAGGGAGAAAUCGACAAAGGGAGGAGAGGAAGAUUACCAGUCGCUUUGCAUUCUUGAGCCCAUCGUCCAUCAACUCUGUCAGAAGAAAAAAAAUUUGGACCCCAAUUGAGAUUACAACCUGUUUCAAGUACAAUCAAAUGCCAGAAAUUCAGGGGAGAACUAUGGGUCUCACGAAGAUGGAAUUUUGUCUGGAGGAUAACAGCAAUACGGAUCGGUCUUCAAGAGUUCUUGACCUGACUGAUAGUUGUGCGUUUGACUGAGAGAGAGAGAAAAGCGGAAGAAAAAGGAUUGAAGAUCCAUCAGCAUACGAUGCCGUUUGAUUGAUCAAAAGUAAAAAGGGCAAAAACCCAUAAAUCCUCAAACCAUAUGCAAAAAAAAGUUCCAAAGGUAAAAAGUUCUUCAAUAUAAAAGACUUCCAAAGGUAAUAAGUAGAUCAACAAUUAAUCGCAAAAAAGUUGACAAAUAAUUGGGAUUUAUUUGGCAACCAAAAAAAGUGGUAAUAAUUGCAAAAAGCUAGUAAUUAAAUGUUAUUUGCUAGGCAAUAAAAAGUGACAAUUCACUUCCAAAAAAAAUUAUCAAUUGAUUGCAAAAGUUGGUAAUUAGAUGUGGUUCAUUUAGCAACAGAAAAAAAGUGUUAAUAAUUGCAAAAGCUAGCAAUUAAAUGUUAUUUAUUAGGCAAUAGAAAGUGAAAUUUAAUUAAUUAAUUAAUUAACAAUUAAUUGCAAAAAAUUGAUAAUUAAAUAUAAUUUGUUGUACAACCCAAAAUAAAAGAGGACAUUUUUUAUGACAUUUGAAAAAAAAUUUAUAAUUAAAUGCAUUUUUUGUGCAACCACAAAAAAAGAAGCCAAUUUUUUAAUAAUUCCAAACAACUGUUAUUAAACAUGAUUUGUUGGGUGACCAAAAACUUGACAUUAUUAAUUAGUUAUUAACAAUUAAUUGCAAAAAUUUGGUAAUUAGAUGUGAUUUGUUGGACAGCCAGAAAAAAAUUUGAUAAUUAAAGGUGGUUUUUGGGCAACCACAAAAAAGAAGUCAAUUUUUUGCUACUAAUUGCAAAAAAAUUGUUAAUUAAACGUGAUUGUUGUAUGACAAAAAACAGACAUUAAAUUUAUUAACAAUUAAUGCAAAAAUGGUAAUUAGAUGUGAUUUGAUGGACAACAAAAAAAAGGAAUCCAAAAUUUUUGUUAAUGUGAUUUGUUGGAUAAAAAAGAAAGAAGCAAAAUUUUAGCACAAUCCUACAUGCAAUUAGAGGACUACCACUUUUCAUCCAAUCAAAACUCGCCACAUCACCAUCUUCAUAUGCAAUUGGGAGGACUACCACCAAUCGCGAAUCAGAGGAUGACAACUCAUCAAAUUGGAAUCAAUUGGAGGACUACCACCAAUCAACCAAUGGGAGAGCGCCACGUCAGCAAUUAGGUUCAAUUUGGGCAAUUGCAUUCACACAUUUACUAUAUAUGUUAAUAAGUAGAGGCCCAUAUGUAGUCUCUGGGCUUUGCGGCAGGCUGAAGGGAUCUUUGGCCCAAAAAUAGACAAAAGUUGGCCCAGUGGCCUUGUCACUUAAGAGACCAGAAACGAAAUUGCAAAUCAGCCCCUGCAUUUUUCCUUAACUAUACUGUGGCCCUGGAAGCUUUCCAUUUCUUUCAAUUGGGUCCCUAACUUAAUUGCAAAUAGGCCUUUAAACUUUAUUUUCUUUAACUUUGACCCCAAAGCUUUGUUAUUUUUUGCAAUCAAGUCCUUUCUUCUUUUGGCUUCUUAGAUGUUGGGUUGCCUAUAUGAUUUAAUUGAUUUAAUUUCAUGUUUAUUUUUAUCUUUUGUGAUUACUUAUUAAUUAAAGUGGUGCCUUGACCCUUUCUUUGUUUUUGGAGGGUAAAUAAGUAGUUUUUGGAGGGCUCCAAUUCAAGGGAGGUACACCCUAUCCCUUAUUUCUUACUUUAUUUGACUCUAUGUGCCCUACGUGACUUUACGUGUUUAAUUGCAUGCUCUUGAAUGUUGUUAUUUAUUUAUUCAUUUCGCUUAUUGGCUUUAGUUUUUAUAUAUUUGAAAGGCAAUUUCAUGCCAAGAUUGUAAUAGUUAGGUUAGUAUAUCAUUUUACUUAAUUCAUUCCCCUUUAGAUUGUAGUAGGGCUCCCCAAAUGUAAUAGUUAGGGCUUUAUUUGCUUCAUUGAGUAUUGUGUGAUUUACAUGCUUACGUGCUAUGUGUUACCGCCUUCUUAGGGUCUUGCAUCUAGAUAUUAUGCUCACGUGCUAUGUGCUAUAUGUGGUUUAGGUGUUUACUUGCUUUAUCAUGUUUUAUGUGAUUAUGAAUAAAUGAAUGACGUCACCACACUAGUCCAACGCUAGUUGUGGUACCUUUUCUCAAAUUUCUCACUAGUCCAACGCUAGUUGAGACCCUUUUUUUUCCGAUUUCUCGCUAGUCCAAUGCUAGUGAGUACUCAUAAAUAAAGGGUUAGUCCAACGCUAGACCUAAUAGGGCCGCCCCUCGUUAGUACAUAUUCGCAUGCCCUCAAUACAUCCUCAUUCAUUUUUUUCUUUUUAGUUUUACACUUUUGCAUGACCCUUCACUCCCUUUCCCUUGCACAUUUAGGAUUGCAUUUUCAUUUAGAUUAGCUCAUUUGCUGUAUAGGUUAGGGAGUUACCCUUUUGGUAAGGGGGAUGACGAGUUUGGCUACACAUAGCCUUAGCACGCUCAUUCUUUUCUAACCAAAAGGAAAAUUAAAAGUCACGACUUAGGGUCUCCCCGUACCCAUUUUGCAUUCCUCUAGGGCUCAUACAUUUUAUUUUGUACAUGAUCACUUUCCACAUUUUCACUUCACACAACUCUUAUUUUGCACAUUUUCACUUUACCACUUAUACUAUUACUAUCACUUGCACACAUGCACUUCAUACUAUCACUUUACAUACCUCACCUUGCACACCCAUUUGUACAACUUCCACUCACACACUAUUGUCUUUUAUUACUUUUUUUUUUUACUUCACAAACUCAUGUUUUUCACAUUGCAUACAUUCAUUUCACUCAUUCUUACAUCAUUAGCAUUAUUCGUGACCUCUUGGAGGGCUUAUCCUUGACUAUCACGACUCAUGUGAUUAGUUCAAUCGAGCCUCUAAGAGAUAUUUGUCCCAUUCGAUUCAUCACUAGAUUUAGGAUUGCAUCCAUGUUAGUUACAUCCACAUGCGAUACAUCUUUGGAUUAAAAAUAAAGAAAAUUUUUGACUAAAUCGCGCAACUAGCCUUGGCUAGGUUGAAAGGGUGUCUCGGAUUCUUAUCCUUGCCUUCCCUUUCUUCAAAUGUGACUCCCGAAUCUUUUUCUCUGAUUUUUGUAGACUUGGAAUCGUUUAAAAAGGUUUUCUACUUAAUUUUCUUUAAAAAUUCAUUUUUAGGUGACUUGAUACACCUUAACUCUAUACCAAGUGGCGACUUCAUUUUUUCAUUCAAAACUCUUUUUAAACUAUAUUUUGGGUCGAAUCGUUGCAUUCGCAAGUCCCAUUUAGACCCACAUGUUUUUUUCAUUUUUUCUUUUUAAAUCAAAAAAUCAUUUUGCUAAACUAAUUUAUUUUUCUUUCAAAAAAUGGGCGCCGACAAUAAGGAGUGUUUUGGCAUAAAUUUUAUGAUUUUUGGGUGAAGAUUUGAGUGUUUUAAAAAAUAAAAACUGGACUGACUUUUUGCUUUUCGGCCACCUUCGAGUCAUCUUUUGUAAAAAUUAACUUCGGAAAUGGAACCUACGGGAAAAAUGGAGUGGGGAGGUGCAUUUUGAGAAAUUUUGGUAACCGGAGAGGACGCCGGCGGUGGCGGUCUGGUGGCAGCGGCGCCACCGGUGGCCAACUGAAGUGAGCUUCGGAUGGCCAGAGGAGAAGAAGAAACGAAUGGGGAAGAAAGAAAGAAAGGAAAGAAAGAAAAGAAGAAGAAAAAAGGAAAAGAAUUGGGUUAAUUUUUUAGUAGGCUUGAGUUUAUUUUUUUGGUUGGAUUUUGGGAAUGGAUCCUUGUUUAUUUCUUUUGGGUUUCGGUGGGUUAGGAGGUUGGAACCCAUGUUUUUUUGGUCGGUCUUGAGUGAUAACAAGACGGGCUGGCAUGUGUGUUUUGGUUUGGACUUUCGGUUGGGUUUAGGCAGUUUUCGGCCCGAAGAAAUAAAUAAUGGCCCAAUAGCCUAUUUUCUUAAGAAGAUCUGAUUACGAUUUGCACUUUGGCCCUUGAUCUUUGGAGCAGUUUUAUUGUGGCCCAAAACAUUUUAAAUUCCUUUCACCUAGGUCCUUAAAUUAAUUGCACUUUAGUCCCUGAAUUUUAUCUUUCAUUUAAUUUCGACCUCUGAACUUUGGAAAAUAUAAUUUUUUUCCCCAAAAGUUUUUCAAAUUUUACAAUUCAGUCCCUGAUGAAUUUUGACUCUCUUUAUUAUGAUUGCUUCUUUUCUUUAAUAGCUGAUUAUGUUACUUUUGAGUAUGUUUAACUUGUAAUUUUUAGAUAUUCUUAAAUUUAUUUACGUUUGACAUAUUAAGGUGAAUUUUCAUUAUAAUUAUUACUUUUUCAAUUAAAUUGGUGCCAUGAUUCUUUUGUUCAUUUUGAAUAUAAAUAGGGCAAUUUGACUCCGUUUAGUCACCACUUCAAAAGGGAGGUACCCCAUUAUUAUUAUUUCAAUGUCAAUUAUGUGUUCUUAUGUGCUCCUACGUGUUCCUAUGUGUUUAUAUAUUUUCAUAUGUUUUGUUUAUUUGAUUUACAUGUUCAUUCGAAUUUUCUUAUAUUUGUUUAGUUAAUUCUUAUAAUUAUUCGAGAGGCAUUUAAUUACCUCAUAAAUGUAAUAGAUAGGAUAAUUAGAUUUGUUUUUAUUAUAUUUUUCCUUUUUAGAUUGUAGUUAAGUCCCCUGUUGUAAUAGAUAGGGUAGAUAGGAUUUUCUUUAUUUUUCCAUUUUAGAUUGUAGUUAGGCUCCCCGAUGUAAUAGAUAGGUUGUGUGUUUAUGUGGCUUACGUGUUAUAUGUUUUACCCGCUUUCCUUAGGAUUUUUGCCUCUAGAUAUUGUGUUUACGUGUUAUGUGCUACGUGUUCUUAUGUGUUUAUUCGUUUUAAUUUAUGCUUUAUUUGUUUUACUAUGUAUUAUUAAUACAUGACGUCACCACACUAGUCCAACGCUAGUUGUGGCUUCUCCUCUAUUUACUUGCUAGUCCAACGCUAGUAAGAAUUUUUAGAAAUGGGCUAGUCCAAUGCUAGACCCUUUAGGCCGUCCUGCGCUAGAUUCAUCUUUGUGUGAUAAUUCACUACAUUUUCAUGCAUAUUUUCAUUUUUAAGAUCUUUUCUCAUUUGCAUGAUAUUCCCUAUUAUAUUAUCCCCUAUCCUCUAUAUGUGUUAAUCAUAUCACUUAGAAUUGCAUUUCAUUUAAGAAAUUGUAUGAUAAGUAGGUUCAUUUGCUUGUUCAUAUUAGGAGAAUUAUUUUUCAAACAUGAAAAAUGGGUGAUUAUAACUUUUUAGUUUAAAUACCCCAUUAAUCCCUGUAUAAGAAAAUUAUGUCACGAGUUUUUGCCUCCCAUAUCCUUUAUGUUGCAUUCCUUUUUCUUUGAUCACUUAUAUCUAUGUAUAUAAUUUAAUUUCUUUUCUUUACUUUCUUUUUUUCAUCAUUUGCAUACUCGUGACCCUUUCAAGAAAGUAUUUUGGCCUUCGCAAUUAAUGCGAUUGUUUUAAUUAAACCUUUGAAUGGAUAUUUUGUCUCUUUCGAUAUUUUAUUUGCAUCCAUGUAGAAAACAUCCAAAUGUGAUAAAUUUAAGGGUUAGAUUAAGAAAAUUUUGACUAAAUCACGCAACUAGUUUAGAUUAGGUUGAAAUGGUGCCUUAGGUUUGAGAUAAUUGAACCUUUUCCUUCCCUUUCUUCAACCGUAACUCCCAAAUUCAUUUUCUCUAUUUUCAAAGAUCUGGAGUUGUCGAAAAGGAUUUUAUUUUAUUUUACUUUAUUUUUUGAGUGACUUGGUACACAAAAACUCUAUACCAAGUGGCGACUCCUAUUUUUUUCUUGAAAACCCUUUUAGACAAAUUUUUGGACCUAAAUUAUCACAUUCUUUUUAAGUCCCAUUCUAGGUCCUUUUCAUUUAUUAUUAAUAAAUCACAUCUUUUUAUAAACACUUUAUUUUUCAUCGUGAAAAAUAGGGUGCGACAACUUAGCGACUCCUCUGGGGACGCUAGAGAGUCCAAGCACUUGAUUUAGUUGUCUUUUCUCUUUUUAACACUUUUUUUUUUAUAAAAUUUGGAUGUUUUAGGUUGCAUUUUUCUUUUUUAGAAUGUUUUGCAUUUCACACUCGUAUUCGUUCCUCAUAUUUCGUGUAUGUGAUGAAUGGUUUAUUUAUUUACUUAUUCGUAUCGCGCUUUGCAUUUGGGAUAGGGAAUAUUACCUUAGAGCCUUCACGUGCAUUUAAUGUUAAUCCCUUCCCUCAAAAGGAAGCACCUCAUACGUGCAUGCAUUGUUUUUUACCCUAUUUUUAUUUUCUCGUGGGCGCCAUCCCACAUUUCCUUGUAGGAUUAGAAUCGAUUUCUUUAGGUAUGCGGAUGGUGUGCGCUGUGCCCAUAGUGGUACCUAAGGGAUCACUCAAGCCACCGAUCGAAGGCCUUAGGAUUGUUGACCCUCCGCCCUUUUGUCUGAAGGCUUGGGAGCCUGAACUUUUUCGAGUCUAAAUGCAUUAGUAAGUCAAACCUCAUGCAUCCAUGAUAGAAAUUGCCCAGGUUAGAGUCAACCUACCCAAUUAGGAACACUAGGCACGGGGGAGGGAUUACACUCCUCUUUCUUUAAUUGCCUUUUAUUUUUCAUAUAUUCUUGUUUGCUCCAAUGUGUUAUAUGUCAUAUAUCAUUUGAUCUAACCUCUCCUUGUUUUCUCCUCCACUGCAUUCAUAAGUCUUAGAAAAUAAGAGUCCUGGCAUGGUACUUUCUAGGGUUUUACCCUAUUUGAUGUUACACGUUUAAAUUCAGUGUUUCGCAUUUGCAGCAUGAAUACAUUUCAUUUUAGCCUCACCCCGGCAUACAAAAAAGAGAGUUCCUUUAGGACACGUUUCAUUGGUGUACUGCAUAUUUAGUUGCUUUGAUAAACUGGCAUCAUGCAUCUACCUUAGAAGGGAAUGCCAUCUAGGGAAUCCCGUGUUAGGGACAAGCCGCCCAAUGUUUCGGAUAUAUAAUCCAAUGAGACUUGCACGUUUAUAUUUCAUGUACCAUCCAAAGGGGUAGUGCACGAGAUAAGGUAGGAUCCGAUCUUUUCAACAAACGGCAAAACAAUUUUUGCACAUUAGAAUAUGGGCAUCUAACAAUCAUCUUUUGGCCAUUUUAAACAAAAUUGGUAAAAAAAUUCCCUUGCGUAAAGGACAUUAAUUUGAAGAAAUUCACAAAUAAUUUCUCAUUAUUGAGACAAUAAAUGUAGAGGCCAAAUCUUGAUUUUAGGAGGCUCAUAGACUAAUGCAUUGCAAUAAUUUUUUGAAACUACCAAUGGUAAUUAAUUCAAUCGAUUUUUGAAUAAACCAUCAAUUUCAUCCAAUCCAUCUUGUCAAUUCAUUCAAUUUUAGGACAAUCUAAUCAUUUUUGAAUAAAUUAUUAACUCCAUUUCAUUCAUUUGGCCAAUUUACCCAUUUUUAGGGCAAUCGAGUCAUCAUCAAUUUCAUUCAAUUCAGUUGAUCAAUCUACCUAUUUUUAGUGCAAUUCGGUCGAUUUUGAAUAAAUCAUCAAUUUCAUCAUAUCCAUUUGACCUGUUUAUUCCCUUUAGGGUUUAAGUCUAAGGUUUACUGAAUAAAUUAGUCAAAACAUUGCAAUCCUGUCAAGAGUAGGUUCUUUCUCACAUCAUUUUAUGUGUCGAUCAAAACAAGCAAUCCAUUCGGACUUCGUCCUCAUUUUUUUUAGGACAAACGUCUCUUCUCACUCUAAUUUUACCUAAUCAGUUGAUCGGAUUCAUCAGGUAUUGUAUGGUGCCUACCCUAGAGGAUUGCAUUUUCAUACUAGGCCUACCUUUGGCAUAAAAGGGUUCCCCCAUAGGACAUGCAUACCGAUUUUAUAGUCUUACUUACUAAUUCAGGAUAUUUUUCUUUUUGUUUUUCCCCCUCUCCUGCAUUCAACAAAAAUGCUUUAAUAAUGCUUUAAUAAAGUGAAAAUAUUUUUCUAUGUUUGAUAAAAUUUGAAAAUUACAAGUAUUACUUGAUUCUUAGGCAGACCUUGCAAAAAAAACAUGAAAAAUCUAUUUGGAAGCGUUAGGCUAAAGCCUCUAAGAGAUUUCAUAAUUGUUUUCAAAGAAAAAUUCUGUAUAUUUGACGUGUUAAUAUUUUUGUUCCAAAAGAAAAUGAGACAAAAGUGUAUAUAUGUAGAGCUCUUUAGAAGUUUUCUCUUCUCAUUUGUAUUAUAAUUGAACGAGAAAUUUUGUUUUAAACUUUUUCAGCAAUAAAGUUUUGGACACUUAUUGUUUUGUGUAUAUUCAUGUAUAUUUUAUUCUUUAUAUUUGCUCAUUGGAGAUUUCAUGAUGAAUUUUAAGAAAUAAGACCAAAUUGAGAUUUUUUCAACCUUUAGCCUGAAAAUUUACAAGUGUAUGCUUUCUAAAAUCUUUGCGUACACUAGAUUGGUGAUCCGAACUGUACAAUAAGUAAGAGUGCUCAAAAUUAAAAGAGGUCACUCGAAAGGCCCAAUGAGAUACUUUUUUUUCCUUCACUGUACAAUUCAUAUUUUUACCCACCUCUAUUAGCCCCAAGAUAAAAUCAGUCACAUUGAUUGAUAAAUUGUAAAUUGGGCAAUCUUUGCUUGAAAAUGUCCACUGUGUCUAAUUAUAUGCAAUUCACAUCUAAGUGAAAGCAAAAAUGUGCAUUAUUCUUGUUUGUUUUGAAAAUUUGAAUGAUACUUCAAGCGUUCGUUUCUCUACCUAUACAGAUUUUAUCAUUUGCUCUCUCAUUUGAACCUUUGAAAGAAUAAUUUCGUUUCAAAUAAGAGCCUUAAUGAUCACUACCCUACAUUGAAAAAUGCUUAGAUAUCAAGAAAAGAGUAGAUUUUCAAUGACCAUUUUGUUACUUUGGUUAUCAUGAAGUGUAAGAAUGAUACUUUGGCCAUCAUUUCUAUAACCUAAACACCAUUUAUCCCUUGCAUCCUUAUUUGAUCUAAAAUGGGUGUUCUUUUCAAAACACCUAUGAUCGCACCCACAUUGGGAAAGGAGAUUGGAAAAUUUUCCAAAAAGCAAAAUGCUAAAAUUUAAAAAAAAGAGAUAGAGAACCCCAAGUGGGGAAAAUUUGAUUCUACUAUCGAUAUCUGGGAUUCAAUUUUGAAAAAGAAAAAAAAAGAAAAGGGAAGGUUUUUUCCGGCGGAUCACUUAUGUUUCACAGAUAUGGAUGAACAAGGGUCUUCCUCAGUCAGUUAAUUCAGAUACAUGCAAGAAAUUUCGCAUUAAUGAAAGUUUCCUUUCAGACUUAUUGUAGGGAACGAAAUAAAAAGUUAGGCCUUCUUCUUUUCCAAUCAAACAUUCUAUCGCUAGUUAUCCCUUUUGACCCUUCAGAAAAAAUACUUCGUUUGACGACCCCUGAGGAUCGCAAACCCUACAAUGGGGCAAGUUUGAGUUGAAAGGAAAAAAAAGUCUCAAGAGGUGAAAAGUGCUAAAACAACAAAGGCAAAAGGAAAAAAAGAAGAAAAGAGAACCUCGGUUAAAUAUAAACUGGGUAAAUUUUGAAAUUUUUAAAGGAAUGGCAGAAGGCCGAAGAAGAAAAAUCAAUCGAAGAAAAAAAGAACAAAAUGAAAGAGAAAAGAGCCUCAAUUGACAAUAAACUGGGGCAAGUUCUGAUUUAACCCUAAAAGAGGGUUGAUACAAUAAUGCGAUCUCAGAUAAUUUAAACCACUUUUGAAAAUCCGCUUUCAAGCCUUAACUUUUCUAAGCACCCCACCAGACCCCAUUAUAAAAGCCGAAAGUCCUGACUUCUGUUCUUUGCAAUAUCUCUGUCAAGAAACUUUCUAAUUAAUUGGCAAGUGAUGCGCGUAUACUGAUGCCAGGAAAUUGUUUAGAUGUAUUUCUGAAUUGAUUAGCUGUGAAGUUGACAGUACUCAUCAUCUGAAAAUCCGCCAGUGCACCUUUUAAAAGAAAAGAAAAAAGCAAAAAUAAAUGCAAAGAAAAUGCAAAAAGAUUCGAUGCUGAAAGUCCCUAUUGAGUGAUUAAAAAAGUCAAACAAAGGUCAAGAUCUUUGAGUCCAAAUUGGGGUAAUUUUUUGAAAAAUGCGAUCUUCAGUGCAAUGUUCUUAAAAUCUUAUCUCUUUAACUAUCGUUUUCAAGCCACAUUACAAACUCAUAAAAUCCAUCGUUGACUUAUCUUUCAUGACAACUCGAAGUAAGAAUUAUGCUUCUGAGGAAUCCCUCAAUCAUUCGGGAUCAUAAGGUUAUAGCCUGUUGUCACAUGUUUAGCUAUCGUUUCUACCCAUAUGUUACAAGUUUAUAAAGCUUAUAUGUUGACUAAGUUUUCUUAAGGAAGAAGGGUGACAAACUCUUUGCUUUCACUAAGAUGUGAUGUUGAAUGGAUUACAUACAAUUUUGGGCACAAGAACAAGACAAAUCUUGACUUCUCAUUUUUCUUAGCCACCUCAAAAUCAGAAAUAAGAUCACUUGAUUGGUCCUGAAAGACGAGCUAACAAGAAGUGGUGACACAUUACUCUCAGCAUCGAUGCUAAGGUGAGGAAGAAAUCUUCUAUAAUUUGGAAUUAUUUCGAGAGAUUCAUCAUGAAAUUUUUCGUUAGGAAACAUAGUUUAUUACUUUUUGUUCAAACAAAUGGAGAGUCAUCCAAACAAAUUUUUGCAAUUAAAUGGGCCCACAUUGGGGCAAAUUUUUAUUGUGAGAUUUCAUAAAAUAAGCCCACACUGGGGCAAAAUUUUUAAUACACCUGGGAAUUUCGUCCGAGAGUCAAAUAAUAUACUUUCGAAUCAAUCACGCUGCUCUUUUCAUGAGUAGUAAGUGCAUCAAUUUAAGUGCAUAGUGUACUUGGAUAAGCCCCCUACAAGUAUUAAUGGUUGAAAUCGAUGAUAUAGCAUUUGGUGAUGUGGAAGGCCGAUACCGAAAAGAGAAGAAAGAGGAAACAGGAAAAGGGCCCGACACUGGGGCAAAUUUUUUUUGCCAAGAUUCUCUCAAUCAGGGAAAAUCAGGAAAAAUCCGAAAAAGAACAAACAAUUGAAAAAAAAAAAGAUCCCAAAAAAUCAAUCAAAAAUUAGAAAAAUCAGAAAAAGCAAAAAUUGAAAGAUUAUCAUGGCAGGCUCGGGUUUAAUCCCACUGACCAAUUCUCACGACAGGCUCGGGUUUAAUUCCACUAACCAAUGCAUCACACUGGGCAAAUUUUUGGAUAAUUUUCCAGAUAAGUCUUAUACAGUUUCUUCAUACAUACCAGCAUUUCAUUUUUGCAACGCCACUAGCAGUUGGAUCAGUCCCACUAGUGAGCACUUCAUUUUUUGUUCGGGUCAGUCCCAUGAUUUAAAGCUUGUUCGGGUCAGUCCCAUGAUUUAAAUUUUGUUCGGAUCAGUCCCAUGAUUUAAAGCUUGUUUGGGUCAGCCCCAUGAUUAAAAGUUUGUUCGGGUCAGCCCCAUGAUUAAAUGUUUGUUCGGGUCAGUCCUAUGAUUUAAAUUUUGUUCGGGUCAGUCCCAUAAUUUAAAAUGUUAUUCGGGUCAGUCCCAUGAUUUAAAAGUUUGUUCGGGUCAGUCCCAUAAUUUAAAUUUUGUUCAGAUCAGUCCUAUGAUUUAAAAUUUUGUUCCGAUCAGUCCCAUGAUUUAAAUUUUGUUCAGGUCAGUCCUAUGAUUUAAAUUUUGUUCGGGUCAGUCCCAUGUUUAAUUUCUAGUUCCGGUCAAUCCCAAGUUUAAAUUCUGAUUCGGGUCAGUCCCAUGUUUAAUUUCUAGUUCGGGUCAGUCCCAAGUUUAAAUUCUGGUUCGGAUCAGUCCCAUCUUUAAUUUCUAGUUCGGGUCAGUCCCAUGAUUUAAUUUCCUGUUCGGGUCAAUCCCAUAUUUAAAUUCUAGUUCGGGUCGGUCCCAUGUUUAAUUUUUGGUUCGGGUCAGUUCCACGUUUAAUUUCUCGUUCGGUUCAGUCCAAUGUUUAAUUUCCUUUUCGGGUCAGUCCCAUGUUUAAUUUCUCGUUCGGGUCAGUCCCAUGUUUAAUUUCCUGUUCGGUCAGUCCCAUGUUUAAUUUCUUGUUCGAAUCAGUCCCAUAAUAAAUUCUCGUUCGGGUUAGUCCCAUAUUUAAAAUUUCUCGUUUGGAUCAGUCCCAUGUUUAAAUUCUUGUUCGAGCCAGUCUCAUUUUAAAUUUCUUAUUUGGGUCAGUCCCAUGUUAAAUUUCUGAUUCGGGUCAGUCCCGUUUUAAAUUUUUUGUUUGAGUCAGUCCAUUUUAAAAUUUUGGGGUCAGUCCUCAUUUCAAAAGCGUCAGUCGUUCGAAUAGCUUGCAUUGUUUGAACUACGUUUGAUCUGAUUUCCAUGGCGGGAUACGUAGGCAACUCUACAUGAGGUCGGUCACGUUUUUGUAAUUUCAUUGCAUCAUUUUGUCCAAUAAUUUCAACCAAGUGUUGGCUUGUUUGUUUUAACUCAUGUGCAGCUAGAAGAGACAGGUAAGUAAUUUGGUGUCUACGUCUAUGUCUUCAAUUUCUUUGAAACUCUAGACAAAGAGGGGCAAGCUGUAGACACCAAAUUUUUGUCAAUUUUCAGUGUUUUCUUGAAUUUUUUUUCUAUUUAAUGAAUUAUUUAUUUUCUUGCAUUUUAAUGUGCAUUUUUCUCAUUUUUUGCAGGUUUGUUUAAAAAAAAAAGAGAAGAAAGAAAAAAACAAAACACAAAAAAAAAAACAGAACAACAAAAACUAAAAAAAAGAGGAAAAUUAAGAAAAUAAAAAAAAUCAUUCUAAUCAUUUUUUUUAUACCAAAAUACAUUUAACCCAUUUCACAUUCAAUGGCCAUGGACUUGUCUUUUCAUUAGUUGAGAAAUCAUCAUUUUGGAAAAUUCAACACACAAGCUCCAUUUUGGCUACAAGUCCCUCUCGGCUUUCUCUUGAAAAAAAAGGAGAAAAAAAAACACACAAAAAUAAAGGGGAGGCUCUUGGCUCUCUCUCUGGUCUCGACCAAAAAGAAGGAGAGAAGCCACAAAAGAAAAAUUUUCCCUCCCUCUCUCGGCGGACUCAAAACGGACAGAAAAAAAAAAGAAGAAAGGGGGACACUCUCUCGGCCUUUUCUUUUGCUCUGAACAAAACCAAGACUUCAAAUUUUUUUUCCCUCUCAAUACAUCUCUCGGACCUCCUCUCUCCCAAUAUUUCCACAACACCCUUGCAGACAACAAAAAGGGAGGCAGCGACUGGUUGGGCUAUUGGAGUUUGGCAAUCUCAUCAAAAACUUUGGCCAAGGGACCAAGGUCUUCAUUGAGGUAUUUCUUGCUUUCCUUUUUUCCAGCCUUUUUUUUUAUUUAACUAGAUUAAAUGUAUGUGUGAUUGUUUGUGUGUUGUUUUAUUUUGCUGGUUUUGUUGUUAUUGUAUCGGUGAAAUUUUGGGAAGAUCAUAAACCAGAUUUAGGAAAAGGAAAUGUUUCUUGUGAAUGCAUGUUAAUUGUUUGAAAAAAUGCCAAAAUGAAAAAAAUGAAUUUUAGGGAUUGUUUUGCCUUAAUGUAGUCUUUUGUUUGUUGUUUUCUUGUUAGCUAAGAUUAUAGUUGUAAAUGUGGAGAUUAUAAGGAGUGUUUUGGCAUAAAUUUUAUGAUUUUUGGGUGAAGAUUUGAGUGUUUUAAAAAAUAAAAAAUUGGACUGACUUUUUGCUUUUCGACCACCUUCGGGUCAUUUUUGUAAAAAUUAACUCCGAAAAUGGAACUUACGUGAAAAAUGGAGUGGGGAAGUGCAUUUUGAGAAAUUUUGGUAAUGGAGAGGUCGCCGGCGGUGGCGGUCCGGUGGCAGCGGCGCCACCAUGGCCGCCACUGAAGUGAGCUUUGGAUGGCCAGAGGAGAAGAAGAAAGGAAUGGGGAAGAAAGAAAAGAAAGGAAAGAAAAGAAAGGAAAGAAAAGAAAAGGAAAAGAAUUGGGUUAAUUUUUUAGUAGGCUUGAGUUUAUUUUUUUGGUUGGGUUUUGGGAAUGGAACCUUGUUUAUUUCUUUUGGGUUUCGGUUGGGCUAAGAGGUUGGAACCCAUGUAUUUUUUGGUCGGUCUUGAGUGAUAACAAGACGGGCUGGCCUGUGUUUUUGGUUUGGACUUUCGGUUGGGCUAAGGCAGUUUUCGGCCCGAAGAAAUAAAUAAUGGCCCAGUGGCCUGUUUUCUUAAGAAAAUCUGAUUACGAUUUGCACUUUGGCCCUUGAUCUUUGGAGCAGUUUUAUUGUGGCCCAAAAUAUUUUAAAUUCCUUUCACCUAGGUCCUUAAAUUAAUUGCUCUUUGGUCCCUAAAUUUUAUCUUUCAUUUAAUUUCGGCCUCUGAACUUUGGAAAAUAUAAUUUUUGUCCCCAAAGGUUUUUUCAAAUUUUGCAAUUCAGUCCCUGAUGAAUUUUGACUCUCUUUAUUAUGAUUGCUUCUUUUCUUUAAUAGUUAAUUAUGUUACUUUUGAGUAUUUUAACGUGUAAUUUUUAGAUAUUCUUAAAUUUAUUUACGUUUGACAUAUUAAGGUGAAUUUUCAUUAUUAUUAUUACUUUUUCAAUUAAAUUGGUGCCAUGAUUCUUUUGUUCAUUUUGAGUAUAAAUAGGGCAAUUUGACUCCGUUUAGUCACCACUUCAAAAGGGAGGUACCCCAUUAUUAUUAUUUUAAUGUCAAUUACGUGCUCUUAUGUACUCCUACGUGUUCCUAUGUGUUUAUAUAUUUUCAUACGUUUUGUUUAUUUUAUUUACAUGUUCAUUCGAAUUUUCUUAUAUUUGUUUAGUUAAUUCUUAUAAUUAUUCGAGAGGCAUUUAAUUACCUCAUAAAUGUAAUAGAUAGGAUAAUUAGAUUUGUUUUUAUUAUAUUUUUCCUUUUUAGAUUGUAGUUAAGUCCCCUGUUGUAAUAGAUAGGGUAGAUAGGAUUUUCUUUAUUUUCCCAUUUUAGAUUGUAGUUAGGCUCCCCGAUGUAAUAGAUUGGUUGUGUGUUUAUGUGGCUUACGUGUUAUAUGUUUUACCCCUUUCCUUAGAAUUUUUGCCUCUAGAUAUUAUGCUUACUUGUUAUGUGCUACGUGCUCUUAUGUGUUUAUUUGUUUUAAUUUAUGUUUUAUUUGUUUUACUAUGUACUAUUAAUGGAUGACGUCACCACACUAGUCCAACGCUAGUUGUGGCUUCUCCCUCUAUUUACUUGCUAGUCCAAUGCUAGUAAGAAUUUUUAGAAAUGGGAUAGUCCAAUGCUAGACCCUUUAGGCCGUCCUGCGCUAGAUUCAUCUUUGUGUGAUAAUUCACUACAUUUUCAUGCAUAUUUUCAUUUUUAUGAUCUUUUUUCAUUUGCAUGAUAUUCCCUAUUAUAUUAUCCCCUAUCCUCUAUAUGUGUUAAUCAUAUCAUUUAGAAUUGCAUUUCAUUAAGAAAUUGUAUGAUAAGUAGGUUCAUUUGCUUGUUCAUAUUAGGAGAAUUAUUUUUCAAACAUGAAAAAUGGGUGAUUAUAACUUUUUAGUUUAAAUACCCCAUUAAUCCCUGUAUAAGAAAAUUAUGUCACGAGUUUUUGCCUCUCAUACCCUUUAUGUUGCAUUCCCUUUUUCUUUGAUCACUUAUAUCUAUGUAUAUAAUUUAAUUUCUUUUCUUUACUUUCCUUUUUUUCAUCAUUUGCAUAUUCGUGACCCUUUCAAGAAAGUAUUUUGGCCUUCGCAACUAAUGCGAUUGUUUUAAUUAAACCCUUGAAUGGAUAUUUUGUCUCUUUCGAUAUUUUAUUUGCAUCCAUGUAAAAAACAUCCAAAUGUGAUAAAUUUAAGGUUAGAUUAAGCAAAUUUUGACUAAACCACGCAACUAGCUUAGACUAGGUUGAAAUGGUGCCUUAGGUUUGAGAUAAUUGAACCUUUACCUUCCCUUUCUUCAGUCGUGACUCCCGAUUUCAUUUUCUCUGUUUUCAAAAACCUGGAGUUGUCGAAAAGGGUUUUAUUUAUUUUACUUUAUUUUGAGUGACUUGGUACACAAAAACUCUAUACCAAUGGCGACUCCUAUUUUUUCUUGAAAACCCUUUUAGACUAAUUUUUGGAUCCAAAUUGUCGCAUUCUUUUUAAGUCCCAUUCUAGGUCCUUUUUCAUUUAUUAUUAAUAAAUCACAUCUUUUUAUAAACACUUUAUUUUUCAUCGCGAAAAAUAGGGCGCGACACUAACUUUAUCAUUUGAAUUUUGCCAUGGUUGAGUAUUUUCUAUUUUUAGGCAUUUUUUAAUUUCAUUAAUAUGUGAAGUUAGAUGUAUUUAUUUGAGCUUAUUGAUGUUAUUGGUGAUUGUUAGUGAUAAAUAAAUCUUGAGGUUGUGUUUAUUGUAUUCAUUUGGUGAAUUUUAGCUAAUUCUAUGCUGAAUUUGGCUUGGUAAUAAAGUUGCAUAUUAAGUAGCCAAUGUAGCAUUUUAAUUAGCUUUGUGAGAGUUUAUGAUAUUCAUGUGAGUAAUUUAGAUUACCUAAUGAAUGAAACGGUGCUUGGUUGAAUUAUUGUUUGAAUUCUUAGUUAAUUCUAAAAUAAGAGAUGAAUUGAAAAUGGCCUUAAUUGAUGAAAUUCAUAAAUGUACUUAUAAUCUUUGUGGUUCAAUGGUUUUUAGUAUUUCAGGAGUUCUCAAGAAGUUCAUUUAUAUUUUGGUUUGGUAUGUUUGCCUCCAUUUUGAGAUUACUUUUGUACUUGAGGGGACUUGAUCAUUGAUGACAAAAUGUAUAAAUAGAACUUACUUUGUUCAUGAUGAUGGGCUUAUUUUGUGAAAUUAGUUUCCCUUUGUUUUGGAUACUGAUGCAUAUACUUGAUUAGCGAAGAUUAGCCCAUUUCAUGUUUUUAUCCCUUGAACAUUGUAUGGUUCCAUAUGCUUGAUCCUUUUCCCUUUUUCCUUGAUUUGCAUGUUUUCUUCUUGUUGGUUGCAAGCUUUUAUUCUUAAGAAGUUAUUUUAUUCUGAUUUUGUCUUUUUCAGGGUGCAUUAAUUGAACUCUCCAUUCUUUCUCAAAUAAGGUUGGAAAUUCAUCACAUGACCAUGGAUUUGGAUCGCGCAAGUCAUAAGGGUGUAUUUUCUCUUACUCUUUAUUUAUUUUCCUUUUCUCACAUUGAGGACAAUGUGAAGUUUAAGUGUGGGGAAGGAAAUAAUUGACUUGUUAUUUUAUGUCAUGUGAUGAUAAUUUGUGGCUUUAAAUGUCUUAGAAAUGUUGGAAUUGUGCUUGAAAAUAUUGCAAUGUUGAACUUUUCUUGAAAAAUUGGUUUGUUAGCAGGGAGUUUUGUCCAUUUAUAAGGGAAAACUCUGUCAAAAUUUUUCUAAAAUCUGUUUCAAUAUUUCACUAUGACCCAAAAAUUUUUGCAAUUUUUGUCUUUGUUUUAAAAAGGGCCAAUUUGUUCCAACUUUAAGUGCUCUAAUUCUUCCACUUGUUGAAACUUUAUAUGUAUUUUGGAAGAUUUAGUUCUCAUUUGAUUUGGAAAUGGUUAUUAUGCAAUUAAGAUUGUUGCAUUUUAGAAAGUAUAUCCUGUAAAGUAGAAAGAAUUAUGCCUAUAAUUUUGCAUGUUUAAUGAGAUUUCUCCUCUUUACUUAAUUUUGCAAAUAAUUAUUGAUAUAGUCAAUAAAAACUAUACUCUUCCUUUGAUUAUUCUUAUACAUUUGCUAUGAGGGAAUGUCUAUUUAUUGUCUUUUACUAAAAUAAAAAAGAGAAAAAAGAAAGAAAAAUAAAAGUUUUUGUUCUACUCCAAUGAUUCUUGUACCGAGUUAUCGAAGGUUAGCAUCUACAAAUGUUGACACUCACGUAAAAGGGUACUUGAAUUAAAAGUAUGCAUAGCAACCUGAAUAAGUGAAAUGUUGAGUAACCGGAAUUCUUCACCUAAAAGUGUCGAUAUUCGUGUCAAAAGAUAUUUUCACUAUUUGAGUAAAAUUAGUAUGAAUAAAUCCUUCUUAGUUGUAAAAUUUCUGAAAAAGAUGAUCUUGGGAGGAAGAAAGCUAUAUAUUGACUAUGUGAUUUACUUAAUUGUGAAAUUAGAUUAGGGUGAGAGAUUAAAUAUAAGUUGUUGAAUUUAAGGCAUAAUUAUCUUUUGUUUACUUGAUAUUAUGAGUAUUUAGUGUGAAUUGAACAAUUGCAUAAUGAUUAUUUGCCAAGUUAUGAGGAAUUGAAUUCGAAAAAGUGCAUAUAGUGUUUCACCUCUUGAAUCAUUGUUGUUGAUUAUGUGUUAAUUGAUUGAGGACAAGCAAUGGUUCAAGUGUGGAGGAGUUUGAUAAGUGUAUAUUUUACAUGUUUUUAAGUGUGUUUUAUUAGUUAGUUUUAGCGUGUUUUAUGUGACAGCCCCACCUCCCCCUAAGACGAACCAAAGGGUUCAGCGGACCGCCUGCCCAACUCUCGCGGGACUCAGUCGUUCACUCAAACGAAUCAAAAAUAAAACCUCAAGAAGAGUAAAACAAGGAUCCAGUUCAUUACAGUCCUUAAUCAAAACCCGAAUCCAAUCACAGAAAUAAAUAGUACGAAAAGUCAAAACUUAAAGCGGAACUUAUAUACAUUGCUAUCUCAAGAGGAAGUACAACCGUCAAAUAUACCGAGGUUCUCAAUUCACCAUACAACCAACCGUGCCAAGCACUAGAACGAGAACCAUUACAACAGAAAACCAAGAGCUAGACCAAGCUAGUCUAUACAGGCUCUUGUCCUUGCUCGCCCACCCCUGUUAAGAAAAACAAAACUAAAGGGAUGAGCUGGAAAGCUCAGUGAGGUUCCGAUCACAUAGGUAAACAAGAAGUUCAAUGCAUUCAUUACACGUAGCCAAUAAUUCAAGAUACAAAGAUAAGAUAAAGCGAUAAACACAUUCAUUAAAAGGAUACGGGCUCACAAGGAGCCAUUCGUUCAUUCGUUCGUUCAGUCAUUCUCUAUACCUUCAAUCAUUUGAAAAUGCAUUUUGUAUAAGUAAAACCCCUCGUUCAUUCAUUCGUUCAUUCAUUCAUUCACCCAUCCUGGACAUUAUCCAGACUCCACCAACCUCCACCAACGUACAAGGUAAUACUCGAGUAUACCAAAACAUUCACUCAGGUCCCUAAUCGCCCGACCGAGUCCGCUUCUGGCUCGAGACGACCGGUAACAAGGGCAGGACCAAUUCAGCCAAAAGGCUUACAUUCAUGCACAAAUAACAUUUCAAUCGUUCAAUCAUUGAAAACUUCUCAAUCAUUUAGGCCGAGUGCGAUAAAGUACACACUCGCCUAGAAAACGCAUUUUAGCAAUCAUUGAAAACAUUUAACAUGUUAUCAAUCAUUCAUACAAGCCAUAUAACCAUGAAACAUAACAAACAAGAAACACUCACCUAUACACGCAAAAUAACGUCAACUUCUCAAUCACCAAUGAAACCUAAAAUUAAACAAAGAACACAUUACAAUCCAUCUAGCAUGCUUUAGAUGCAAUCAAGAAUUACCCGACUACUCGCGAGUAAACGUAUAAAAAUGACUGUUAAAGUGUAAAGAGGGUAUUUGGAUCCAUGGACGGGAAUAACUAGGGUUCAUAAACCAACCGUGAAACCAAACUCAAAAGGUUAUGAAAUUUCCGACAGAAAACACUUUAACCAUCGACAAAUCGAAAUCCAAUAAGGUAAGCUAAAAAGUAUUAUUUCCGGAAUCGUUUAUGUGGGUCAAAAUCAAUAGACUAUAUGCCUUGAUGAAAAUCAUGAAAAGGUGGCAAAACUACCUCACUUUCACCCUUAAAACUUCACUUAAAAGUUAUUCACUUGUGGCCGAGAGAACCCGAGGUCAACCUCUAUAUUUUGAUAAACAGUAAGUAAACGUUUGGAGUUUCAAACCAAAGAGGUAUUAGGUUUUAGAAUGGUAAAAUGAUCACUUUAUUUGCCAAGCGGAAAUAUACAAGUUCAAAUAGAAAUUUAGUCCUUGAGUGAAAAUUUGGGCAGCACGCCCUUUGUAUUUACCUAUUUUCAGUCAUUUAUGGCUUCAUUGUUUUCCCCAAUCAAUCCCAACAUUACACACAACAUAAACAACCACUCAAUAUGCUCAAGACAAAACAAGGAUAAAAUUUUAAGCUAACAACAAGUGUGGAAACGAAGUUUACAAAAGACAGUUUUGACGGGUUUUUGCGGAAUGGCCACAUCCGAGGCUACGCUUAUCGGAUUGAGAUGCAACUUAUAUCAUUUCGAAGCUAAGACAGGGGGAUACAAGGUUGAAGAAGACCACUCAGUCCAGUUUGCAAUGUAUCUAGGUCAAAUUUACCAAAACAACUCCAGAUUUUCCAAUUCGAAGUUUACUAUGGCAGUCCUGACUCAUUCAGUCAUAUCUCAGAAUAUACAACUCCAAUUCAAGUGAUUCUAAAACCAUUUGAAAGCUAAUAUACAAGGCUAUAAGUCUUAAGAAGACAUAAACAGCCAAAUCAGUAGUGUUCCUGGUCAAAACAACUAAUUACAGAAGCUAUUUAGUAUGUUCGGAUAGAAACAGGGCAGUAGGGGUAUUUUGGUCUUUUCACAGGGUACGUUGCUCCGAUUUAGCUGAAAUUUUGUAGGCAUCCAUAAAAUAUUAUUAUAUACAACUUUCAUGUUUUGUAAUAAGUCCAAUUCGGCCUCUAACAUUGUCAAACAGAAACGGACAGAACUGGAACCUAGAAUUUCAGAAAUCUGGAUUCCAAGCAUAUAAGUACUAAUCCUCGCAAAUUGAACUUGAAACACCGCUACUACCUCCUAUACAUGCUUAUAUACAUCAUAUGUCAUCCAUACAACAAAUAUGAGAAAGAAAUUAUUCAAACCCUGACUUAAAUACAUCAACCCCAAUCAUCCAAAUCCACUUGAUAUAAGCAUAACAAGCAAAAUUACAUGCUACUACACAACUCAAACAUGGUGAAGGGAAAAGAAAAGUUAGUCAGCCAUUAUACCUCAAGACAAGAGCUUUCAAGAGUUAUCCUUCACUUCUCUUGGCAAAAUUUAGCUACUUAAGCUUCCCAAGCUUCCAAACUAAUGAUUAAUCGGUUUAGUUUUUCUUGUUUUCACUCAUUCAAGCUCAAACCAAGAUUGAUUGAAGUUUCCUUUUCUCUUGUUUUUCCUCCCUCAAUUCACGGCUGAUAUGCAGAAAUAAUGGAGGAAAUAGGUUGGUUUUUUGGUGAUAAAUAUGGUGUAAAUUAAUUAGUCAACCAUCCAAUGAAAUACCGCCACUUGUCGCCACCAAUUCCAUUCCUUUUUUCCCUUUUCUCUCUUGGUAUUUAAAGUCAACAAUUGUGGCUGAUGUAUGAGAUAUUUUGAGAGUUAAUUAGCUGUAAUAAAAUAAGAAGAUUAAGGUAAUAAAGUAGGGAUCAAGUGGUGUGUUCAAUCGGUAGUGAUCGAUACCUGUCGGUUCGGGCCGUUUUUUUCUUAAAUCGCGUAUACUAGGGUUUUAACUUAUAAUUCACUAACUUAUUAUUAUCAUCUCUAAUUUCACACUUAAUAUCAUCUAAAAUUCACUUUUAAUCACCAAAUUGGAUCCACACUUCGUACCAGAUAGUCGCACUACGGAUAGGCGUAAAACCCUAAUUCGUGCUAACUUAAAAACGGACAAUGAAAACCCUUACUUCUAUGUUCAUUUACACUUAUUGUGGGUGAUUGGGUAGUAGGCUAUUAUAAACUAAUAGUUUCCAAAUAAAAGGAUAUUUUUAAGAAAAGUGAGGGUUUUACAAUUCCACACAUUGAAUUUAGGGUUUCGGUUGAAAUAUGAGAAAUUUGAGAAAAUGGUCAAUCACAAAUGAAACUGGGGUUUCGAUUAAACUUUUAGGGUUUCUAGUCUUUUAAAAUAAAAAAAAGGUUUUAAAUCAACCCAAAGAAAUAAUUUUAGUUUCUUCUUUAGAAUAAAAUAAUGUUUUUAAAAUAAAAAUAAACUAAAGAAACUGUAAUAUCCUCUUUGAGACUAAUCAAAAGAUGAUCCUAAAAGUUGGGGUAUCACAAUCUCCCCUCCUUCAAAGAAUGUCGUCCUCGACAUUUUUUUCAAAAGGUGAUUUUGUAGGUAAUACAGUAAUUUGACUAAAACAACAAGAUAUAACACACCAAAUACACAAGGAGACAUAUACACAAUAUAAUGCACCAUAUACACCAAGAGACAUUUCAAGUUAGGUAAAGUCAAGUGCAGUAAGUACUAUAGGUGUAGGCAUUAUCAUGCCACAAGUAAAUGACGUGUAAGGACAAUGCAAGGGCAAAACGAAAGAAAACACGACUUGUCGUCCCACAUUCAGCUAAGAUGACCCCGUCCGGUCUCUCACGUCACUCACUAUCCAAACUAGAUGUCCAUUGACCACUUGUGCUCAUUCUAGUCAGACAAAGCCUGUUCAUUUCCCUAAAUGCAAGUCUCAAAUACUGAGCAUCGCCUCAACGCUAGAGUACUAGGGCACGAGAAUCCGAAAUAAGAUAAUUCACAUCUCAAGCGGGCCAGUCCCAAGAGUAAACUAUCUACAAUCGAAAUUCCUACCCGACGUACCUAUCUAUGAUCCUCAAAUACCAUGAAAAAGAUUAAAGGUCCAUAACAUUCGCAAUUCAUAGCUUAUGCUCGACCGAACACUUAGUCCUUCAUAUUUAUUCACCAUUUAGUCCAGGCUCACUCCUCGCAGAGACCACGCGAAGCAGCUAUAUGUUUUAUCCCUCAAUUGCCUAACUUUCAAAUCAAAUCAAAUCCCACAGUCCGGCAUCCUAAACUUUAGCCUAGGAUACACUACAGAGAUCUGAAUCCUAGGCUCUGAUACCACCUGUGACAGCCCCACCUCCCCCUAAGGCGAACCAAAGGGUUCAGCGGACCGCCUGCCCAGCUCUCGCCGGGACUCAGUCGUUCACUCAAACGAAUCAAAAAUAAAACCUCAAGAAGAGUAAAACAAGGAUCCAGUUCAUUACAGUCCUUAAUCAAGACCCGAAUCCAAUCACAGGAAUAAAUAGUACGAGAAGUCAAAACUUAAAGCGGAACUUAUAUACAUUGCUAUCUCAAGAGGAAGUACAACCAUCAAAUAUACCGAGAUUCUCAAUUCACCAUACAACCAGCCCGUGCCAACCACUAGGGCAAGAACCAUUACAACAGAAAACCAAGAGCUAGACCAAGCUAGUCUAUACAGGCUCUUGUCCUUGCUCGCCUACCCCUGUUAAGAAAAACAAAACUAAAGGGAUGAGCUGGAAAGCCCAGUGAGGUUCCGAUCACAUAGGCAAACAAGAAGUUCAAUGCAUUCAUUACACGUAGCCAAUAAUUCAAGAUACAAAGAUAAGAUAAAGCAAUAAACACAUUCAUUAAAAGGAUACGGGCUCACAAGAAGCCAUUCGUUCAUUCAUUCCUUAUACCUUCAAUCAUUUGAAAAUGCAUUUUGUAUAAGUAAAACCCUUCGUUCAUUCAUUCGUUUAUUCAUUCAUUCACCCCAUCCUGGACAUUGUCCAGGCUCCACCAACCUCCACCAACCUACAAGGUAAUACUCGAGUAUACCAAAACAUUCACCCAGGUCCCUAAUCGCCGACCGAGUCCGCAUCUGACUCGAGACGACUGGUAACAAGGGGCAGUGGCCAAUUCAGCCAAAAGGCUUACAUUCAUGCACAAAUAACAUUUCAAUCGUUCAAUCAUUGAAAACUUCUUAAUCAUUUAGGCCGAGUGCGAUAAAGUACACACUCGCCUAAAAAACGCGUUUUAGCAAUCAUUGAAAACAUUUAACAUGUUAUCAAUCAUUCAUACAAGCCAUAUAACCAUGAAACAUAACAAACAAGAAACACUCACCUAUACACGCAAAAUAACGUCCACUUCUCAAUCACCAAUGAAACCUAAAAUUAAACAAAGAACACAUUACAAUCCAUCUAGCAUGCUUUAGAUGCAAUCAAGAAUUACCCGACUACUCGCGAGUAAACGUAUAAAAAUGACUUUUAAAGUGUAAAGAGGGUAUUUGGAUCCGUGGACGGGAAUAACUAGGGUUCAUAAACCAACCGUGAAACCAAACUCAAAAGGUUAUGAAAUUUCCGACAGAAAACACUUUAACCAUCGACAAAUCAAAAUCCAAUAAGGUAAGCUAAGAAGUAUUGUUUCCGGAAUCGUUUAUGUGGCUCAAAAUCAAUAGACUAUAUGCCUUGAUGAAAAUCAUGAAAAGGUUGCAAAACUACCUCACUUUCACCCUUAAAACUUCACUUAAAAGUUAUUCACUUGUGGCCGAGAGAACCUGAGGUCAACCUCUAUAUUUUGGUAAACAGUAAGUAAACGUUUGGAGUUUCAAACUAAAGAGGUAUUAGGUUUUAGAAUGGUAAAAUGAUCACUUUAUUUGCCAUGCGGAAAUAUACAGGUUCAAAUAGAAAUUUAGUCCUUGAGCGAAAAUUUGGGCAGCACGCCCUUUGUAUUUACCUAUUUUUCAGUCAUUUAUGGCUUCAUUGUUUUCCCCAAUCAAUCCCAACAUUACACACAACAUAAACAACCACUCAAUAUGCUCAAGACAAUACAAGGAUAAAAUUUUAAGCUAACAACAAGUGUGGAAACGAAGUUUACAAAAGACAGUUUUGACGGGUUUUUGCGGAAUGGCCACAUCCGAGGCUACGCUUAUCGGAUUGAGGUGCAACUUAUAUCAUUUCAAAGAUAAGACAGGGGGAUACAAGGUUGAAGAAGGCCACUCAGUCCAGUUUGCAAUGUAUCUAGGUCAAAUUUACCAAAACAACUCCAGAUUUUCCAAUUCGAAGUUUAUUAUGGCAGUCCUGACUCAUUCAGUCAUAUCUCAGAAUAUACAACUCCAAUUCAAGUGAUUCUAAAGCCAUUUGAAAGCUAAUAUACAAGGCUAUAAGUCUUAAGAAGACAUCAACAGCCAAAUCAGUAGUGUUCCUGGUCAAAACAACUAAUUACAGAAGCUGUUUAGUAUGUUCGGAUAGAAACAGGGCAGUAGGAAUAUUUUGGUCUUUUCAUGGUUACGUUGAUCCGAUUGUGCUGAAAUUUUGUAGGCAACUAUAAAAUAUUAUUAUCUACAACUUUCAUAUUUUGUGUUAAGUCCAAUUCGGCCUCUAACAUUGUCAAACAGAAACGGACAGAACUGGAACCUAGAAUUUCAGAAAUCUGGAUUCCAAGCAUAUAAGUACUAAUCCUCGCAAAUUGAACUUGAAACACCGCUACUACCUCCUAUACAUGCUUAUAUACAUCAUAUGUCAUCCAUACAACAAAUAUGAGAAAGAAAUUAUUCAAACCCUGACUUAAAUACAUCAACCCCAAUCAUCCAAAUCCACUUGAUAUAAGCAUAACAAGCAAAAUUACAUGCUACUACACAACUCAAACAUGGUGAAGGGAAAAGAAAAGUUAGUCAGCCAUUAUACCUCAAGACAAGAGCUUUCAAGAGUUAUCCUUCACUUCUCUUGGCAAAAUUUAGCUCCUUAAGCUUCCCAAGCUUCCAAACUAAUGAUUAAUCGAUUUAGUUUUUCUUGUUUUCACUCAUUCAAGCUCAAACCAAGAUUGAUUGAAGUUUCCUUUUCUCUUGUUUUUCCUCCCUCAACUCAUGGCUGAUAUGCAGAAAUAAUGGAGGAAAUAGGUUGGUUUUUGGUGAUAAAUAUGGUGUAAAUUAGUUAGUCAACCAUCCAAUGAAAUACCGCCACUUGUCGCCACCAAUUCCAUUCCUUUUUUCCCUUUUCUCUCUUGGUAUUUAAAGUCAACAAUUGUGGCUGAUGUAUGAGAUAUUUUGAGGGUUAAUUAGCUGUAAUAAAAUAAGAAGAUUAAGGUAAUAAAGUAGGGAUCAAGUGGUGUGUUCAAUCGGUAGUGAUCGAUACCCGUCGGUUCGGGCCGUUUUUUUCUUAAAUCGCGUAUACUAGGGUUUUAACUUAUAAUUCACUAACUUAUUAUUAUCAUCUCUAAUUUCACAUUUAAUAUCAUCUAAAAUUCACUUUUAAUCACCAAAUUGGAUCCACACUUCAUACCGGAUAGUUGCACUACGGAUAGGCGUAAAACCCUAAUUCGUGCUAACUUAAAAACGGACAACGAAAACCCUUACUUCUAUAUUCAUUUACACUUAUUGUGGGGUGAUUGGGUAGUAGGGCUGUUAUAAACUAAUAGUUUCCAAAUAAAAGGGCAUUUUUAAGAAAAGUGAGGGUUUUACAAUUCCACACAUUGAAUUUAGGGUUUCGGUUGAAAUAUGAGAAAUUUGAGAAAAUGGUCAAUCACAAAUGAAACUAGGGUUUCGAUUAAACUUUUAGGGUUUCUAGUCUUUUAAAAUAAAACAAAGGUUUUAAAUCAACCCAAAGAAAUAACUUUAGUUUCUUCUUUAGAACAAAAUAAUGUUUUUAAAAUAAAAAUAAACUAAAGAAACUGUAAUAUCCUCUUUGAGACUAAUCAAAAGAUGAUCCUAAAAGUUGGGGUAUCACAUUUUAACUAUUUUUAUAGCUAAUUAGCUAGAAUUCUAGUGAAAAUAUGCAUUUUGUGGUAUAAGUAGUAAAAAUUGCAUUUCUAUGGAUUUUUAUGGUGAAAACUUCAUGUUUUUGUAGGUUUAAUUAUUCAAUCAUUAAUUGGAGUGAUUUGAGAAGAUAAUUGGAUGAUUGAUGAUGGUUUGAAGUGAUAAAAAAAGAAUAUGAAGUGCAAAAAAGGAAAUGCAAUCAAGAAUAAAAGGAAUCAAGUUUCACAAUUUUGACAUCUUGUGGUAUAUUGACAAUAUCUUGAGCUACAAGCAUCGGAUUGAGGUGAUCUAUGAAUCAUGUUGAAGCUAAGAGAUAUGUCUACAUUUGGUGUGAAAACAUCAAAAUCCAGUUCAAUCAUUUUCCUUGUUUGAAAGUCGAAAUACAGAAAUGCAUUUUCAUGGCUAAAAGCUGAAACAGAGUUCUGACCAAUUAAGGGUAUUGGCCCACAGGGCUUCAAAUUAGAUGAUUCUUCAUGCAUUGGAAAACUAAUUCAAAGGGUUACAACUUUUGUGUUUUGCAUAAGAUUUCGUUCAACCUCCAUUAUCAAGAAAAGAUCAGUGAAAGUUGGGAAAAAUAAAGCACGUAAAUCCAAAUUCAGAUAUGUACUAAACCCGACCUUGGAUAAACUUCCGUAAUCAGAGGCUACAUCCGAGAAGAGGAUCCGAGCUUGGAUCCCCAUGUUACAGGUCUCGGAUCCUAAUGUGCAGUGAAGAUAAAAAUAAAGAAAAAUGAGACCCGAGGGGUAUUUCGAGCGAUCCAACCUCGGAUCCUCAAUUUCGGCUCUGCAACUUGUACUCUGUUCACACAAGCUUUUUGACCAAUUUAUCUGUAAGAAAUCUAGCUGGAAUUGAGCAAGCAGGUAUAAAGAAUUCAAGAAGCAUCUUUUGAUGAUUCCAAAGAGCAAUUUACAUCAACUUUAACAGCUCACCUUGAACUUGAAUUCUUCUAUAAAUAGAGGCAUUGGAGGACAUUUUCACAACUUUGGAAGACUAAAGAAACUCAUCAAAAAUGUAGUAUUCACUAGAGUUUCCUUAGUCCAUUAGUUAGGUUAAUAUAUUAUAGAAUAGUUUAGGAAGUUAUGUGUGUUAUCCACUCUUGUGUAUUGGCUAGAUUAGGAUGAAGAUGGAAAUGAAGAAGGAGGAGAUAAAGCUCAUGUGACAAGGGUUAUCUCUUCUCCAACUCUUUAUCUUUUGUAUUGGAUUCUUAAGUAUGGUUAAUAUGCAAGUUUUGGAUUUGUGUUUCAAUAUGUUUUUCUCAAAUUUAUGCCUAGAAUUAUAGAUGAAUUUGCUAUAUCUUGUUAGUGAUAUUUACUUGGUUAUUCGAUGAUAUUAUUUUGAGUAAGUUAUUUAUCACUUUUACUUAUCUAAUCAUGAUUAACUGUCCAUUAAUUAUGAUAAUCUUAAGGUGUUAUAUUUGCAAUGAAAAUUAUAAUUUAACACUAGUUCAAAGAAGUGAUGAAUCUAGGGAGUACACUUACGAAAGUAGAGAUACACCUUUGUGAUUUUGGUGACUUGUUUCAUGUAAUUUCAUAAAAGGAAUGAGCUUGUAAUUAGUUUCAUAACCACGAAAGUAGGUAUGAAUUAACUAUAGGUAUAGUUGGUACACCGAUGAAAGCGGGUAUCACGUGCAUUAGGAAAUUACGCCAUAACUAAUCAAGAUAAUGGCAUUCGAGUAACCGUUAAUGUCAUUUGCAAGAGUAGUUAGGAAUUCCAUACAUUUAGGGGCUUUUUAUUGUUAUUUUUAUUACUUUUAUUUGUUUUUUAUAGUGUAGAUUUAAUUUCUUGCACUUAUGACAGUUUAAAUAAUAAAAGAGUUUGAAAAUCGUCGGUAAUUGACAAUCUUUCCUAUGAGAUGGAUACCUAAUAUCCCUAUACUCAAUAAACGAUUCGUAUACAUGCGAAAAAUUGCGUGUGGGGUAUUUAGGAAUUAUAAAUGUAAAACUUGACUGUAGAAUGAGUUAAUUGAUAUAUGUAGACCCCGCACUCGUCAGCUAAUAUUGAAAUGCAAUAAAUCUAAUUAUGAGGAAGAAAGGUAUUUUGGGCAAAUAGAAAAUAAAAGGUAUUUUGGGCAAAUAGAAAAUAAAAACCAAAUCCUGUUUAGUCUCUAAUGCUUAACAUUUUAUUUUGUCAUCAACUAUUAUUUUCCCUUAAAUCAAUAGCUAUGACAUAAUGAAUUUUAAUCAUCAUAAUAAAUUUAAAACUAAAAAUGCAUAAUAUAAAACUUCAAUGAUCAAUUAAUAAGGGUAUAAUUGAAUUAAUAAAAAUUAAGAUCACAAUAAUGCUUACACUUACACUCCAAAGUACCAAAAUUCAUGUUAUGUUUUAUAUAGUAAUAUUAAUAAUGAACCAUUAUUUUCUCCUAAAUCAAUAGAUGUUAUAUAAUGAAUUUUAAUCAUCAUAAUAAAUUUAAAAGAGCACAAUAUGAAACUUCAAUCAUCAAUUAAUAAGGGCAUAAUUGACAUAACAAAAACUAAGAUCACAAUAAUGCUUACAUUUACACUCUAAAGUAUUAAGACUCGUAAUACCUUUUAUAUAGUAAUGCUUCCUCAAUAUGAAGUUAUAUGCACCAUUUUUUGAAAAAAUGAAGAUAUAUAUAUAUAUAUAUAUAUAGCCUUUGAAGUUGAACUCUUUGUAUUAUUUUGUGAGGUAUUUCUAUUGUAGACACCAAAUUUUGAAUUGAUUUAUAUGCUUCGUUUUAGUGAUAAGUCUUGUCUAUUGAUUUUUGUUUAUCUCAUGAUUUUUGUUUUAAAUGGUUUGCAUUUUGUUUUGCCCCUUUAGAUGUUAUUUUAUUUUAUUUUUAGUUUUAUUUACUUUUUAGUUUUUUAGUUUUUGUUUUUUAAGUUUUAGCGUAGAAAAUCAUGAAAAAUGAAAAAAGGAAAAAUCAUGAAAAAAGAGGAAAAAGGAAAAGAAAAAUAGCAUUUUUGUUUUUAUUUAUCUAUUUUAGUCAUUUCUACUUAAUUUAAAUUUUGUUUUUGUUUGGUUCAUUUAGAAAAAAAAAAGGAAAAAAAAAAAAGAAAAAAUGAUGAAAAUGGAAAAUGAAAAAAAAUUGCAUUUUGUUGUUUCUAGUUUGUUUAUUUUAUCCAAUGUUAAUUAAGUGGGUUUUGUUAUUAUUAUUGUUAUUAUUAUUAUCAUUUUGGUUUUGUUAAAUAUCUUUUGAAAAAAAAAAAAAAAAAAAGCUGCGUGCAUGCAAGCUGCAUUUUUGCAGCUUGCAAAGGAACUUUGAGGCAGCUCCUUAGCUGCAAAUACAGAGGAAGUUGUUAAGGGUUUAGGAGGGGGGCUCCCAUAUAAAUAGAAAAAGAGGAUUCAGCCGCAAGAGGGGUGACGGGAAAAAGAGAGAAGAAAGAAACGGCAAAGGAGAGUGACGGCUAAGGGAAAAAGAAAAAAAAAAGGAAAAAAGGAGCGGCAGACAGAACGAGUGAGAGGCUAAAAGGAAGGAGGUAGCACCUGGGUUUCUGGGGGGAGAGUUAGGAGAAUCCAAGAAGAAGAGACUGAGAGGGUGGAGGUCUACGGGGUUUGAGAGCGAAGGAUUUGGCAGCGGCUAAGCCUGGAGGGACCGAGGAACUGGACAGAAAGAAGGAGAGCAUCAGGGGCUUGGCUACGUGAAACUGAAGAUUAAGUGAAGCUGGGCAAGAAUUUGUCUUCUGAUCAUCGCACACUUCAGUCCGCCUUUUAGAAGAUUAAAGGUAGUACCUUUCAUUUUAUUUCCCUGUCCGUAGAUUACAAGAGUCUUGUUAGAAAUGUUGAAAUGUUGUUGCGAUGCCGGCUGCUAUUGUUUGAAUCAAAAUCUGGUUUUGUAUGAUGGAUAGUGAAGAAAGUUGCGGCUGGAAAAUUGCAGAAUGCAUGAGUUUCUUUGCAUUUUUUGAGUGAGGUUCUUCUAUGUUUUGUUUUGUUUAAGUGAUAAGGUUCUAUACUUGGUUGUUUAGCCUAGAGUCUUGAUGUUUGGUGGGUGAAGUUCUCCUAAAAAAUUAAGCUUGUGGAUUGAACUUUAUGUUUGGAAUUUGAAUUUGCAGCAGAUUUAUGAUCAUACGACCCCUCUCUGCCCAGAUUUUCCUUUCCUUUGCAUGACAUGAGUUUGUAACAUUGAAUGAGGGCCUGAAAUUUAGUCUUGUUGCCAGCCAUUUGUCAUGAAAUGCGGCGUGAAUCUCAGGAAAAUUAGAAUUGUAGGAACUUGUGUCUAUGUCUUCAUUGCACAACUAUGAGCUGCAUUUGUUUUGGAGCAGUAAAAACAAAAAAAAAAAAACUCUCGCAUUCCCUUUUCCCUUGCUGAUCGGACAAUCUAAAUGUGUAACUUCAAUUCGGCAACAAGAGCAUGCUUUUCAUUUAGCCGAUAGUGUGAGGCUUUGAUAUUUGCUAUAGUGGAAUGGACAGAAAUGUCGUGGCUGAAAAUUGCAGCAAAGUUUAUGUUUUUCUUCAGAUUUGCAUGAUGCCUUUUCAAGUUUCUUUGUUUGUUUGGCUUGGGAUAAUUGUGUUUAUCUGAUUAAGGUUUAAAUGUUUUGGUUGAAAGCUUUUGGAUCAAAAGUUGUGUUUGAGAUGGAAGGUGGGUGUGCAAAUAUGACUUGCGGCUAUGUUUUCUUAGUUGCAGAAAGUUUUUCAAUAGUAAUUCUUGUUGCAGAAAUUUCUCUCGUAUGCAUGCAUGAAGUAAAUGUUAUAAAAAUUACUUUUGGCCCCCCAAGUCUCCCCUUAAGCCACUAAGGCCCAAAAACUUUGGAAAUUUAAUCAAUUGGAUCCCUUGUAUUUUUGCAGCAAUGCAUUAUGGCCCAAUUACAUUCCAUGUUCUUGCAAUUAGGUUCUAAGGUGUUUUCAUUUGAAUCAUUAAUUGAUCUUUAUUAUUUUUGGGACCUUUGAAACUCUUUUUGACGUUGAUUGUGAUUGAUUAGUGGUCAUUUUGGGUCCUAGAAAUGCAAGUUUGAACCAUUCAUGGACCUUCAUUCACUCUUGGAUUCUUGAGAUAUGAUGUUUGCUUGGACUUUAUUAUUUACUUGGGGACCUUUGAGUUCUUAAAUGCCUCAAUUAGGUUCAAAUGAUUGAGUAGUGCUUGCUUUUGGGUCUUUAGUAGAUGUUAUGCUUGGGGAUUGGAUGAUCAUGCCUUUUGCUUUGGUCUUUAAGUAGUUUUGACUUCAUUGAGUUGCAAUUGAGGGAAAGUUUGAUGUUUUGGUGGAUUCAAAUUGUUUAGUUUAUAUCUUCUCACUAAAUUGGUGCACUAACCUUUUGUUUUUGGUGAUUUUAGCCUAAGUUAGUCUUUUCUUGGGUGACUCUAGCCAAGUUGAGUUUGUUUACUUCCUUAGUAUCACCAACGGGGAGGUAUAAUCUCUUUUACCCCUUUUGUUUCUCUCCUAUGUGGACUAAUGUGCUAAUUGAAAUUUGCAUGUCUACUUGCUUUCCUAGCCUUUCCUUAUUUCCUUUCAUUUAUUUCAUUUACUUUUGAUUUUUAUUAAUGGGGUAUGUGUAUACCUCUUGGCUUGUAAUAGAUAGGGCGUAGCAAGUAAUUUGGUCCAUUUUCCCUUUCCCCUUUGUUUUAGUUAGCAAAUGUAAUGGUUGCAUGCCUAUGUGUUAUAUGUUAAAUGCUUUAUUAGGAUCUUGCAUCUAGUCGAGCAUGAUAAGUGCUACAUGAUUUAGGUGAUUUGCAUGUCUACUUGCUUUUUGUAGUAUAGAUGAAUGGAAUGGAUGAAUGUACGUCACCACACUAGUCCAACGCUAGUUGUGGCUUCUUUUAUCGUUUCCACUAGUCCAACGCUAGUCGGAAUUCAUAGAAUGGGCUAGUCCAAUGCUAGACCCAAUAGGUUCUUUUUUCCCUUUUUCAUUAAGUGCAUGAUCACCACAUAUCACGCAUUUUUCUUUAGUUUUAUCAUUUGGGCAUGUUCCUCGAAUCCCUUUCCCCCUCACUUUAGGUUUUGCAUCUAAUGCUAGCUAUAGGGUUCAUUUUGCUUGAGUGUCCCCUCCGAUAAGGGAAACGAGCGAGUGUGGCUACUCGAUAGCCUUAGCACGCUAGUUUUGCCUUCUAAAUCAAAGGGAAAAUCGAAGUCGAAAAAGUUAGGAGUCAUUCCCAUACCCGACUGAUGCAUUCCUUUAGAUUCAUUCAUUCUCAUUUUUCACUUACUCACUUUUUCAAUUCACAUUUCCUCAUUACUUUUCCUUUCCUUAUUGUUCAAUUUUGGUUUCUACUUCACAAAAAUUGCACUUAAUUACGAUCUAUAUACACUUAUCACUAUAUUUCAUACACUUGCACACAAACACUUGGAUUUCCAUACAAUUGCACACAUGCACCUUUUUAUACACUUGCACACUUGAAUUUGAACUCUCAUUUGCAUUAAUCGACCUCUAUAAGGUUUUCUUUCAUUGGCCGCCACAAUUCAUGUGGUUGGGACCAAAAACCUUACAAGAGACAUCUUAGAAUCUAGGGUUUUGCAUUUCAUGUAGCACAUCCAAAUGUAAUAAAUUCUUUGGUUAAAACAAGAAAAUCUUUGAUUAAAUCACGCCACUAGCCUUGGCUAGGUCAAAGGGGUGCCUUGGAUUCUAUCCUUGCCUUCCCCUUUGUCAAACGUGACUCCCGAACCUUUUUCUUUGGCUUACGUGGACUAGGAGUCGUUUUUUUAAAAGGGUUUUACUACUUUGUCUUUAAAAAUUUAUUUUUUAGGUGACUUGGUACACCUUAAUCAUUACCAAGUGGCGACUCCAAUUUCUUAUUCAAAACCCUUUUUAAAAAAACUAUUUUUUGGGUCAAAUCGUCGCUUUUUCAAAGUCCCAUAUUAGACCCAUAUCUUUUUCAAUUCACAAAAAAUCAUUUUCCAAUCAAAAUUGAAUCAAAAAACAUCUUCCUCAAACAAUUUAUUUAUUUAUCAAAAAAUGGGGCGCGACAGUUGGCGACUCCACUGGGGAACAUUCGAGAGUCCGAGCAAAUUUGAUUUAAUCAACCUUUUUCUUCUUUUAAUCUUUUCAUAUAUCACAUUUGGGUGUUUAGGAUUGCAUUUUUCCUUUUAUUAGGAUUUUUGCAUUUCACACGUACCAACUCCCUCACUUACUCAUUUGGCGUACGAUUGUUUUGAUUGAUGAAUGGUUUAUGUACGUGAUUCCGCGCUUUGCAUUGCAUUUGGGUGGGGGACAUCACCUUAGAGCCUCGCGUUGGUUCUUGAUCCCUCCCCUCCAAACGAGCACUAGCAUACGUGCAUACGCUUUAAUUUUUCACCCUCCAUUUAUUUUUCUUUUAGUGGCUUGUCACGCCACUCCACCCUGUUAGGAUUUUAGGCGACCUACUUGGACGUGUGAUCGUGACACGACGUGUGCGUAGCACGAUCCGAGGGGUCACUUAAUCUUCCGCUUUAAGCUUUGGUUAAUAGCCUAUAGCUUUUAGUCGAAGAUUGAGAAUUUUGAUAGAUUCACUCAGACAUGUGGCCGUGACACGACGUGUGCGUAGCAAUGUCUGGGGAAUCGCUCGAGCCAUCGACAAGGAACCUUGGGAGUGAUGACCUUUGGUUUCCAAGUCUGAAGGCUCGGGGACCUGAGCUUAUCGAGUCUAGAUGCAUUAGCGAACCCCAGCCUCAUGCAUCCAUAUUAGAAUUGCCUAGGGUAGAGUCGACCUCACCCUAAAUUAGGAACACCAUUCACGAAGGGGAGAUCCCACCCCUUUCCUUAUAUAUUUUUGUUGCUUUUUAAUUGUCCAACGUGUUAUGUGGUUAUCUGUUAUGAACUAACGUUUCCUUGUUUCUUAUCUUUUACAUUCACAAACGUUAGGAAGUAAGAGGUCUGGCAUGACCUCCUUUUAGGACCUACCCUUGUAAAUAGGCUAUCGCACGUUUGAAAAUUGUGAUGCAUUUUGUUCAUAAAUUCAUAAUGCCAUACCAUUUUAGGCCUACCUUGGCAGAUAAAGGGUUCCUUAGGUCACGUUUCGUUUCGAAUUGCAUAUUUUCUUGCUUUAAUAAAUGGCAUCAUGCAUCAACCCUAGAAAGGGAAUGCCAUUUAGGGGAUCCCGUGUUAGGAAUAAACCACCUUGUGUCUCGGAUACUUAAUUCAAGGAGACUUGCACGUUUACAUUUUGUAUCAUCCAAAGGGGUAGUGCACAAGGUAAGGUAGAAUCCGAUCAUUUUCAUAGAGUGAUCUUUGGAAUAUGAGCAUCUAAUAAUCACUUUUUGGCCAUUUUAUCAAAAAUUGGUAAAAAUUCCUUGCGUGAAGGACAUUAAUUUGAAGAAAUUCACAAAUGUUUCCUCCUAUUGAGACGAUAAAUCAAAUGAGGCCAAAAUUUGAUUUUAGAAGGCUCAUAGGCUAAUGCAUCGUAAUAAGGUUUUUUGAAACUACCAGUGGAUGGCUUGAUUUUUAAUAAGCUCCUAAUUCCAUCCAAUCCACUGGACCAUUUCAUUCAUCAAUUUCAUCCAGUCUAUUUUUAUCAAUUUGCCUUCAAUUCAUUUGACCAAUUUCCCCUUUUUAGGGUCACCUGGUCGAUUUUGAAUAAAUCGUCAAUUCAUUUGACCAAUUUACCCUUUUAAGGGUCAUUUGACCAAUUUACCCUUUUUAGGGUCAUUUGACCAAUUUACCCUUUUUAGGGUCACCUGGUCGAUUUUGAAUAAAUCGUCAAUUCAUUUGACCAAUUUACUCUUUUUAGGGUCAUUUGACCAAUUUACCCUUUUUAGGGUCACCUGGUCGAUUUUGAAUAAAUCGUCAAUUCAUUUGACCAAUUUACCAUUUUUAGGGUCAUUCGGCCGAUUUUUGAAUAAAUCACUAAUUCAAUUUCAUUCAUUUGGCCAAUUUACCCAUUUUUAGGGCAAUCGAGCCGAUUUUGAAUAAAUCAAGUUUCGUUCAAUCUAUUUGAUCAAUUUACCCUUUUUAGGGUGAUCUGAUUAAUUUUGGAUAAAUUAAAUUUCAUUCAAAUCAUUUGACCUAUUUCCCUUUUUAGGGUAACCCGGUUGAUUUUUAAUAAAUUGUCAAUCCCGUUUGACCAAUUAGGGUUUCAAUGUCAAUUUCAAAUGGGGAAACCUAGUCGAUUUUGAGAAAACCAUCCAGACAUUUGAUCAGUUGGGGUUUGGACCCGUACUUCACUGAGAAAAUUUUGUCAAACAAAUUCCAAUCUCUUCGAUAGGAAGUUCGUCAAAGUCAAACCCGUGCGUUUUUGCAAACUCUUGUAUCGAUCAAAAGUGAUCAAUCCAUUUGGACGUUGACAUCAUUUGACAAAUGUCUCUCGUCCCUCCAAUUGAUCAAAUUUUUCAAAAUUAUUUUUCACUUAAAUGAGUUGAUCAGAUCCAUCAGGUAUGGUAUAGUGCCUGCUCUGGAGGAUUGCAUUUUCAUGCUAGGCCUACCCUUGGCACAAAAAGGGUUCCCCCAUAGGACAUGCAUCCAAAUUUUUGGAUAUUUACUAACUCUCUUGUAUUUUUGUUUUCCUUUUCUUUGUUUUUUAUUGGAAUAACUAAGCGAGGGUUGAAUCUAAAGGCAAUUUUUCAAAAAUUCUCAGGUAAUAUUUAAACAUAGCUUCUCGUCGAAGCCCCAUCAUAACACGAUCCCGUAGUCAAGCUCAGAGGAGUCGUGUAAACAUGAGUCCGCAAUCGGAACCAUCAGACAGGUUUGUUACUACCGCCCAGCCUGAGACCACAAGUUUGGGGGUUCAGUUGACUGAGAUGCUCACUAAGUUCGGUGAGAUGACCACUGAGAUGGCGGCCCAGAGGAAAUUAAUCGAUAAGCUUAUCAGCAGUGGAGUUCAACCUGAGCCCGUGCCCGGCAGGCAGCCUGGGCCAGAGCCAUUUGUCAUACCUUCAAUUCAAGCCACUGUUGCUCCAUCUUUCCCUAUUCCAACCGAAGGGACUUUCACAUAUCCCACCAUACAUUUGCCAUACACUUACCCUCCUGAUCCUUCAUUUUUCCCUACUUACAUGCAAGGUCCACAACCCCAACUUACUUCAAACAUACCACCAGAGCUACAUACUUUCUAUCACACUGCUGCUGAGCCAUUCCUACCCGACCAUAUCGUUCAAACCAAGCCAGAAAUGGGGGAAUCUUCCGCUCCCGUUGAUAUAAAGCUGCUCAAACGCCUUGACCGUUUUGAUGAGUUUAUGAGGAGGAGUCAGGGUUUGAACAAACAAGGAGUGCUGGAUUAUGAUGAGUUUUGUCUUUUUCCAAAUGUGCAAUUGCCUGAGGGGUUCAAAACUCCGAAGUUUAACAAGUAUGAUGGGACAGGCAAUCCCAAGACACACCUCCGAUUGUUCGCCAACAAAUUGGGUAGGCCAACAGAUGAUGAAAAUCUGCCUUUGAGGCUAUUCCCAGAAAGUCUGGAGGGGGAUGCACUCGACUGGUAUUCCAAGCUGAAACCCGAAGAGGCAAAGACCUGGUUGGACCUGUCCAAUGCCUUUACAAGGCAAUAUGAGUACAAUUGUGAGCUAGCGCCAACGCGGACCACACUGGAAGGAACAAAAAGAAAACCCUCCGAAGAUCACAAGACUUAUGCCAAGAGGUGGAGGAAAAUAGCUGCAAAAGUCGAGCCACCAAUGACGGAGGACGAAAUCAUACGCACUUUCAUUAAGGCACAUGACCCGCCGUAUUUUGAAGAAAUUUUUCGCAUGACUGAAUGCUCAUUUGCCGCAAUUGUUAAUAAGCUUGAGGAAUAUGAUGAGUUUAUAAGGGCAGGAAAGAUUAUUAACGUGUCGGCUCUGAAAUCGCAAUUGGAAGCGAUGCAGAAUCAAGGCAGCGGUAACAAGAAAUCUCCAUUCAAAAGGAGAGAAGAGGAGGCUUCAUUUGUCUCGAAUCGAGGCCCUGCUCCCCAACCGAGAUACCGACAGAACUCCACCUAUUCACCCCGUUGCCCGUACCAAUCACACUUUCAACCUGUGCACCAUACCACUGGUAACCACCCUCGACCUCGACCAAAUUAUCCAAACACACCUACGACACCAUUUCAUAUUUCUCCACAUAGCUUUCAAACUAGACCGCGCUCUCCUUAUCAUCCAAGACCCACCUUACCCGUCAACCAUAACUACAACUAUCAACAGACCGCUGGCACCCAAGACCCAGCCCGAUAUAGAACUUUUACCAAUUUAGGUCGGCCCUUGGAUCAACUAUAUGAGCAGCUCAAGGCCGCAGGAAAAAUUGGUACAAUACCUCCUAAAGUCUAUGCUAAAGGAGUUCCCCCUGGUUAUAAUCCUCAAUCUUUUUGCGCCUAUCAUUCUGGAGCUCCGGGACAUUCUACUGCUAAUUGUUGGGUACUCAAACACAAAAUUCAGGACAUGAUUGAGGCCGGAGACAUAAUUUUGAGAGGGAGAGAAGAACAAGGACCAAGUAUAAGUACAAACCCCUUUCCCAGACACAAGGACACCUUUGAGGCAUCCACCUCCAAUGACGAAAUUUGAAAAUCCUGAAGGAGCUCUGCACAAUUUGGAUGGCUGAUUAUCCUCCCUCACGAAGGGAAUUUCGAUGAAUCUAGGGGUUGUCAUUUACUAAAAUUCACAAAAACUUUUUCUUGCAUAUGUGAAUAACUUAACGAAAACAUCUUUUGCAAUUGAGUUUUGUCUUGUUUCUGCUUUGAUUUGGAGUUUCAUGAAAUGCACAAUUUGUUUUAUUUGUUUUAUUGUCCUGAAUUUUUGUUAAUUCUUUGAGAUGGCCAAAGAUGAAAUUAUUUGAUCCUUUGAAUAUCACUGUUCUGGAAUCUGAUGUAGCCCUUCAUUGAGAACCCCUCCAUUAAAAUCCCUUCAUUGAGAAAUCUUUUCUUUGAGAGACCCCUUCAGGGAGAAAGCCUUCAUAAAAAAGAAAAGAAAGAAAAAAAAAGCCUUCAUUGAGAAAUUCCUUCAUUGAGAAAAUCCCUUUCCUGCCAGGUUGUAAGCUGAUUGGUUAAAGCAGUGUCAUUAACGAUUGAUUCUGAUUAAUGAAAAGCAGUUGAAUGCUAUGUGCCAUGACCAACAUUGUCAAAACGCAUGACCUAUGUUCAUAACAAAAGGAUCCGCCACCGAUCUUCUGAAAAAGGAAACAAAGUGCUAAAGCGAUGAAAGACGAAGUCGAAGGCAAAUUUGCUUCCAAUUGACAAAGCUUAUUGGGUGUUCAAAGGAGAGAUGGAAGGACGGACAUUCCCUUAACCUAUCAACUUGGACAUGUGUAAGAUGUUCUUUAUUUGAUUAUGCAAAAUCUCUUUUAGGAAAUCAUGCAAGGGGCGAGGCAAAAGUCAGGCCAUCUUCCUUUUCAAUCAAAACAUUUCAUCCCUAGUCAUCCCCUUUGAGCUAUCAGAACAAUAAUUUUCGUUUGGCAGCCCCUGAGAAUUGCAAACCCCACACUGGGGCGAAUUCAUUUUUGAAAAAUGAUCAAAAAGGAAAAAAAACCCCACACUGGGGCAAAUGUAUCUUUGAAAGAGAUAUGGGAAAAAGAAAGAACCCCACACUGGGGCAAAUUUAGUUUUUGAAGAAAAAUACAAGAAAGAAGAAAAUGCAAUGGAAAAUACAAAGAAAGAAAAAUCCAAUCAAGCUGGGGCAAAUUUUCCUCGGUUUCGUUCAAAAAAUUAGAGAUAAUCUCAAAAUGAUGCAAUCUCAGUUUAUUUCACACCUUUCGUCAGACUUGCUUUCAAGCCUCAACUUUUCUUGAAAAACACCCCACCUAACCUCAUUACAAAAGCCCAAAAGUCCUGGCUUUCGUCACUUGCUGCAUUUCUAUUAGGGAUUUUGCUAAUCAACUGGCACGUGAUGUCCAUAAUGCCUUCGUUAAGUCUAUAAGGGAAGCGCAUUUUUACUGAUGCCAGCAAUCUUCAACUUACAUUCCUGGAGUCGACUAUGGUUGAGCUCUUCCAUUAUUUCAUUAGGUGAAAAACCCACAAGGGCACCUCAAGAGAAAAAGGAAAAAAAAGAGAAAAAGAAGAAAAAGAAAGAAAAACCAACAAAAAGGGUGGGGGGCAGCCUUGGUGAAAACCCGAAGGGGCGCCAAGGUAGGUUUCUGCAAUGAGCAAGCACAAAGAGGAACAACUGGUGGUUUGAUCCAUUUAGAUUUCUUCUCAUUUUUGUCAUACCUCUGACAACAUUUAAUUCCGGAGCUAAGAUAUCCAGAGAAUCGAAUAUGACAUCCGUUGGCUAAAGUGUGUCAUUUUGUAAAAACAUUCUUUUGCAAAUACAUUCUUAGGAAACUCAUUUUUUUCAAAUUACUUGCAUUUAUGGCAUUUUUGUAGAAUUUAAGCACAAAUGGUUAUGUGUGCAUUCUGGUGCAUAUUCUUUCUUACAUGACAUGUGAAUUUUCUUGCAUACCUCAUUCUUUAUCAUUGAAUUUUGGUGAAUGACAAUCCCCGUGGUUUAUUGCAAAAAGUAUGCUUGGAUUCAGUCAUCUUUUGGAAAUAGUUGAAAUUCAGCCAAGCCAGCUACACAAACUUCAUAAUAGGGCAAAGCACAUACCUGGUCAGUUUGAAAAUCGGAAGAGUCUUAGGGUGAGAAAUCCAACUCAAUCGGCUGCCGCAGCAAAAGUUGAUAAAAGCGUCGAAAGACUCAUGUUUACACGAUUCUCAAAGGAAAACGGAUCAAAUGGUGGUGGCAAUUUCUUUGUUUUUCUCUUUUGCAGGAAAAUUGCAUGCACAAAUGAAAGUAGUCACACCUCGCACUGGAAUCGGUGUCGGAAAAGUCCUCCGGUGAACAAAGGCAGAUCAAAAAUAUUGCAAGCAAAUCUGAUCAAAAGGUGCAACAACAUCAACUAUGGACCCAAAAUUGCAGAAAAUUCACCAUACUGGGGCAAAUUUUUGGGAUUUCGUGAAGCCAGAAUCUUACGAAUCAAGGUCUCAAGGAGGAGCAACCAUAAUACAAAUCAAUUGAUCGGUUGCACAAAUUGGGGGAGACUGGGGCAAAUUAUUUUGACAAGAUUCUCUCAAUCAGGAUUUCUGGAAAAGUCAAAUUCAAUUUCUUGUUUUUUGAAAAAUCACAUUGAAUUCUUGUUGGCAAUAUCUCAGCGCCCGCCGCGCUUUUUCUAUCUUCCCCUUUUGACAAUCACACUUAAUUUCUUGACCAAUUGGACGGCAGGACCGGGUUUUAUCCCGCUGACCGCUUACCUGGCAGGACCGGGUUUUAUCCCGCUGACCGCUUGUUCGGCAGGACCGGGUUUUAUCCCGCUGACCGCGCUUACUUCGCGCAGGACCGGGCGGUUUUAUCCCGCUGACCGCUUACUUCGGCAGGACCGGGUUUUAUCCCGCUGACCGCUUACCUCGGCAGGACCGGGUUUUAUCCCGCUGACCGCUUACGGCUUACUUCGGCAGGACCGGGUUUUAUCCCGCUGACCGCUUAUUUCGGCAGGACCGGGUUUUAUCCCGCUGACCGCUUUUAUCUACGUUGGGACCGGGUUUUAUCCCGCCAACCUCGGCAGGACCGGGUUCUAUCCCGCUGACCGUCCACACCCUAUCAGGCUUAGAUGUUAUCCCACCGACCAAUUCAUCAUACUGGGGCAAAUUUUUAGAUAAUUUUUCAAACAAGUCUUAUACAGUUCUUCAUUUUACAUUUUCUGUUCAGGUCUAUCCCGUGGGUCUAUCUCAAUUUUACAUUUCUGUCUGGGUCUAUCCCGUGGGUCUAUCCCAAUUUGACAGAAACCCAAUUUUACAUUUCUGUCCGGGUCUAUCCGUGGGUCUUCCCAAUUUUACAUUUCUGUCCGGGUCUAUCCCGUGGGUCUAUCCCAAAUUUAAAUUUCUGUUCAGGUCUAUCCCGUGGGUCUAUCCCAAUCUUACAUUUCUGUCCGGGUCUAUCCCGUUUAAAUUUCUGUUCGGGUCAGUCCCGUUUAAUUUCCUGUCCGGGGUCAGUCCCCAUUGUUCGAGUCGUUCACAGCCAAAUAACACAGGUAAGUAUUUGGUGUCUACUUCUUUGUCUCAAGUUUUUCCAAAACUCAGACAAAGAGGGGCAAACUGUAGACACCAAAUUUUGAAUUGAUUUAUAUGCUUCGUUUUAGUGAUAAGUCUUGUCUAUUGAUUUUUGUUUAUCUCAUGAUUUUUGUUUUAAAUGGUUUGCAUUUUUGUUUUGCCCCUUUAGAUGUUAUUUUAUUUUAUUUUUAGUUUUAUUUACUUUUUAGUUUUUUAGUUUUUGUUUUUUAAGUUUUAGCGUAGAAAAUCAUGAAAAAUGAAAAAGGAAAAAUCAUGAAAAAGAGGAAAAAGGAAAAGAAAAAUAGCAUUUUUGUUUUUUUUAUCUAUUUUAGUCAUUUCUACUUAAUUUAAAUUUUGUUUUUGUUUGGUUCAUUUAGAAAAAAAAAAGGAAAAAGAAAAAAAGAAAAAAUGAUGAAAAUGGAAAAUGAAAAAAAAUUGCAUUUUGUUGUUUCUAGUUUGUUUAUUUUAUCCAAUGUUAAUUAAGUGGGUUUUGUUAUUAUUAUUGUUAUUAUUAUUAUCAUUUUGGUUUUGUUAAAUAUCUUUUGAAAAAAAAAAAAAAAAAAAGCUGCGUGCAUGCAAGCUGCAUUUUUGCAGCUUGCAAAGGAACUUUGAGGCAGCUCCUUAGCUGCAAAUACAGAGGAAGUUGUUAAGGGUUUAGGAGGGGGGCUCCCAUAUAAAUAGAAAAAGAGGAUUCAGCCGCAAGAGGGGGUGACGGGAAAAAGAGAGAAGAAAGAAACGGCAAAGGAGAGUGACGGCUAAGGGAAAAAGAAAAAAAAAAGGAAAAAAGGAGCGGCAGACAGAACGAGUGAGAGGCUAAAAGGAAGGAGGUAGCACCUGGGUUUCUGGGGGGAGAGUUAGGAGAAUCCAAGAAGAAGAGACUGAGAGGGUGGAGGUCUACGGGGUUUGAGAGCGAAGGAUUUGGCAGCGGCUAAGCCUGGAGGGACCGAGGAACUGGACAGAAAGAAGGAGAGCAUCAGGGGGCUUGGCUACGUGAAACUGAAGAUUAAGUGAAGCUGGGCAAGAAUUUGUCUUCUGAUCAUCGCACACUUCAGUCCGCCUUUUAGAAGAUUAAAGGUAGUACCUUUCAUUUUAUUUCCCUGUCCGUAGAUUACAAGAGUCUUGUUAGAAAUGUUGAAAUGUUGUUGCGAUGCCGGCUGCUAUUGUUUGAAUCAAAAUCUGGUUUUGUAUGAUGGAUAGUGAAGAAAGUUGCGGCUGGAAAAUUGCAGAAUGCAUGAGUUUCUUUGCAUUUUUUGAGUGAGGUUCUUCUAUGUUUUGUUUUGUUUAAGUGAUAAGGUUCUAUACUUGGUUGUUUAGCCUAGAGUCUUGAUGUUUGGUGGGUGAAGUUCUCCUAAAAAAUUAAGCUUGUGGAUUGAACUUUAUGUUUGGAAUUUGAAUUUGCAGCAGAUUUAUGAUCAUACGACCCCUCUCUGCCCAGAUUUUCCUUUCCUUUGCAUGACAUGAGUUUGUAACAUUGAAUGAGGGCCUGAAAUUUAGUCUUGUUGCCAGCCAUUUGUCAUGAAAUGCGGCGUGAAUCUCAGGAAAAUUAGAAUUGUAGGAACUUGUGUCUAUGUCUUCAUUGCACAACUAUGAGCUGCAUUUGUUUUGGAGCAGUAAAAACAAAAAAAAAAAAACUCUCGCAUUCCCUUUUCCCUUGCUGAUCGGACAAUCUAAAUGUGUAACUUCAAUUCGGCAACAAGAGCAUGCUUUUCAUUUAGCCGAUAGUGUGAGGCUUUGAUAUUUGCUAUAGUGGAAUGGACAGAAAUGUCGUGGCUGAAAAUUGCAGCAAAGUUUAUGUUUUUCUUCAGAUUUGCAUGAUGCCUUUUCAAGUUUCUUUGUUUGUUUGGCUUGGGAUAAUUGUGUUUAUCUGAUUAAGGUUUAAAUGUUUUGGUUGAAAGCUUUUGGAUCAAAAGUUGUGUUUGAGAUGGAAGGUGGGUGUGCAAAUAUGACUUGCGGCUAUGUUUUCUUAGUUGCAGAAAGUUUUUCAAUAGUAAUUCUUGUUGCAGAAAUUUCUCUCGUAUGCAUGCAUGAAGUAAAUGUUAUAAAAAUUACUUUUGGCCCCCCAAGUCUCCCCUUAAGCCACUAAGGCCCAAAAACUUUGGAAAUUUAAUCAAUUGGAUCCCUUGUAUUUUUGCAGCAAUGCAUUAUGGCCCAAUUACAUUCCAUGUUCUUGCAAUUAGGUUCUAAGGUGUUUUCAUUUGAAUCAUUAAUUGAUCUUUAUUAUUUUUGGGACCUUUGAAACUCUUUUUGACGUUGAUUGUGAUUGAUUAGUGGUCAUUUUUGGGUCCUAGAAAUGCAAGUUUGAACCAUUCAUGGACCUUCAUUCACUCUUGGAUUCUUGAGAUAUGAUGUUUGCUUGGACUUUAUUAUUUACUUGGGGACCUUUGAGUUCUUAAAUGCCUCAAUUAGGUUCAAAUGAUUGAGUAGUGCUUGCUUUUGGGUCUUUAGUAGAUGUUAUGCUUGGGGAUUGGAUGAUCAUGCCUUUUGCUUUGGUCUUUAAGUAGUUUUGACUUCAUUGAGUUGCAAUUGAGGGAAAGUUUGAUGUUUUGGUGGAUUCAAAUUGUUUAGUUUAUAUCUUCUCACUAAAUUGGUGCACUAACCUUUUGUUUUUGGUGAUUUUAGCCUAAGUUAGUCUUUUCUUGGGUGACUCUAGCCAAGUUGAGUUUGUUUACUUCCUUAGUAUCACCAACGGGGAGGUAUAAUCUCUUUUACCCCUUUUGUUUCUCUCCUAUGUGGACUAAUGUGCUAAUUGAAAUUUGCAUGUCUACUUGCUUUCCUAGCCUUUCCUUAUUUCCUUUCAUUUAUUUCAUUUACUUUUGAUUUUUAUUAAUGGGGUAUGUGUACACCUCUUGGCUUGUAAUAGAUAGGGCGUAGCAAGUAAUUUGGUCCAUUUUCCCUUUCCCCUUUGUUUUAGUUAGCAAAUGUAAUGGUUGCAUGCCUAUGUGUUAUAUGUUAAAUGCUUUAUUAGGAUCUUGCAUCUAGUCGAGCAUGAUAAGUGCUACAUGAUUUAGGUGAUUUGCAUGUCUACUUGCUUUUUGUAGUAUAGAUGAAUGGAAUGGAUGAAUGUACGUCACCACACUAGUCCAACGCUAGUUGUGGCUUCUUUUAUCGUUUCCACUAGUCCAACGCUAGUCGGAAUUCAUAGAAUGGGCUAGUCCAAUGCUAGACCCAAUAGGUUCUUUUUUCCCUUUUUCAUUAAGUGCAUGAUCACCACAUAUCACGCAUUUUUCUUUAGUUUUAUCAUUUGGGCAUGUUCCUUGAAUCCCUUUCCCCCUCACUUUAGGUUUUGCAUCUAAUGCUAGCUAUAGGGUUCAUUUUGCUUGAGUGUCCCCCUCCGAUAAGGGAAACGAGCGAGUGUGGCUACUCGAUAGCCUUAGCACGCUAGUUUUGCCUUCUAAUCAAAGGGAAAAUCGAAGUCGAAAAAGUUAGGAGUCAUUCCCAUACCCGACCUGAUGCAUUCCUUUAGAUUCAUUCAUUCUCAAUUUUUCACUUACUCACUUUUUCAAUUCACAUUUCCUCAUUACUUUUCCUUUCCUUAUUGUUCAAUUUUGGUUUCUACUUCACAAAAAUUGCACUUAAUUACGAUCUAUAUACACUUAUCACUAUAUUUCAUACACUUGCACACAAACACUUGGAUUUCCAUACAAUUGCACACAUGCACCUUUUUAUACACUUGUACACUUGAAUUUGAACUCUCAUUUGCAUUAAUCGACCUCUAUAAGGUUUUCUUUCAUUGGCCGCCACAAUUCAUGUGGUUGGGACCAAAAACCUUACAAGAGACAUCUUAGAAUCUAGGGUUUUGUAUUUCAUGUAGCACAUCCAAAUGUAAUAAAUUCUUUGGUUAAAACAAGAAAAUCUUUGAUUAAAUCACGCCACUAGCCUUGGCUAGGUCAAAGGGGUGCCUUGGAUUCUAUCCUUGCCUUCCCCUUUGUCAAACGUGACUCCCGAACCUUUUUCUUUGGCUUACGUGGACUAGGAGUCGUUUUUUUAAAAGGGUUUUACUACUUUGUCUUUAAAAAUUUAUUUUUUAGGUGACUUGGUACACCUUAAUCAUUACCAAGUGGCGACUCCAAUUUCUUAUUCAAAACCCUUUUUAAAAAAACUAUUUUUUGGGUCAAAUCGUCGCUUUUUCAAAGUCCCAUAUUAGACCCAUAUCUUUUUCAAUUCACAAAAAAUCAUUUUCCAAUCAAAAUUGAAUCAAAAAACAUCUUCCUCAAACAAUUUAUUUAUUUAUCAAAAAAUGGGGCGCGACAUCUAUUAACAAUGGAGUAUAAAUCAUCCACCACAUAUUAAUUUUUUCUAUCUAACUGUUCAUUUUUUGAGAAUUGAAAUUUUAUUGGUAGAGAUAAUUGAGUUUUUCUUUUUUUUUCUUUUGUUUUUUCAUCUUUUAAUUUUUUGGACAAAAUUUGACAAAAAGCAUAAAUGACGAAGAUUCUGUUAUCCUAAGAGCACUUUCUUUUGAUAUCAAUAGUAAUAUUUUUGAAGAUUUAAAAAUUUAAUUAGGUUGUGACUAAUCAAGAAUUUUUAAUGAAAAUAAAAAAUUGAAAAUAGAAUGCAAAAAGACACAUUGAUUUGGAAUAUUAUAUUUUGUUUAUUCUCUUCAUAAUUCAAAUUUAAUUAAGGUUAUAGUUUUUUCGUAACUGCUACAGUUUUGCUAUUAUUGAAAUGCAAUAAAUCUAAUUAUUAGGAAGAAUGGUAUUUUGGACGAAUAGAAAACAAAGACCAAAUCCUGCUUAGUCUCUCUUAACAUUUUGUCUUGUCAUCAACCAUUAUUUUCCUUUAAAUCAAUAGCUAUGAUGUAAUGAAUUUUAAUCAUCAUAAUAAAUUAAAAACUAAAAAAAGCAAAAUAUGAAACAUCAAUCAUCAAUUAAUAAGGGCAUAAUUAUAUUAAUAAAAACUAAGAUCACAACAAUCAUCAUAAAAAAUUAAAGAGAGUAUAAUAUGAAGCUUCAAUCAUCAAUUAAUAAGGUUAUAAUUGUAACAACAAAAACUAAGAUAACUUACCCUUACCGUCCAAACUCAUGGUACCUUUUAUGUAAUAAAUAUAUAGUAUGAAGAGAUGUAUAUUUUUUAAAAUUGAACUCUUUGUAUUAUUUUGUGUGUUAUUUCUAUAUCAUUUAGGCCAUAAUCUAUGGGUCUGUUUGGAUUCCUUGUUUUUGGAUCUGUUUUUGAAAAAUUGUUUUUCACAUUCCAAAUGCUACAGUAAAUGUGUAUUUCAAAACCAACUCCAAAAAUAUCAUAUCCAAACAAUAUAUCAAAAAUAACUCCAAAUACAUAUUUAAUAUGUUUAUUUCAAUUUGUAUAUUUCAAUUAUGUAUAGGAUAUAUAUAUUAUAUUAAUUUAUACAAAUUAUAAAUAUUUUAUUAUAUAUAAAAUAUAUUUAUAAUAUAUUUAUAUAAAUAUUAUAUAUUAUAUAAAUUAUAUAUAAUAUAAAUCUAAUUAUACAUUUAUAUAAAUAUUAUAUAUUAUAUACUAUAUAUUUAAUAUAUACAUAAUAUAUAUUAUAAAUUUAUAUAAAUGUACAUUUAUACAUAAUAUAUAUAUUUAUGAAUAUUUAUAAUAUACAUUUAUAUUAUGUAUAAUAUAUAAUAUAAUACAUUUAUAUAUUUAUAUUAAUAUACAUAAUAUUAAUUAUACAUUUAUACAAAAUAUUAAUAUAUUUAUACAUUUAUAUUUAUUAUAUUAGUACAUCUAUACAUAAUAUUAAUAUAUAUUUAUAAUAUAUUAAUUUAUACAUUUAUAAUUUAUACAUAUUUAUAAUAAUAUACAUUUAUACAUUUAUAAAUAUAUUUAUAUUAUGUAUUAUAUAUAAUAUAAUACAUUUAUAUAUUUUUAUAUAAAUAUAUAAAUAUAUUUAUUUAUAAAUAUUUAUAAAUGUAUUAUAAAUGCAUAAAUGUAUAUAAAUAUAAAAAUUAUAAAUUAUAAAUUAUAAUAAACAUUUAUAUAAUAGUCAUUUAUAAUUUAUACAUUUGUAAUAAUAUACAUUUAUACAUUUAUAAAUAUAUUUAUAUUAUGUAUUAUAUAUAAUAUAAUACAUUUAUAUUUUUUAUAUAAAUAUAUAAAUAUAUUUAUUUAUAAAUAUUUAUAAAUGUAUUAUAAAUGCAUAAAUGUAUAUAAAUAUAAAAAUUAUUAAUUAUUAAUUAUAAUAUACAUUUAUAUAAUAUUUAUUUAUACUUUAUACAUUUAUAAUAAUAUACAUUUAUACAUUUAUAAAUAUAUUUAUGUUAUGUAUUAUAUAUAAUAUAAUACAUUUAUAUAUUUUUAUAUAAAUAUAUAAAUAUAUUUAUUGAUAAAUGUAAUAUAAAUGCAUAAAUGUAUAUAAAUAUAAAAAUUAUAAUUUAUACAUUUAUAUAUAUUCAUUUAUAAUAAUAUACAUUUAUACAUUUAUAAAUAUAUUUAUAUUAUGUAUUAUAUAUAGUAUAAUACAUUUAUAUAUUUUUAUAUAAAUAUAUAAAUAUAUUUAUUUAUAAAUGUAUUAUAAAUGUAUAAAUGUAUAUUGUUCUAAAAAUAUAAAAAUUACAAAUUAUAAAAUAAUCGAAAAUAUUUUUAAAAAUACAUCUAAAAAUAACCCAUAAAACAUCUGCAGUAAAAGUUUUUCAUAUAGUUUUUGAAAAACAACACCAAAAACAUCUAAUCCAAACGGACUUAUAUUUGAAAAGGACUUAUAUUUGAAAAACGAAAUGCUACAGUAUUGUUUUUGAAAAAUAACCCCAAAAAUAACUAAUCUAAACGGAUCCUAUAUCAUUUAGGAGUCUUCGAUCAAGAAAUAUUGAUGAAUUAAUGGUUGGUCUAAUUGCCUUGUCUCUUGGGCACUUGGGUCGUCAUCCGGUUGUAGAUUCAGGCAAAACAUAUGGAUACGAGUUCAGAAUUACUAAGAAAUGAAGUAACAUAUUUUUUAACAUUAAACACAUAUAAUUUUCUUAGACAUUUUUCCUUUCCCCUUUGAACAACCAUAUAUUGUCAUUAACAUCCCCUUCAUUCUCUAAAGUUCAAAUAAUCAUUUUUACAACUUUAUCAGGAACUCUUUUUUUAUCGAAAUCGAUAAAUAACCCACACACACCCACCUAAUUUAAACAGAUGCAGGAGUUAAUUGAAAACCGACCUAAACUUUAUCAGGGGCUCUAUACUGCAAAUUUGUAGUUUCUAGUUACUCAAGAUCGGUGCCAACAUGUUUUAAUCAAUGUUUUGAAAACCGGACCGGACCGGCCGGUUCGACCGGUUGAACCGCGAAUCGGCCAUGGCACCGGUCCGGUUCAAUGGCAUUGUUGACUUUGCUAGAAAACCGGUCAAAGACCGGUUGAACCGUGAAAACCGCCGAACCGGAUUGAACCGGCGGUUUUCCGGUUUUCAGCUUUCCCCUUUUUUUUUUUUUUAGUUUUGCAAAAUGCAGUAAUCAAGAUUCAAACCCAAGACCUUUGUAAUAAAAGACCAAUGUAUUAACCAUUGCACCAUUACAUCUUAUUAGUUUUUUUUGAUAACUUAUUUAUAUAAAGCAAACACUCAUAUUUCUUUUUUCCAUUUUUCUUACAAAAUCUCAUCCCCUCAUGGCUCUUUCUUUUUCAUUUUCAACUCUCUCUCUCUCUCUCUCUAUCCUCUUUUCUUUUGUCACUCCCUUUUUAAUCAAACCUCUUUAUUUUUAAUUUAUUGAUGUUUUCUUCCAUCUUUUAAUUUUGUUUUUGUCCAUUAAAUUGAAAAAAGUUAAAAAGAAUUUUUUUAACCCAAAUUAUUUAAUGCCACAACCACUCACUUUUAUCUUAUUUUUUGUUUCUUAUCAAGUUUACAUUUCUAUUUUCGAUUUUCUUGAUUUCCUUCGAACUCCAAAUUUUCUUUUUUAAAUUGCAAUCUUUAAAUCUCAAAACGUAAAUUAAAAUUUAAAUUCAUAAUAUCUAAAUUCUCAGAGACAUGAAUUUUGUAUAAUUUCAAAAUAUUGUGAUAUUUUGGGGUUGGAUUUAGAUAUAAUUGAAAUUGAGAUGAAAUUUAUUUGUUUUAACUUAUAAUUUAAAAAAUUUAUUUUUAAAAAUCUAAGUUAUUAAAAAAUAGUAAACUUUUCAUCAUAUAAAAUAUUAAAUUAGUCCAUUACAUGCCUUAUUUUGUACAUAUAUAUAUAUUUAUAUAAAUUAUUUUUUAAAAAAUUCAUUGAACCGAGGUUGAACCGGUCCGACCGGUUGAACCUCGACCCUUUCACUCCACCGGUUCAAUUAACGGUCCGGUUUUUAAAACAUUGGUUUUAAUACCGACAAAUUCAUUAUUUCAGCAUUACAUGCCCCUAAACUCUCAACAAAUCCACUGGCAUAUUUAUUGAUAUUUUCCACUACAGCUACCCCACCAUGAUGGAUUACUUUUACCUGUCAAUGGAGAUGUACAGUCUAGGACCACAAAAGCAACAAGGCCAAACAAUUGGUAAAGAAACAGUCACAUGCCGUGGACCACAAAUAAUAAUUCAUAUUUAAGUCAAUGAAGGGCUACUUUUACCUGUUACAAACAUUAGACAUGUACAAUCUAGGACCAAUUUGUCUUAUACAAUAGGACCAUGAAAACAACAUGAAGGCUAAACAAAUAGUCACAUGCCGUGGACCACAAAUAAUAAUUCAUAUUCAACUCAAUUUUUGACCCACAUCAUGCCCAGACCAAUAAUCAUAAAAAUUGCCACAAACCUAAUACAAAUUAACACAACCUUGUCAUACUAAAAGUUAAACAUAUUGAUAUUUAUAGUUACUUCUUUUGUUUUUUCUUUUUUUAACAAAUAAAUUAUGAUAAUGCCACUGAAAUUAUUUGAUUUUUAAUUAGAUAUAUGAACAAUUUUUUUCGAGUUGGAUGACCUAAAUUUGCUCAGUUAGCAAAAAUUAAUUAUCUGCUAACCAUUAGGGUUUGCCCAGUGGCCAAAAGAAACCUAUAUAUUCAUGGUACUUGUUAUAUAAUAAUAAUAAUAAUGAAUUGUUAUUUUCUUGUAAAUCAAUAGAUAUGAUAUAAUGAAUUUUAAUCAUAAUAAAUUAAAAAGAGCAUAAUAUGAAAUUUCAAUCAUCAAUUAACAAGGGUAUAAUUGAAAAAAUAAAAACUAAGAUCACAAUGAUACUUACACUUACACUCCAAAGUAUCAAGACUCAUGAUACAUUUUAUAUGGUAAUGAUGAUUGGCACUAUUACAUAUCAACUCCAAGUUCAAAUUCUGGUAGAGAGAUUCUGUUUUGGGUCUCCCCCAGAUUUGGAUUGGAUAGGAAUAUUAAUUUUGUCUUACGCAAAUGUUGAUUCAUUUCAAUUGGAUACGAUUGCGGUCUUGAUAAACAACAAGCAUUUGAAUUCCAUCAGCUUCACAAUCUCACGCAAAGCAUUAUAAGAUAAAUUUGGCUAAUAAUAAUAGAUGUGCUUAAUAACACCUGACUACUUAUUGGCAUCAAUAUGCUGAACCUGCAUUCAAUCAUAGAAUGAAUAUACUUUCUGAUACGGUAAUGUACUUGUCAAAAUCUAGUUGAAUUGAGUAUAAUAAAUUCAUCACUCAAUCGAUUAGUUUCGAUCUUAAUGCAUCCAAGAAUUGGAACUACCAAUGGAUUCAGACAAAACUAUGUCUGGAUUAAAUAGAUUGAAAUAGGUUCUCGAAAACGAAAUCUACUUUUUCAUCUUAUAUGGGAUUUUUAGCUGGCAAAAUAGUGCGUGAAGUUAGCAUCAAAUAAAGUUAAGUUAACCAUGUUCUUAACCACCAUUUUGGUUCAACGAUCUGAAUCAAGGAGUUGAUUAGUCAACAUAUUGUAAAUGGGAGGGUUUAAACCUGGACCAUCCAACCCAGUGAACAGGCAAAUUUAAUUGGCAUUAAUCAUACUUAACUAUCAUUUAAGGAGCAGAUUGGCUUCUACCACAUGCAAUAUAUGGUAUAUCUUUAGCUCCAUCUGUAAUGCUUGCAUCCCACUCAAUGCGUCUUUGUCUUUUGAUAAAUUAUAUCAAUUUCAUUUUGAUUAAUAACCUCACACAAACCAUUAGCAAAAGAAGAAAAAAGGAUAAUCAUCAUGCUUUAGGUAUCUCAUUAGUACUCAAUCGUUGUAAUUAUUGGUCUAAUUCUUGGUCGUACUUCAAUUACUUUAGGAAAGGGCAAAUUGCAACAACAACGCGAAAUAACUUAGCGAAGAUAUAUCAUUUUCAGCUUUUCAUUUUUUGACGGGCAAAUUGCAAAUAUAUCCCUGAAGUACUUCACAUUUCAUUUUAGUUCCCAGAGAUCAAAAUAAUACAUCUUUGUGUUAAAGUUUUUAUAAGUUUACCGAAGUAGUCCUACAGUAUUCCUCAAGCUUUUCUUCUGAUUUUCAAGCACAAACAUUUACUUGUCAUACCUGCACUCAAGAGUAAUAUAUGCAAAAUCAAACUAAAAAUCAUAUCUAUCCAACAAAAAGUAAAGUAGUUUGUCUUCUCAAUUGUUUUUUGUCCAUUUUAGAAGAGAUUAUAAACUUACAAAGGGCAAGGAAUUAAACAGUAAAAGGGAAGACAUAAAAAUCGAAUUAAAGGCCUCAUUUUCUUUGGUCAAUGUCGCUACCAAUUGAGUUGGAUUUUUAAAAUGUUUGUCUUCUAAAGUUUGAUUCCUAUCGAUAUCUCAAUCUUUGUAUGUUGAUCAUUUAUGACUUUGUAACUUAAUAUCAAAAAGGGCAAAAUAUACUUUAUUUCCCUGUGGUACAACUACUUUUUUACAUAAGCCUCCCUAUAGUUUUUGAAAGUUAUAUAUAAUUCCUCAUAGUUUGGAUUAAAGUAUCAAAGUAACGGAAAUAAUCAUUUACAAUGAAACUUAUGAAAAUAUAAAAAUUACCCUUAUUUAAAAAUUAAAAUAGUUGAAGUGAUCAAAAUAUAUAAACAUAAUAUUAUAACACUCUAACCUUGUAUGGUUUUAUACUUUUCCUAUCGCGCCCUAUUUUUUGAAAUAAAAAAUUAUGAGUUAUAAAAAAUGAAUUUUCGAUUAAUUUUGAGUGAAAAUGAGUUUUUGAUUUUUAGAAAAUAAAUAAAAAAAGGCCUAAAAUGGGACCUAAGAAGUGCGACGGUUUUGACCCAAAAUAAUAGUCUAAAAAGGGUUUUUAGGAAAAAUAGGAGUCACCAAUUAGUAUUGAGUUAAGGUGUACCAAGUCAUCCAAAAAUAUGUCAUUUAAUAGUAAUAAAAAAAUAAAAAUAAAUAAACAAAACCUCUUUUUCGAUGACUCCAAGUCUUUGGAAACAAAAGAAAGGAUUCGGAAGUCACGGUUGAAGAAAGAAAAGACAAGCAUAAAAUUCAAGGCACCCUUUCGACCUAACUAAAGUUAGUUGCGAGAUUUAGUCCAAAAGUUUUCCUAAUCUAACCUAUAGACUUAUCACAUUGGGAUGUUUCUACAUGGAUGCACACCUAGACCUAAUGGAUAUCAGGAGGGUCGAAAUAUCUCUUCAAAGAUUAAUUGAUGCGAAUAACAUUAAUUGUGAUGCUCAAAAUGAUUUUUAGAAGAGGUCACGAAUAUGUAAAGAAUGAGACUCGAAAAAAAGAAAAAUUAUAAUAUAUAAGUAUGUUUGACCUAAAAAGAGGAAUGCAACAUAACGGGUACGGGGGACUAAGAUUCGUGACUCAAUUUUUCUUUUUAUAAAGGAGAUACUAGCAUGCUAAAUCUAAGAAGCCUACUCGUCCAUUUCCCAUAUUAGAAGGGUGCUCCCUAACCUAAUCAAGCAAAUGCCUAACCUAUUUCUAAUUUUUCUUAAAUGGAAUGCAAGUCUAAAAUGUCAUGUUUCGCAAGAGGGAUAAGGGAUAUACAUAUAGAGGAAAUAUCUUGCAGAGUGGUAAAGAUCCUAAAAGUAGAAAAUAUGCAUGAAAUGUAAUGAUUGUUAUGCAAGCAUGUGAUUCUAGCGCGUGGAUGGAACAAAGAGUCUAGCAUUGGACUCGUGAGAAAUCGAGAAAUAGACCACAAUUAGUGUUGGCUAGUGUGGUGACGCCAUGCAUUUAUUACAACUAAAUAAAUCAUAUAAAAUAUAAUUAAAGCUAAUAAACACAUAGAGCACAUAACACGUAGGCAUGAUAUCUAGAUACAAAGAUCCUAAGAAAUUGAGUAAACAUAUAAGCACACAAGCAUCCAAGCAUCCAAGCAAAUAAAAGUCUAACUAUUACAUCUGGGGCUCUAAUUACAAUCUAAGGGGAAUUUAAAAAAUAAUAACCUAACUAUUAUAUUUAUCUAACUAAAUACAUUUUUAACAAAAAUUAAAACCUAUCUAUUACAUAGGCUAACUAAAUACAUAUCUUGAGCACCUAUCUAUUACAAUUUGGCAUUUUAAUGCCUCUCAAAUAAUUACCAAAAAUUAAAUUAAAUAAAUGAAACCUAAAAUGAAUAAUAAUGAAUAAAAAGAAAAAACACUCAAAACAUGCAAUUGCACAUAAAACACAUUGGAGCACAUAAAAGAAUUGAAAAUAAUAAAAGAAGUUACCUCCCUUAAAGUUGUGGUUAAAUGGGGUGAAAUUUGCCCUACUUAUGCUCCAAAAUCAACAAAAUGGUCAAGGCACCAAUUUAAUUAUAAAAAUGGAAAUAAUCAUAAAAUCUACCAAUUAAAUCAUUUAAAUAAAGUAUAAUUAACAAUUAAAGAAGAAAAGUAACUUGUAUUUAAGAAAUCAAAACUAUAGGGAUUUAAUGAAAAUUUAUAAAGUUUUUGGGGUCCAAUUGUAAUUAUUACAAAUAUAGGGGUCAAAAUUAAAAAAAAAAAGUUUUAGGGAUCCAUUUGAAAUUAAAUUAGAACCUAAUUGAAAAUGUUAAAAGUUUAUGGGGUAUAGUAUCAUUACUCAAAGGUCUAGAGAUUGAUUUGCGAUUUCAUAACUAGAUUUCUUGAGUAAAUAGGCCUCUGGGCCAUAUCUCUUAUUUUUCGGGCAAAAACCUUCAAAGCCCAGCAAAAAGUUCAAGGAAAAUGCACAGGCCAAUCCAUAAUCUUACCCAAACAAAACCAACCAAAAGGGAUGGGCUUUUACCUCUAAGCCCAAGCGAAAACCCAAAAAAUGAACCAGACUUUUCUACCAAAACCCAACCCAAUCAAACCGUAACCCAAAUCCAACUAUUUUACCAAAUUCCAAUAAGAUAAUAAAUCAACUAAAACAAAUUAAGGUUUAAAUAUACCCCAAAUCACAGAAAUAACAUGCUUAGACAUGCACUUAAAAUAUGAAAAGAGUAUUAAAACUCAAUAGGGACAAGAUUGGUUCAAUUACAAGACUUUUGAGCCACAGUGUAAUUACUUAGAAAGUUAGGGGUUAAAAUGAAAUUUUUAAAAGUUUUGCAUGCAAAGCUUCGAAGAAGCUUCUUUCUGCAACCAAAAGCUUCUUUCUGCAACUCCCGAAACUUAUUCAACCCAAGAAGACAGCCGCAACAUUCAUGCCAAAUUCACAGAAUCAUCAACUAAACCCAAUAAGAACCACAUCCCCACAAACAAACCACAGAACAACAUGGGAUUAAUUGCUCAAAAUCUCCCACUUCAGAUUUGCAGAUAGAAAGGAAACAUACCACUUUCACUCAUUGAUUCCGAACAAAACCCGAAGCACAGGGCGAUUUAAAGUGGGGGCACUGGGGACCUUAAAUUCCUAUAAUACAUCUACAAUUUUGACAUAAUUUUAAAGGUUCUCCAGAAUUUUUUUGGAAAAAAUGUGAAAGAAUGGGUCACAAAAUUUAUAUCAUUCACUUUCCUCCUCUAGUUCCCAUUUUCCCACCAACAGGGCAAGUACCAAUUAUAUCAGUCAUAUCCUUUUGGUUCCCACUCCCUAAGUUCCCUUUACUCCUGUGGUCCCCAUUUCCCUUCACAACCGGCUUCUCUUCUUCCACACCCAAGCCAACUACUUUUUCUUUUUAUCACUUCAUCCAAUUAUCAUUUACUUCCUUUGUCCCCACUCCCCAAUUUCUCUUUCCUCAUCUGGCUCUCAGUUGUCCCCAUUCCCCAACAUACAUAUGAGAGCCAUUUUUUUUUCACAACCAAAGCUUGUUACUCUUUUUUUUUUUUUUUCACUUAUCCUAUUAGAGAUUGCACCAGAAUCAAUUGAUCUUCUAGAACUUGGAUCCGCCACAUUUUGUAGCUCUUUCAUCAACUUUAGAAGACCAUCAAAAUCAGGUUCUAAACAAUUACUUCUUAUUAUUAUUAUUUUAAAUUUGUUUGCAAAUAUAUUUCUAGAGCAUGAGACUAUUACUGUUUUAAAGAAAUUUGGAAAUUGAUUAGUUAAUGUAAUAACUAAUAAAUGGGUUAUUUGAUAAAUAUUUUAACUUGUGAAAUGGUGAUUUUAUGCAUGAGACUUUUUUUUGCUUAAAAAAAUUAGAAAAAGAGUAGAAAAAAAUUUUAGUGUUAUUUUUGCCCCCAUUAAGAUUUUUUUUUGGCUUUGCCCCUGCCGAAGCAUAACUUUGUUUAUGAACUACAAAGCUUGCAAAGAUAAUCAAGGACAAACAUUCACACUAACUUCCAAAUCUUGUCAUAUUUUAGUCAAACCAGAGGUAUCAGACCCAGCAAAAACAUAGAACCCGCACUAUAAACCCAUAAUCUAAAAGGAAGUUCUCUUUUGAUGAGUUAAAGAUCUUUUUUUUUCUUUGUGAAUUGCAGCAAGAAAAGGAAAGAUUAAGAGUUACCUCCGGAUGCUAGUGCAGUCAAAAGAAAGCAAGGUGCUCAAGAAAGUUGUGUGGAUUGCUGGAACGAAAACAGGAGCACUUUGCUGCAGAAAUUUCACCCUUGGCGAGCAGGCUGCUUUGAGCCGAAUCACAGAGAUCUGGAAAUGUUUUUUCAAGAUGUUUUCUGAACAAAAGUUAUAGAUUUACCAACAUAGUGAGUGCAGAAACUGAAAUAGAACCUACAGGAUCAAGAACAAGAUCGGAUUUGGGCCUCAAAAUAGGCUUUUUCACCAACCCUGGCUCAUUUUCUAGAAAAAUUUCUGCUCCUUUUUUUUUCCUUUGUCUCCCUCAGUUUUCUCUCCCUUUUUGCUGUUUUUUUUCACUCCUCGCCGCCUCCCCUCUCAAUCCCUUGUUAUCAGCCCUUUUUAUAUGAAAACCAACCUCCUAAAACCCUCAUCUAGAUGGUGGACAAAAAAACUGAUUUCUUUUGCAUUUUUAGGGCCCUUGAUCUUCAUGUUUUCUGGAUUCUUCUUGAUAAAUCUUGGAGAUGUGAUCUGGCUUGUACUGAGGCAUGGAGGAAAGAAAAAGAAUGCAAAAAGAAUCGAGUAAAAUGGGACAAAAUUGCAGCUGCAUAUUUGGUGCUGUGGCAUUGCUUCUGUACGAAGCUUGAAGGAAUAGCACGCGCGUGGGCAGAAAUUUUUUUUUUUUUUUUUUACAAAACUGACUUUUUUCAUUUUUCUUCUUUUGUUUCCUUUUCUUUUUCCGAUUUUUCUAAAAAAAGUGUUUUUUAUCAAGAAUAGAAAUGAAACAAAAUAAAUAAAAUUAACUAAAAUGAACAAUAAUAGGAAUAAAAAUGAAGAAAAAAAUGGUAAAAUUUUAGUGUCUACAGCUUACCCCUCUUUGUCUAGAUUUCGCAGAAAUUCAAGACAAAGACAUAGACACCAAAUUACUUAUCUGUCUAUCUCAACUGUAAUUGAAACAACUACAUAAAUCUAAUAGAUUGAAAAAUCUAAACCUAAAAAAUAAAAAGAUUUGUGGGAUAAAAUCCAACCCCAACAAAAUAAAACGAUUGAAGAGAUAAAACCCAAACCCAACAAAAUAAAAACGGUCAGUGGAAUAAAACCAAACAUGCCGAGAUUGGUGGGAUAAAACCCAAAUCCAACAAAAUAAAAAUGAUCGUUGGAUAAAAUCCAAAUCCAACAAAAUAAAAACGGUCAGUGGGAUAAAACCCAAGCCCGUCGUGGUUGAUGGGAUAAAACCUAAAACCAACAAAAUAAAAAUGGUUGAUGACAUAAAACCUAAACCCGCCGAGAUUGGUGUGAUAAAACCCAAAUCUAGCAAAGUAAAAAUGGUCAGUGGGAUAAAAUCCAAACUCGCCGUGGUUGGUGGGAUAAAACCAAACCCAACAAAAUAAAAACGAUCGGUGAGAUAAAAUCCAAACCCGCUGAGGUUGGUGGGAUAAAAUCCAAACCCACUAUAGUUGGUGUGAUAAAAUUCAAACCCAACAAAAUAAAAAUGAUCGGUGGGAUAAAACCCAAACCCGCCGAAUUCGGUGGAAUAAAAUCCAAUCUCAACAAAAAAAAACAGUCGGUGGGAUAAAACUCAAACCCGCUGAUAUAAGUGGGAUAAAAUUCAAACUCAACAAAAUAAAACGGUUGGUGGGAUAUAAUCCAAUCCUAACAAAAUAAAAAGGGUCGGUGGGAUAAAACCCAGACCCGCCGAGGUUGGUGGGAUAAAAUCCAAACCCAACAAAAUAAAAACGGUCGAUGGGAUAAAAUUCAAGACCAACAAACUAUAAACGUCGGUGGAAUAAAACUCAAGUUCACCGAGAUUGGUGGGAUAAAACCCAAGCCCGUCGAGAUUGGUGGGAUAAAAUCCAAAUCUAACAAAAUAAAAGGGUUAGUGGGAUAAAAUCCGAGACUAAUACCUUACGUGGGAUAAAAUUCAAACCCAACAAAAUAAAGGGUUAGUGAGAUAAAACCCGAACCUAAUACCGUUAGUGGGAUAAAAUCCAAGUCUAACAAAAUAAAGGGUUAAUAGGAUAAAGUCCGAGUCUAACACCGUUGGUAGGAUAAAAUUCGAGUCCAACAAAAUAAAGGGUUAAUAGGAUAAAGUCCGAGUCUAACACCGUUAGUGGAUAAAACCCGAGCCUAAUAAAAUAAAGGUUUAGUGGGAUAUAACCUGAUCCUAACACCAUUGAUGGGAUAAAACUCGAACCCAACAAAAUAAAAGGUUAGUAAGAUAAAACCCAAGUCUAACACCGUUAGUAGGAUAAAACCCGAUCUUAACAAAAUAAAGGGUUAGUGCUUGAAAGCAAAUCAUAAAUAGAUUUGAGAUCGCAUUUUUCAAAAUUUAUCCAGUGUAAGGCCUCUCUUCUUUUCUUUUGUGAUUGACGUUCAAAUUUGCAAGAUUCUAACUUGCGUUUUUUUAUCGAUUUCAGUCAUAAAUACUACACCAAGGGAAUUUAACAUGCACUUGAAUUUUAUACAAAAUAUUUUUUUGCUUUAUUCUGAAAAGUGUGAUAUCAAAUUCUGAACAAUAGGUUGAAAGUAUAUUACUUGACUCUUGGACGAGAUCUCACAAAUAUGUUACAAAAAAUUUUCCCCCAGUAUGGAUCUAUUUUGCGAAAUCUCACAAAUAUAUUAUAAAAUUUGCCCCAAUAUGGGUCUAUUUUUAACUGCAAAAAUUUUGUUCGAAUGACUAUCCAUUUAUUUGAACAAAACAUGAAAAAUGUGUUUUCCUAAAAUUUGAAAAAUAAUCACAUACUACUAUGCAAUGUGAAGAAAUUUAAAUGUCAUGUUUAAAUCAUGCAGAAGAUUUCAUGAUGAAUUUAUCAAAACAAUACCAAAUUACAAAAGAUUUCUUUCUCACUUUAGCAUCGGUGCUUAGGGUGGAAUGAUCACUUUUCUAUUAGCUCAUCCUUUAGGACAAAACAAGUGGGUACUAUUAUGAUUUUGAGGUGGCUCAGGGAGAUGGUAUGUCAGGAUCUGUCUUGUUUUUGUACCCAAAUUGUGUCAAAACCAUUUGAUCACAUCUUGGUGAUAUCAAAUAGUUCAUCACUCUUAUUUCUUGAGAAAGCUCAGUCAACAUAUAAGAUCUAUAGACUUGUAAUGUACAAGUCGAAACGAUAGCUAAACAAAUGGAAGCAGGUUAUGGCCUUAUGAUCACGAAUGAUUGAUAGAUUCCUUAGAGGCAUGAUCCUUUUUUGAUUGUCAUGAAAGAUAAGUCAACAAUGGAUUUUAUGAGCUUGUAAUGCGACUUGAAGACGAUAGUUAAAGAAAUAAGAUUUUCAAAGACAUUGUACUUAAGAUCGCAUUCCUUCCCAAAAAUUGCCCCAGUUUUGGACUCAAAACUCUGGAUUCUAUUUUGACUUUUAUCAUCAAUCACUAGAGAUUCAGCAUGCAUUGAAUCUCUUUGUAGUUUUUUAUUUUCUCUAAUCUUUUUUUUCUUUACAUUUUCCUUUUUCUUCUUUUUUUUCAAUACCGAAAUACCAAAAAUGAUAGAAUUGAGAAUCCCUUAAUUUUUUAGAUUAUAGAUGCCUCUCUUUUUUUUUUUCAAAAUUGGAGCCCAAAUAUUAAUGGUAGAAUCAAAUUCCCCCAACUUGUAGUUUCUCUUUCUUCUUUUUAAUUUUAGCAUUUUCGCUUUUUUUUUUAAAAAAAAAUUCUCCAAUCUCCUUCCCCAAUGUGGGUGUGGUCAUAAGUGCUUUUGAAACGAACCACCCAUUUUAACUCAAAUGAGGGUGCAAAGGAUAAACACUAUUUAGAUAGUAGAAACGAUGCUCAAAGUAUCAUUUUACUUCUCAUGACAACCAAAGUGAAGAAUAGCCCAUUGAGAGAAUCCAUUCCCUUUUUGACAUGCAAAAUUAUAAUCACAAGACUCUUAUUUGAAACGAAAUUGUACUUUUGAAGGCUCAAAUAGGAGAGUAAAUGAUAAAAUCUGUAUAGAUAGAAAACAAACGCUUAAAGUAUCAUUCCAAAUUCUAAAAAACAAACAAGAGUAAUAUAUAUUUUUACUUUCAUUAGAUGUGAUUGAAUUUGGUUAGGUACAGUGGGCAUUUUCAAAGUAAGAAUAGGCCCACUCUGAAGUUUGUCAACCAAUGUGAUUGACUUUGAAGCUUGAUAGAAGUGGGUAAUUUAUGAAUUGUAAAAUGAAAGAACAAAAGUAUCGUAGUUGGUCUUUUAAAAAAACUGCUUUUUGGUUUCGAAUGCUCUUAUCGCAUAGUAUGGAUCACAAAUCUAGUGUAUGCAAAGAUUUUGCAAAGUUAAAACAUGCCUUGUGAAUUUUCAGGCAAGAGGUAGAAAAAAUCUCAAUUUAGUUUUAUUUCUUAAAAUCAUCAUGAAAUCUCCCAAUGAGCAAAUAAAGAAUGAGAUGAACAUGAAUAUAUACGAAACAAUAAUUGUCUAAAUGAAAAACUUCAUUAUUGCAAAUGUUGAAACAAACUUUUUAUUCAACUAUAAUACAAGUCCAAAGAAUACACUUUCAUAUAUACACACAGUUCUCUCCUUUUCUUUUGGGACACAAAUGUGUUAAAAGAAAUUUUUUUUGACAAACAAUUAUGAAGUCUCUCAAAUGCUUUAGAUUAGUACUUCCAAAUGGAUUCUCAAUAUUUUUACAUUGCAGGAUCUGCCAAAAAUCAAGUAAUAUUUGUUAUUUUUCAAAAUUUAUCAAACCAAAACUAUUAUCAGAUAUAAAAAAUAUUUUUAUGUUAUUAAAAUAUCCUUUAUAAAUGCAGGGAUGGGCAAAAAGAAAAGAAAAUACCCAGAAUUAGUAAGCAAAAUGUAAAAUCGGUAUGCAUGUCCUAUGGAGAGCCCUUUUAUACUAAGGGUAGGCCUAGCAUAAAAAAUGCAAUCCUUUGGGUAGGCACAUACAAUACCUAAUGGAUACAAUACCUAAUGGAUCUGGUCAAAUUAUUGAUAUUCGAGUGAAAAGCAAUUUGAAAAAUUUUGGCUAAUUGGAGUAACAAGAGACAUUUGUCCUAACAAAAUGAGGAGAAAGUUCGAAUAGAUUGAUUGCUUUGAUUGACACAUAAAGUGAUGUUAAAAAUCAAUUUAGUGUGAAAGAGCUACUUUUCAAAAGAUUGCAAUGUCUCGACUAGUUUUUAUAGUGAUCCUAGAUUGAAACCUUAAAAGAGAAUAAAUGGAUCAAAUGGGUCGGAUACAAUUGAUGGUUUAUUCAAAAAAUUGACUGGAUUACCCUAAAAAUGAAUAACUUGAUCAAAUGGAUUGAACAGAACUGACGAUUUAUUCAAAAUUGACUGGAUUGUCCUAAAAAUGAAUAAUUGGUAAAAUGGAUUGGAUAGAAUUGACAGUUUAUUCGAAAAUCAACUGAUUGUCCGUCCAUUGGUAGUCUCAAAAUUUUACAAAUUUCGUUACAAUGCAUUAGUCUAUGAGCCUUCUAAAAUCAGGAUUUGACCUCGAUAUAUUUAUUAUUUUAACAAUGAGGAAUCAUUUGCGAAUUUCUUUAACUUAAUGUCCUUUAUGCUAGGAAAUUUUACCAACUAUGAUAAAAUGGCCAAAAGAUGAUUGUUAGAUGCUCAUAUUCUAAUGUGCAAAAACUGUUCCAUUAUUUUCAAUGCCAAUGUCAUCAUGGAAGGGACGGAUCCUACCUUACCUUAUGCAUCCCUUUGGAUGAUACGAAAAAAUAUAAACGUGCAAGUUUUAUUAAAUUAUAUAUCCGAGAUGAAGAUGGUUUAUUUCUAAUGUGGGAUCCCCUAUGCGACAUUCCCUCUAUGAUUGAUGCAUGAUGACAGAUUAUUAAAGGGGGUAAUGCAAUAAUUGAAACAUGACCUAAAAGUGUCCCAUUUAAAUGCCGGGGUAAGCCCAAAAUGAAUGUAAUAUUGAGAUGCAAUAACUUGUAAUUUAAACAUGCAAUAAACUAUCUAAUUAGGUGGGUUUUAAAAGAGUACCAUGACAGGACUCUUAUUAUUUAAAGUUUGUGAAUGCACAAGAAGAGAAAACAAAGAGAAAUUAGUACAACAAAUAACACAUAACACAUUAGGGCAAUAAAUGAUACAAAAUAGAAAUAAAGAAAAAGGGGUAGAAUCUCCCCUCGUGUCUAGUGUCCCUAGUUGGGUAAGGUCGACUCUAUCCUAGGUAAUUUCUAAUAUGGAUGCAUGAGGUUGGGUUCACUAAUGCAUCUAGACUCGAUAAGAUUUCAGCCUCCCAAACCUUCAAACCAAAAGGUGAAGGGUCAUCAAUCCCAAGACCUUUAGUCGGUGGUUCGAGUGAUCCCUUAGACAUUGCUACACGCACGUCGUGCCACAGCCACAUGUCCAAGUGGAUAAAUCCUAAUCCUAACUAGAGAGGACGGUGUGACAACCACUAAAAAGAAAUAAGAUGAGAGGUUAUAAAGAAAUAGCGUAUGCACGUAUGAAGUGCGCCUUUAAGGGGAGGGAUUAAAUACCAUCAAAUAUGGGUGAAGCUCUAGGGUGGCUAUUCCCCCUCAAGAUGCAAAGCGCGAUAUAAAUACAUAAAUAUAAGUAAAUGAAAGUAAAUAAACAAAUUAUUCAUCACAUACAUAGAUAUCGAAAGACCAUUGCGUGCGUGAAAUGCAAGAAACCCUAAAAAGAAAAAAUAACCUAAAACAUCCUAAUGUAAUAUGUAAAAAGGUUAGAAAAAGAAAAGGAUCGACAAAAUCAAAUACUCGGACUCUCUAAAAAAAUUUCGAGUGGAGUCGUCAGCUGUCGCGCCCCAUUUUUUGAAAUAAAAAAUUAUGAGUUAUAAAAAAUUUUUCAUUAAUUUUGAUUGAAAAUGAGUUUUUGAUUUUUAGAGAAUAAAUAAAGAAAAAGGGCUUAAAAUGGGACCUAAGAAGUGCGACGGUUUUGCCCCAAAAUAAUAGUCUAAAAAGGGUUUUUAGAAAAAAUAGGAGUCGCCACUUGGUAUUAAAUUAAAGUGUAUUAAGUCACCCAAAAAUAUAUGUUUUAAUGUAAUAAAAAAAAAUAAACAAAACUCCUUUUUAACGACUCUAGGUCUUUGGAAACAAAAGAAAGGGUUCAGGAGUCAUGGUUGAAGAAAAGGAAGGUAAGAAUAAAAUACAAGGCACCCUUUCGACCUAGUUAAGACAGUUGCAAUAUUUAGUCGAAAACUUUUCUAAUCUAACCUAAGACUUAUCACAUUGGGAUGUUUCUACAUGGAUGCACACCUAGACCUAAUGGAUAUUGGGAGGGUUCAAAUAUCUCUUUAAAGAUUAAUUGUGCGAAUAACAUUAAUUGUGAUGCCCAAAAUAAUUCUUAAAAGAGGUCACGAAUAUGCAAAAAUGAGACUCAAAGAGAAAGAAAAAUUAUAAUAUAUAAGUAUGUGUGACCUCAAAUGAGGAAUGCAACAUAAGGUAUGGGGACUAAGAUUCGUGAUUCAAUUUUCCUUUUUAUAGAAGAGAUACGAGCGUGCUAAGGCUAAGAAACCAUACUCGUCCAUUUCCCAUAUUAGAAGGAUGCUCCCUAACCUAAUCAAGCAAAUGCACUACCUAUUUCUAAUUUUUCUUAAAUGGAAUGCAAGUCUAAAAUGUCAUGUUUCACAAUAGGGAUAAGGGAUAUAAAUAUAAAGGAAAUAUCAUGCAAAGUGGUAAAGAUCCUAAAAGUAGAAAAUAUGCAUGAAAUGUAGUGAUUGUCACGCAAUCAUGUGAUUCUAGCGUGUGGACGCCUAAAGGGUCUAACAUUGGACUAGUGAAAAAUCGCAGAAAUAGGCCAUAACUAGCGUUGGACUAGUGUGGUGACACCAUGUAUUUAUUACAACUAAAUAAAUCAUAUAAAACAUAAUUAAAGCAAGUAAAUACAUAAAACACAUAGAGCACAUAACACGUAGGCAUGAUAUCUAGAUGUAAAGAUUCUAAGAAAGCGAGUAAACACAUAAGCACACAAGUAUGCAAGCAUCCAAGCAAAUAAAAGAAAAUAAAAGUCUAACUAUUACAUUUGGGGCUCCAAUUACAAUCUACGGGGGGAAUUUAAAAAUAAUAACCUAACUAUUACAUUUAUUUAACUAAAUACAUUUUUAGAAAAAAUUAAAACCUAUCUAUUAUAUAGGCUAGCUAAAUAUAUAUCAUGAGCAUCUAUCUAUUACAAUUUGACAUUUUAAUGCCUCUCAAAUAAUUACCAAUAAAUAAUAAAAUAAAUGAAACUUAAAAUGAAUAAUAAUGAAAAAAAGAAAAAACACUCAAAACAUGCAAUUGCACAUAAAACACGUUGGAGCACAUAAAAGAAUUUAAAAUAAUAAAAGAAGUUACAUCCCUUUGAAGUUUGGUGAAAUGGGUGAAAUUUGCCCUACUUAUGCUCUAAAAUCAAUAAAAUGGUCAAUGCACUAAUUUAAUUAUAAAGAAAUGAAAAUAAUCAUGAAAUCUACCAAUCAAAUCAUUUAAAUGAAGUAUUAAUUAACAAUUAAAGAAGAAAACUAUCAGGAAUCUAAUUACAAAAAAUUAAGAAAGUUUUUGUGGUUAAAUUAUAAUUAUUACAAAAUAUAUGGGUCACAAUUAAAUAAAAAUAAAGUUUAGGGACCUAUUGAAAUUAAAGUAGAGAUCUAAUUGAAAGAAUUUAAAAGUUUUUAGGGUCAUAUUAUAAUUACACAAAAGUCUAGGGACUAAUUUGCGAUUCGUAACUAGAUUUCUUGAGCAAACAGGCCUCUGGGCCAUUUCUCUUAUUUUUUGAGCCAAAACUUUCCUAGCCCAGCGUAAAGUUCAAGGAAAAUACAAAGGCCAAUCCAUAAUCUUACCCAAAACAAAACCAACAAAAAGGGAUGGGCUUUUACCUCCUAAACCCAAGAUAAAACCCAAAAAUGAACCAGACUUUUCUACCAAAACCCAACCCAAUCAAAUCAUAACCCAAAUCACUAACUAUUUUACCAAAAUCCAAUAAAAUAAAUAAAUCAACUAAAACAAAUUAAGGUUUAAUUAUAUCCCAAAUCACAGAAAUAACAUGUUUAGACAUGCACUUAAAAUAUGAAAAAGAGGAUUACAACUCAAUAGGGACAAGAUUGGUUCAAAUACAGAGACUUUUGGGUCAUAGUGUAAUUAAUUAUAAAGUUAGGGGUCAAAAUAAAAUUUUUAAAAGUUUUGCAUGCAAAGCUUCGAAGAAGUUUCUUCUGCCACGAAGGAAAAGUCUGAAGUAACGAUAGUUAUGGUAAAGAAUCUAUUUUUACCUGAUAUAACAGGUAAAAAUACUUUUAACGACCAUUUGAUUACCUAUUGUACUGGUCAUCUAAAUGAAAUAGUACCUAAAAUUUUGGUUAGUAAGUUUUGCAUAAAAAAUAGUAAGUUAACUCGAUAUAUUAGUAACUUUUAUGUCUCAAAAAGUAAACUUGAAUAAAUAUGGAACUAACUUUUUUUUUUGAAGGAAAAUACUACUCUAUAUCUGAAACUUAGUUUUUGGAGAGUAAUUUUAGUUCAAGUAAUACUAAGUUUUUAUAGAUUAAUAGUAAAUAUUGUUGAUAGAAUAGUAAAAUUUGGUUAAUCAUCAAAACUUAAUAGUUUGUGGCAUAAAUUUACUAUUUUACUUAAAGAAACUUACAAUUGUACGUAUCAUUUAUAAAUGUUAUUUGUUUGAAGCAUUUUAAAUAUACCAUGAAAACUUUUUUUUUUUGCAUAUGACCUUAUGAAAUAUGUAAGAAUAAUUUGUCAUAUUUUAAAAUUUUAAUUAUGGGAAAAUAAACAACUAAGUUCCCAAAAUAUUUCACUUUUAUUGUUUAAAAAAUCUCAACUUGUUGGUUAAAUUUAAAAUAAUUCUAUUGUCAAAAUAGUUUUUCUCAAAUUAACUUUCAUGAUUAGAUGUGAGAUACAAAUAUGGUAAAAUAUCCCUCAUACAUAUGUAAUGGAUAUUUCAGAAUUUUAGUAAAAAAAAAAAUUGUUGUUAAAAUAACAUAUAUCAUAGUGUACUAAUUAUUUUAGGACCAUUUUAUAGGUGAACUAAAUUUAAUUUAAAUUAUACAAUAGAUUAUACAUGCAUGUGAUUUUCAUUUAUAAUUAUUGGAUCCUAUUCUUAUGAACAAUCUCCCAAGGGAAAAAAUCCAGAUCAUACUGAUUUUCUUAUAUUAAUUGUUAUACUAAUUUUGUCAUUUUUAUUAUUAUAUUAUUUCUCAUUUUUUUUAGGCUUUUACUCUUAUUAUUUCUUGUGUCUCAGAUGUAAAUUUAUUAAAACUUUAUCAUCUUAUUAUAUUCAUGGGUGUUAAAUUAUAAAAUUUUGAUAUAUAAACAAGUAAUAUUCUAUAUAUAACUAGGAAGAUUUGUUGUUAUUGUUAUUCGAACUUUCAAACUUUUCAAAAAUUGAAAAUGAUUAAAAGCUUAUAAUACAACAAAAUUUUAUUACAUAUUUCACAAGAUUAUGUGAAAAGUCAAACUAUUUUUCAUAGUAUUUUAAAAUAUAUAAAUAAUUUUUUUAAAUUAUACCUAUACUCAUGUAUUAUACAGGUAUAUUAUGAGUACUUACUACUAACUAAGGUACUAAGAAUUAAUCAUUAAUAAAACAUUUAUCGUUAUUUCAAAUAAAUUUCCUAAUACUAUUUUGAAAUAUGUUUUAAAAUAAAUAGCACAUGUGUCCCAUAAAUCAGUAAGUUUUGAUUAUUAAUCAAUUUACCAUGUUAUUAGUAAGAGUUACUAUUUAUGUAUAAAAACUUACUAUUACUUGAAUUAAACUUACUUUCUAAAAAGUAAGUUUGGGAUAUAAAGUAGUAAUUUAUUUAUUUAAAAAGUAAGUUUAAUAUUUAUUCCAACUUACCUUUUUGAAGUAUAAAAGUUACUAAUUUAUUACGGUUAACUUAUUAGUUUAGAUAGAAAACUUACUUUCUUAUUUUUAAGUGUUAUCCUAUUUAGGUGGAUAGAUCUAGCAAAUAAUCAAAUAAUCGCUAAAAGCAAAUAAAAAAUAAAUCAAAAAUGGUCAUCCAAGUGUUAUCCUAUUUAUGUCUUAAAAAGUAAAUUGAAAUAAAAAUGAAAGUUACUUUUUAAAAAAAAUUAAAUGACUACUCUAUAUUCGAAACUUACUUUUUGGAGAGUAAGUUUUAGUUCAAGUAAUAGUAAGUUUUGACGGAUUAAUAGUAAAUCCUGUUGAUAAAAUAGUAAAUUUGGUUAGAUCAUCAAGAACUUACUAGUUUGUGGCAUAAAUUUACUAUUUUACUUAAAGAAACUUAUAUGAAACAAGUAUUAGGAAGUUUAUUUAAAAUAAUGCUAAGAUUUUUUUAUUAAUGAUUGAAACUUAAUAUUAUAGUUAGUAAUUGUUGGUAACGUAAAUGUAUAAUAUAUGAUUGUAUGUAUCAUUCAUCAAUGUUAUGUGUUUUAAGCAUUUUAAUAAAUGUAUGUAUCAUUUACAAAGGUUAUGUGUUCUAAUAAAUUUAUUUUCUAGGUCACAAGUAUAAAAGUUAAAUUUGUGGCAUAAUCUUUGAAAACUAUAGUAAAUUUACCACAUAUUAAGUUUCGUGAGAUUCAAAUAUAUUUUGUAUCAUUUACAAUAUGGAUUUAUAUGCACUUUUUUUUUAUCAAACUUACUUUUAAUUGGCAAAUAGUAUGUAAAUUAUUAUAAAAUGUCAUUUUAUAAUAAUCAUAAUUUUUAUAGGUGAAUGUAUAUAAACUGCUAAAAUUGCCAAUUUAUAAAUGAUCAAAUGUUACUACUUUAUGGCAUAUAUUAGUUUGGUCAACUAAAAAAUUAUCGUAAUUAAGUGUACGUUGGUUGUUGAUUUGAAAUUUGCACCCCUGUCACUAUUUCGUUAUUUCUACACAAGUUUUUCUAAUCAAAGUAAAACAAAGUCAAAUAUCUUUUCCUUUUGUAUGCAGUAUUUAUAUUUAGUAAAAAUUAAUAAACCAUGAUUACAUUUCAUAAUUUCUAAUGAAAUUAGUAACAUUUUCUAAAUAAAUUGGAAUAAUUUGUAAAAUAUGUUAUUUUUUUACCAAUAUAAUUAGGGGUGACAAUCGGGUCCAAAUCGGAGUGGCGGGUCGGGUUGAGACUGGCUGACCCGAACUUGACCGCCAACCCGAAAUGGGUCAGGAUAUCUGACCCGAAUUGAAAAUUCAGGUUGUCGGUUGGCGGGACGACCCGAAUGACCCAAAACUUAAUUUUAAUUUAUUAAUUUACCACUAUAAUUUUAAUUCACACAAGACUAAUUACAUAAUCAAGUAAUAAAAAUUUAAAUAAAUAAUCCCAAACCAAAUCUAAAAUAAAUUAAAAACACCGUAAAAGUGUUUUAUUCCAAACCAACUUCAAGUGCAUUCCUAUGGAAUUGGUCAACAGCAUUUCGUAGAUCUUUUUCUGUGUAUCCCAUCUUGUUGUGGCCCCCAGCUUGGUAAGCUUGAAGGUCCACUAUUUGAGGAAUUCGAAUACCAACUCCAUGCAUCAAAAUAGCAUGCUCCAGGUCUGUUGGGUUGACACUCCUAUGUGAUCGAAGAAAUUGUACAAAUUCUUGAUUUGUCAAUUGGUGAUUGUGAUCCAUAUUAAACCGCUUAAUCGUAGACUUCUGAAUAUUCUUGUUCCAUUGCACAAUUAUAGUUGCCAGACAACCAACUCUCGUAAGACGUUUUGCCUCUUUCUUACGGCUAACUAAAUUUAACCAUUUGCUAUUUCCUAGCCAUGAGAUCCCGCCCCAACCACCAAAAAAAAAUAUCUUUAGACAGCAGGGCAGGGAUUCACGAAGACUCUAUAUAUUAAUGAAAUUCAUAAAUACUUCUAAUUUAGGCAAGAGAUUAUGCAUUCUAAUUGAUGCGUACAUGCUAAUGUAAUUGAACCAAACAUGCAGCUCCAGGACGGUGCUUUCUUGCUCAGGAUUCAUUCAUUUGGAGUAUUUUAGCUAGUAAUGACAAGUUUACAAUAAAUGAGUUUGAUUGAACUUGCUACCUAUCCCAUUGGCGUAAACCCCCAAAUUUUUGACUUGAAUACACAAAGUCGUAUUUUUUGGCCAAAAAAAAAAGAGAAUACACAUAAUCGUAUUUACGAAUACUUCAACCACUAUGCUUGUCUUAUUAUGGAGCUUGGAGUCAUCUUAAUUCUCCAUAUCUUAUGAUUGAGAGUGGCGCAAGACUCCUUCCUAGCAGGUAAGCAGUGGUAAUUAAUAUGUAUGGAUGAAACUUGGACCGAUUCCCACAGACUUCCAAGCCAAGUAACCCAAAUCAUUAAUAUGACCUUCAAACCACAUAUAUACAUACACUUUCUCUGUUUAAUUGAAGGACAAUGUUAGAGGGCCCAAUUACCCAAAAUGAGAAUAAGUUUCCCUGUUCCAAAAAUGUCCCUGGGUUAAGCUCUAUUACUUGGACUCUUUUUCUAUCAAAUUGGCACCUGUUAUCAUAUUUUCGUUCUAAUCCCUGAAAUAAAUGUGAAAUAUAAAAAAUGAGUAGAAUCUAGCAACUAAUCCACAUCAGGUCAGAUAAUAGGGGAAAUUAAUAAUAAAAUAAAUGAUAAAAUUACAACCUAUCAAUUCCCCCCACACCUAAACCAUGCUUGUCCUCAAGCAUGAGAAAAGCGAUCAAACACCAAUAUUUGAUAGUGGCUAUUGCUCUAUCCAACAAAUUGCCAAGAUACCAAGAAAAAAUAAUAAUCAAGCAUCAAUGGUCAAGUCCAAGAAACAUCACUCCGGUUAGCUUCUAAACCACAAACUCCUCUAAUUUCAUGUUAACUAAUCUAAGAAAAAGGAGUAACGCAUAACAUUUAUCAGCAAAUGGUCCAACUAUUAACCAAAAUCUCAACAUUAAGUCCAUAAUUCGGCAAGCUGACUUUUAUUACACACUAACACAACCUUCACUUUUUUCACAUUUUUUUUUUUUACUUUUUUCUCUUUUUUUUUUAUUCUUUUUUUUUUCAAUAGUAACAAAAGACUUAGUCGCUAGCCAUUUGAGCCUUUUGACGCGAACUCCAACAUUGGCCAGAUGAAGGAGCCCGAUUACUCAGCUUCCAUCGCCACGUGACCACGAACUCAUAGCAAUUACUACUUUUUGACGCGAGAAUCGACACUUUUGGUGAAGAUCCCCGGUUACUCGGUAGUAAAUACUAGCGGAGUACAGUCAACUCUUAUUCACAGCCAAAUAAUACCAAAAAUUCAAAAUAACACAAAAGAAAAUUUGCAUCAGCUAGCCUCAUUUUCAAAUAUGGAGAACUAAAGUUAAUAAUCGGACCAAUUCACAUGAAAAUGCCAACAGUCAUUCCCUACGCCUAGGAAAGUUAACCAAAAAUUAUAAGGGUAAAACAAUCAUCGAUAUUCACCAAAGAGAUGUUCUUGGAUUCAACCACAUUAACUUGACACCCUUUUAUUAUUAAAACUUGGCAAAAGUAGAAAUAGAGGCAAUAAUCCAACAUCAAACCUUGGCAUGCAUUUACGAGCCAAUCACUAAAAAGAAGAAAAAGAAAAUGAACGAAAGACACUAGCACCCUAACUGCUCCCCCCACACCUAAAUCCUACAUUGUCCUCAAUGGAGGUAAUAAAGUAAUGAAAGCGAAGAGAACAAUGGAACUUCCCUGUUGAACAGCUAAGGGAUAGGAGGGAACAGUGGAGGGAAGCCGAGUUCUGAGACAUCCUUACCACCUGGCGGGUGAUGUUCGUCACUCUCUCAACUACGUGAUGAAUCUGAGCCCGCAAGUGGUGCGACUUAACAUCAGAGGCCAUCGGUGGGGGAGGCGCAGAAGAAGAGGGCUCGGGUCUUACCAUUUUCUCCAAAUGUCAUUUCAAUCAACAAGAGACAAGAAUUGCCCACAGACAAUGUAAACAGCAAAUUCAAAGCAAUAACAAUUUAAUAGCCACCGGUGCCUCCCAAAUAUCAAUAGGGAGCGACACAACUUGCCCACCCAAAAUCUCUCUAAAUAUCUCCAAUUGCACAAGAACAACCCAGUCACACAUGCCCAGCAGUCAAUCAAGUAUCCAACCAAGUAGAACUGACACAUGCAAGGGGAAAUAUUCCAACCAGUAUCAUUAGUGCAAAACAUAGUCCAAAAUCAAUGAAAUUGCUAUAGUAGAGUAGAGCAGUAGUAAAGCAAUAGCCCCAAGUAUUAAUCUAGUCACAAGAAAGAUUCUAAACCUCUAAAGAAGAGCAAUAGACGACUAGAAUUCCAAUGAAUAGAGCAAGUAGAGGAACCGUAGGUGGGAACCCAGUCCACCGAAGUCAAUAAACAAACCCAGGAAACAAAUAAGUCCGCAAAUGAGUCAACAAAUUGCACAAAUGAUCAGACCAAAAUCACAGACACUGUUCCUCCAAAUCAGCAAUAUAAACCAACAUCCAAAAUGUCCUCAAAAACUCGAUUAAAAACUACUAAUGCCAACAAGGAAUGCAGUUGCCGAAUUAAAUCAACCAAAAUUUCAACAAGCACAACACUGGCCGAGAUUCUUCCCAAAAUAUCACAGACAAUUGUUAAAAUUCCAGCCCACCCAAGAACUUCAACAAUUGCACCCAAAAGCUCAACAAUUGCCCCCAGCAGUCAACAAGUCAACAAGUCAAGCAACAGUAGUGCAGUGAUUCGGCAAUAACGACUCAAUAUAUACCCUCAACUGGCAAUCAGGCAUCUACCCACAAAAGCAAGUGAAAUUAUCUCAACGACCUAAUGGUUCAAAACACAGAAUUCACUUCCACCCAACGAAAUAGUUGAAGUCACUAAGAUGAACACGUUAGUUAACCGUCACAGAAAAUUCUAACAAGCAAACCAGCUCCUAACAGGGCAAAUUAAGCAGCACAAGCUCCUGAUUCAAUAGGCAAUAUCAGAAAUAACUCAACCAGAAUCCCAAAAGAAACCUCAACGAACUUAGUAGUUGAAAGCAAUGGUCAGAAUAUUUCUCAGCAAUUCAAUUAGAUGCACCCAACUGGAGGAAGCAAUGUAAAUAGCAUAGAAACUUCCCAAUUUAACAAACAAGUGCAAUAUUUCAGCUUACCCAAAAUUUCAACAAAUGGCUCCAGUUGGCCAGUCAAAAUCUUAAUUCAAAGUCAGCAAUUUCAAUGAAAACGACUUAGAUAUUGGACACCACAAACGCAGCCAACCAGAUAGAGGUACCAAAUUAAGGUCCAGUUACCCCACCAGUACCACAGGUAUAGCAAAAUAGCACAAUAAUACGACAGAAAAUAGCACAAUUGCUAGCACUGGUGCACCGCACAGUUAAGGCAGAAAACCCAAUUGCCACUCCAAUCUACUGACAAACCCCCAAGUGAAUCCAAUACAUACCAAAAAUUGGGGAUUUAGUAGCAAAUACCUCUCCCAGUGGCCGAAUGAAGAAACUGGGGCGGUAGUGGCUAAGAAAAAGAGGCGCUGUGUAGGACGCGAGGGAAAGGCGGCGUCCGUGGGCUGGAGCUACGAGGGAGCGCGACUACGCAUGGGCACGGGCGGCAGCGCGCGACUACAGCAGCGACGGCGUCGGCUUGGGCAAAGCGCGCGACAGUGAAGGAGAGCUGGUGAAGCGUGCGGUCGGAGCUGGGUGGCAUGCGGAGGGAUCGCGACUGGAAGAAGAGCUGCGGGGUGGCCUGCGCGUGGUUGGUGAGCGGCGGCGGCGCACGAGCUGGUCGUCGCUGGCGGAGGCGCGAGAUGGGUGCUGCCUCUGGUCUGCUGGCGGUAGCUCGCGGUGGAGGAGUUGAGCAGCGGCGGCGGCAACGCUCCUCGUGCCCGCGAUGGAUCGAUGGCGAAGAGGAAGCUGGUGAGGGGAGAGCCGCGGCUGGGGUGGGUUGAGGGAGGAGGCGGUGGAGAAGAAAGAAGAAGAAGAAGAAAGAAAGAAAAGAAAGAAUAGGGAAGAAAGAAAAAGAAAAAGAAAAAGAAAAUAGUAUUUGUGUGUUUUUUUUUCUUUUCCAUUUUUUUUCUCUUUUUAGAAAAAUUUUUUUUUUUACAGGAAGACUCUCCCCCCCCUUUUUUUUAAAUUACUAAAAAAAAAUUUUUUUUUUAAAAUUUUUUAUAUAUAUAUAACUUUUUUUUGAUUGACAAAAUUUAUUUUUGAAAUUCAAAAGUAGAGAUUAACAGAAAAUCAAUAAUCGUUCUUGAGCUUUUUGAAUACUUACCUUUCCCGUGAACAUGACGCGGGCACGUCAUGAAGGCACAGAAUCUGGAGCUCUCCAUAUGACAUGACGCGGGCAUGUCAUGAGGGCAGGAACCCCUUCUGACGAUUCUGACCGUGAGCUCUCCAUAUGACAUGACGCGGGCGCGUCAUGACAGAAAGACACCUACAAAUUAUCAAAAACGAAAAUUGAAACCCGAAAUCAGUCAAAUUCAAGGAAAAUAUAUUUAAACUAUCACACGAAAUCAAAACAAACAAUUAAAAGGAAUAAUUGGGUUGCCUCCCAAUGAGCGCCUUUCUUUAAUGCCUUUGGCUAGACAUUAUCAUGUUUUGCUCAUGGAGGAUAAAAUCUUGUAACUCGCUUCAAUGCUUUAUCUUCAAUGUGAUCCUGGUAACCCUCAUAGAUGGAGUAAUUUUUGAACACACGAGCUACGGUCUUCCAUGGACUAGUUGAUGGCGCCAAAUAAUCAAGCAGUGAUCUCAAUUCUUCAUCCACUCCUUCAUCAAGAGCACUCAACGGUUCAAGAUAUUUGACCAUAGCUACUCUUAACUUAUUUCUGCCAUGAGACUCAAAAACUUCCGGUAUAACAAAGUCAAUCUCAUUAACAGAAAUCAUGGAGUAAGAGUUUAGAAAAUGCGAGUUGGGGAAUGGAGGUGGUAUCACCACAUUUGAUGAUUCUUCACUGGAUUCUUUCACUUGAAUGGGUUGCGGUUGGGGUUCCAUUUCUUCCUUUUCGGCUUCUUUUUCAACUGCAUCUGUAGAUUUCUCAUUUUGACACUCUUGCGUCUCCUCAUCACUAGUCAAGCAAAUUGCACUCUCAUUUUCUUCUAGAUCAACAAUGGUUUUCGAGGGCAAUUCUUCCAUUUGAGAAACCCAUCGAUUUAUUCUGGAUGUCAAUAGACAUAGUUGAUCUGCCAGAUAACUCAUUGCAUCCUUCAUCAUCUCAUUCCUCAUUUGUGUCUCCUGUUGGAAUUGGUAUGUAUUAGUAGCUAUUGGUUCAACUAUUUUUUCAAGAGACAUACCUGACAUAGAUGACGAUUCUUGAGACUCAUACUGCUGAAAAUUCAUUGGCCCCGUUGUAUAAUUAUAAUUGGAGUUAUCCCACCAUCUUUGAUCAUACCCGUUUGGAUUAGGGUUAUACCACGUUUGAGACCAGGGUGAAAAAUCUCCGUAAUUAUUGAAUGGGACACUCAGAUUAUCUUGAUAUUCGGGGUACAUACCGGUUGAAUGAUCCCUGGCAUAACAAAUUUUACAUGUUGCAGCAGCCAUUCUUUCUCUAAUAGAGUUUAGUGCCUCUGAAUAUGCAGACUUAGCAAAAAAACUAGUCUCAUCGCCUUCCCCGGAAGCAAAAUCCUUUAUAUCACCAAAAUACGGAGUGUUAGAAGCCAUAAGCUAUAUAAAAAAAAAAGAAAAAUAAAUUAAAAAUAAAAAUAAGGUGAACUCAAAAAGAAACAAAUUAAUCUGACACCAGUCCUCGGCAACGGCGCCAAAAAUUGACAGGUUGUCGAAGCCUGUGCAGUAAUAAAAAUCUACUCAAACUAAAAAUAAUUUCUGUAGAUAGCGGUGAGCAGGGUCGAAUCCACAGGGACUGGGAGUAAUUAUUUCUUUUCAAGUUCACAGUGACAAGGGGGUGUUUUUGUGCAGAGAGUGACAAUCAAAUAAAUGCAAAUAAAAUCCAAGGAACUACUAAAAAUUAAAUAAUAAUUUACUAAACACAAAUGAAUGAUAACUAAAGUUAUAGCCAAGAAAUAACUUCAGCAAUGGUUCACCUAAUUGAUCAUCGAAACAAAGGCAAUUCCAAUUAUUUACCAAUAAAUAGGUUAUAACUACCAAACAAGCGAUGGCAGUCAACCCCUCCUUACUGUGUCGGUGAUUAAGGUACGCCCGUUAAUCACUGCUCUAAUUGAGAAAUAAUCCUAGGUACGCCCAUAAGAUUUAAUUUCCUAAUUGCCUUACAUAUUAGAGGAGCCCUAUUCUAACCAAAUAACGCACUACUAGAGUUAUUUUAGAUUAGCCCACGUAUUCCCCUGACACAAACCCAAUCAUGCCAGUUAUCACUAUUUUGAGACAAUUAAACAAUUACGGAUUUAACGUCCCAAUUGACAAUAGAUUAUCAAAUUAACUAAUUAUCCGGAUCCAAAACAAUCAAUUAAUUAAACAAUCAUAAGCACUGCAACCAAGGAAUAUGCGAAUACUAAUAAAUAGAGAAAAAGAUAAAAUUAAAUCGAUCUCACAAUUUUUUACGUGAAUCAAAGCAUCCGUUGUCCCUUGACUAGGGUGAGGAAAUUAGUUUAUAGUUGAUGAACAAAAUCCACAAGAAAUUGAAGCAAAAGCUGCGGCCAUCAAUUCGGAAGUUGGGUGAAUUCAAUUCGUCUAUUCAAUGAAGAAAGAAAGCUACAAAAGGUAAUUCAUAGUUUUCCUUCGGUCUGGACAUCCGCAGGAAGCAAACCACUAAAAGACGAAAAAGGAAAAGUCAAAAAGAAAACAAGCCUAAGCUACUGAACGGAAAGUUCCCUUUCAAUUUCUAUCUAAAUCCUAUUCUAAUGCUCUCCUUGCGCGGCGGCCCCCUUGUGGAGAGGACGAAGCCUCUGGAGGAAGAAGAAGCAGAGGACCCCUGCGGCGCUCCAGCCCUCCAGUAAAAUAGAAGCCUCUGCCCUGCUCUCUUCUUUUGAAAUUACCAAAAUGGGCAAAAGUCUUCCUUUGCCAAUAAUACCCCUGGGAUAAGCUCUGUUAUUUGAGCUCUUUUCUUGUUAAAUUGUCACUUGUUAUCAUAUUUUCGUUCUACUCCCUGAAAUAAAUGCAAAAUAUCAAAAGUGAGUAGAAUCUAGCAAUUAAUCCACAAUAGGUCAGAUAAUAGGAAAAAUUAAUAAUAAAAUAAAUGAUAAAAUUAUAACCUAUCACAAUGCAAUGGGCAUUGAUGGAGCAGCCAAGACUUCCCAAAAAGGAGAUGAAGCUAGAGGUUACGGAAGCAAGCUUGUUAAAGGAGCAUGAUGGUUUUUCACGAGUUGCACAUGUUCUCAAGUUAGCAGAAGAGCAGGAUAAGAGAAGUCUUUUACAGAUCAUUUUCGAUUAUGUAUGUAAAAGAAUGUUAGCAAAACUAUAAAAAUGUAGAAUGAUGAAUGGAUCGUCCUGUCUAGGUGAGAUUUAUUGAUGAUACGAUAUUUGUAUAUAUACUUGUCCAAUGUUCAGCAUACAAUUUCCAGAGUUUCAAUUCUGUGUGAGCAAAUUAUUUACUAGGAACCAAAGAGAAAGGUCCCUCAAGCACUACUGGUGAUAGAAAUUUACUGAUACGAGGCUCAUAAUGCUCAACAUAGUUCAACAUUUAAACAGAGGAUGACAGAAAACAUGUAAGAAUCUUUAUAUUCCAGAAACAUACUCACUGCUAUGCUGUUAUGAGGAAAUUUCACAGGAAAUGGUAUUGCAGUUAAGGUAAAGAUUUUCCAGAGUGUACUCUGCAAUAAGGGAGAACUCUUAAGCCUACCAAAUAAGGGAGAACUCUAAGAAUUGUUGACUAAAGUACCAGCAGGUUUCUAAAGUUUUAAGAACUGUUACGUCCCAUGUUAAGUUUUUGGACCAAUGUUGAUAACUUUAGUUUCUGUUGAUUUGAUUUAAGUAGUUGAGGUUCUAUUAUUGUUGAGAAACUUGUAAGUUUUAAUUUUGAGUGAAUUUUAUAAGUCACAAUAAAGAUGUAUUGUAUUGGUGGAAGUAAGGACUCUCAUGCUUGACUCCAAACUUAUCGAUUACGGGUUUGGGCGUGACAUUAUACUAGCUAUCUCGGAUACAUGACGUAUAUGUAAAACUUAGAAUUCAAAUUAAAAGUAAGAUUAGUCGUCAUUAUCUAUAGUAUACACAGUUAUCUCUCGUUUGGUACGCAAGAAUCGCCUAGAAUAGAAAGGUCUUUCCAACUUAUUCAUUCCAUUUUCCUGUCAAGUAUAGAUCUUUUGAGUUGGAAUUCCUGGAAAACUCAUCCCAACUUUUUCAUAAAAAUUUCAUUCGUCAUAAAAUUCUAAGAAAAGCUCUUUCCUCCUUUAUCCUAGAACGUCCAAAAUUAUUGUAGUCAAAUUUAUCCUCAUAGAUCUCUUUGUUUUAUUAACAAUUAGUAGGCUUUUUGUUAGUUUAAUUAAUAAUUGACCAUAAUUACAAACUAUUCCAGUUAUUUUUAAAAUAUUUUUUCUUUGCUAAUUUUAAGAUAUUAUUCUUUAAACUUCUAUGCAAAUAUGUAAGGAUUCCUUUUUGGCACUUGACAUAAAUGGUAAAAACUAAUAAAUAGAGAAUAUGAAUGUUUAACUUCACGUAAUUUAAUUUUUUGUAAGCUAGUGAUUACAUUGUUAUUUAAAAUCCAAAAAUGAUAUAAUAUUAUAAUCAAAUGAUUUCAAUAAGUACAUAUGCCAUUCAUAAUGUACAAAAAAAAAAAAAAAAAAAAAAGAGUCAAUGUUCCUCAUAUAAAGUAGGGAAAAUCGUUCAAAAUGUCUCUCACAUUUUGCAAAAUAAAAGAUUUCUGGGUAAUUAAGUCAAUUUUAUACAUAUUUAUUCCAUUUUGACAUCUAAAAAUUGAUUGUACCAGAUACUGGAAAUGGGAUGAACAUUUGAUUCUAACAUGCAUACCAGACAUUAGAAUGAAAUUUUUUUUUUCCCAUAUCGUUCUAACUAGAAAAGCAUUUUGAGUGGAAAGACUUUUCCAUUCUGGGCAUUCCGUAAUCCGUAUACCAAACAAGGGUAAGAAAAGAUUGAUCCAUUAAAAAUCAAUCAUGCGGUAAGGAGAUUAGAUAAUGAUAGAUUUGAAAAAAUUAAUGGCUACGACUGGUAUGUAAUUGUGAAAAUCACAACAUCUACCAAAUCCUUAUAUUCCAGUUCACAAUUUUACAAUGUCAGUUUCUUGAUGGGUAAUAACUAAAUCCUAUCUUUAUACUUUUUAGUGUUAAAGCUACAUGCAGCAAAUUAAAGCUCAACUUUGCAUUUUUUUUUCUUUUUUCUUUUGCUACACUAAUUUUGACAUUCAGUACUUAUUUGAGACACACAUGUAGAGUGUGCGUUAAGCAUUAGCAAGAAUAAGAUUUGUAUAAAUAUAUCAGUCAUUUUUUGAGAUUCGGUAAAUCUAAUUUCUUGAAUCCACAAUUUCUCCGUUUAUCAUUGUAAGAGCUAAACUUUUCUUUGGACUUAAACCAAUUUUUAAUAAGAUUUGAUUGUUGGAAAACAUGUACAAAUCUAUUGGACUAUAAUGAUUCAUAUAAGCGAAAGAUAUGUUAAAACAUGAAUAUUAUCUUUGUUUUGUAUGGAUUUUUCAGAUCUGUUAAUUUCAAAUCUGUGUAUACUUGUAUCAUCUUUGAUUUGAUAUAUUCUCUGCCAUUACUAUGUUUGCAUUCUCACGCCAUAUGCCCUUAUCUUCAGAUAAUAUACAUACAUCAUUUGAUUCAAAACCCCACGCAAUUCAUUAUUUUACCCAAACAUAAAAACAUAAUCAAUUUGCAUUAGAGGUGUGAUUAUUACGCAGUAGUUCGACUUUAUUGGUCUAAUUCAUUGAUGCAUCUUCCAUGAUCUUCACAAUUUCACGCAAAGCAUUAUAAGAUAAAUUUGGCUAAUAAUAAUGGACAUGCUUAGUAACACCUGACUAAUUAUUUGUAUCAAAAUACCGAACUUGCUUUCAAUUAUAGAAUAAAUAUACUUUCCGAUUCAUUAAUGUACGCGUUAGAAUCUAAUCGAAUCAAAUCUAAUAAAUUCAUCGCUCAAUCGAUUAAUUUUGAUCUUAAUGGAUCCAAAAAAUGGAACUCCCAACGGAUUCAGACAAAACUAUGUUUGGAUUAAAUAGGUCGAAAUUGGUUCUCGAAAAUGAAAUGUACUUUUUCCAUCUUAAUUGGGAUUUUUAGCUGGCAUAAUAGUGUGUGAAGUCAACAUCAAGAUAAAGUUAACUAUGUGCUUAACCACCAUUUUGGUUAAACGAUAUGAACCAAGGAGUUGAUUAGUCAACAUGCAAAAAUAAUUGGAUCUAAUCCUACUUAAUUAUCAUUCAACUUUAAGGAGAAGAUUGGUAUCUACUCAAGCAAAUAUAUAUAUUUCUUUAGCUCCAUCGGUAAUGCUUGUGUUUCUUUAGACUUGAGGGAAUCAUUACAGAUGCAAUAUUCAAGCAGAAGGUAGACAUUAGUACUACAUACUGAUCAAGCUGAAGCCAAAGGCCAGUCUCUUUUUGAUGGUUUGUUAAGCAGCAGAUUCCUAUUGUGAUGAGAUUCAUAGGAGCGGUAACAAAGCAGAAAAUAGAAAAGGUUGAUGAAACUCAAGAUGGCAAGCAGCCAGUAGUGGUAGUCAAGGUGACCUUCAUUCAGGUUGUUGGCCAACCAGCUUGCUUUACCACCGCAACCAGUAAUGCUAUUGACAAUAUUCACCAGAAGACUCCCAAACAGGUUAGCCAGAGCCGAUCCAAAUGUAUAAAUUGCUGCUCCAAUACUGGACAUGCUCUUAGGGAACUCCAUGUAAAAGAAUUGCAACUGUCCAAUUGCAUUCAGAGCUUCGGCCAAUCCGAGAAAUACAAUCUGUGGCAGUAGCAGCAUUGCAGACAUGUCCACGACGGCAUCUGGCUCGCCCUGAACCCCUCAUCAACUGCUUUUUUCAGCCUUAUGCUCUCCACAAUAGCUGCUAAUACCAUGGAUAUACAUGACAUUAUCAAUCCCAUCCCCAUCCGUACUAUAGGACUUAGUCCUUGUGGAUUACGAGUAUAUCUUGCCAAGAAGGGUGCUAGUAGACGAUCGUAAAAUGCAAUCCAAAUUGCCAUGGUAAUCACCAUGAACAAAGUAAAGGAUCCAGCUGGAACUUCAAAAUUCAAUAUGUGCCUAUCCAUUGAACUCAGUUGAAGUGUUAGAAAAGAAGUCUGAUCAAUGAUAACUAAGAAUAUUAGGCCUGUGGACCACAUGGGAACAACUCCAAGGAGAACUUUAAGUGAUUCAACUUGUUCCACACUGCAGAGGGUCCAUUGAUCUAAAGCUGUUCCAUCCGAAGUUAAUUCUGUGUCUGGAUCUUGAAUAAUACAAGCCUUAUUUAGACACCUGUAUAUAUAGAUAUAAACUAUCAACUAAAAUAACUAACGUUCCUGCUUGAAAUGGUUUCAAAGUGAUUUUCUUGUAAACUUAUACUGAUCAUGCAGAAAGUGUUUCUCCUAUCUUGCCCUGAGUGGAGCAAAAUGGAGACAGCACCUCCUAAUUUUGAUUACUACUUUUUUAGUGAAGAUUAAGAUUUUUUUUAAGAUUUUCUUUUAAUAUUUUAAUAACUACAAAAUUUUCUCUAGAAAAGUCAUUAGUUGGCAGUGGCAGAAGAUGCAAAAAUCAGCAUAACCAAAAGUUGCCAGAGUUUAAGGAACUUAUGUGAUGGCAAUUGAUACUGUGGCAGCUAUACCUGAACUGCUCAGUGGGUGCUAGAAGCUCUGGCUUCCUGGUCUUAUGGUAGCACUUGUAAUUGUCUUUCGAAGGGCAAUCAAUUUUUCUCUUUCUGAAUGCUGCCACGAGAACUGGGAAAAAUCCGAUUAACAAGCUUUCACUAGGUUUUGAUUUGAUGUAAAGAGAGGAGCCAACUAAGAACAUCAGAGCAGAGAUAACAUUAAGAUGGCAGGGAUUCCAAAUCCAACUGACCACCCCAAACGAUCCUGGAUAUAAACAAUUACAGUCAUGGCAACAACAGUUGAGAUUGUGGCAGAAGCAUAAUACCAGUUGAAAUAACUUUGUAUAACCCUCUCAUUGUUGGGAUUCUUUUUGUUGUCGAAUUGGCCUGCACCAAAAGCAAUAGAACAAGGCCUAAUACAACCAGCUCCUACAGAAAUUAGCAAAAAUGAAGACAAUAAGGAAACAAUUCGAACUCCAUUUGGUGCACUGCAAUUGUGCAACUGGUCACAAGGUAAAGGCUUCAACGGUGGAACCAUAGAAGUCAGCCACAGAAUAACCAUUCCCUGCAGAAACAGACCAUAUUUUGAUUCCGAACAACCCAAAUGGGGGACUAAGAAUUAGAUCCAUAAGUCUUAUUCUAGUUACCCAAUUUUUAUCAUAUAUAAGUGGCAGGAAAAAAGAAAAAUGUCCAACCGCGCAGAGCAAUACUAGAUAUGACAGAAGCUCAGAUCAUCAUGGCGUGUUUGUUCUUUAUUACAUAAACGUCCAAUAGCAACCAUUCCUAUCAUACUUCUAUUGGUAAAUGUUCGCCAUGAAUGGGCAUUUUACAGUCCCAAGUCUUAAGAAGAGCGUUUUCUACAUUUUCAUUCAUCAAAUGGUUUAUCAAGACCUGUUUCAUAAUCUGUUCAAGAUCAAUAAAAAUUUUCCACAGCUCUAAACUUUCUUGUUGCUGGACUUUAUAGUCAAUAAUUAAAGGCACCUGAUGCAUGAUAAGUAGAUUCUGAUGCAUAAUAGUUAGAUUCAAUUGUCCCUGGAAUUGUCCCCCUUUCCGCUAUACUUAGAUAAGCUACAACAAAUUUAACAUUUCUGAUCAUUCAAAUUAAGUACUAUAUUUGUUACUGAUCAUUCAAAUUAAGUAUUAUAUUUGUUAGUCAUAAAUUUUCUAAUCCUCUGGUAAACCAUAAAGAAGAUUAUCUCAAGAAACAGAAACAGAAUGACUUUAAACUGUAAUUGCAUACAAAACUUGCAAAUAUUGGUCCAAAACUUAGUACAGAUGAGCAAUUCCAGAAUUUUAUGUGGGGAAAAGAAACAAAAAGCAAUAUGUUAAAUUACACAAUAAGUAAAAGAGACUCACAAGAAGGCUGGACAUGGAUCCAAGAGCAAUGACCCGGAACCCACCAAAAUAAGAAUCAGCCAAGAAAGCACCAAAAAGGGCCAAACCAUCGGAUAGAGCAGCCCAGAUAAAGAGUAUAGUGGAUGCUGUGGCAGUUUCAAAAUGGUAAACUUUUGUUAAGUAGAGUAUCAUGUUUGGCAUUAGCCCCUGACUUGCCAACCUCUCAAAUGCUACAUUCACUGACCAAGAGGAAGAGAGAUAGAGAGAGUGAGAGAGAGAGAUCAAAACUUUUGUCCAAUAUGACAGAAUGCAGAGCCAUACAACAUUUCCAUGCAUACCUAGGAUGAAAGGCAUGGUCUUGAGACCACCCUUCGUUCUUCUUGGUUCUGGUGAACGAUCAGCAAACUCUCUUCUUCUGGAUUAUUGUCCAUCUUCACUUCUUCCAUCAACAGCUUUACUGGAUUUUAGAUUUAAUUUUAUGUUAGUUGAAAUGAAAGUCUUCAAUCAAACAAGAUACUUCAUCAAGGAGGAGUUUUAGUUUGUCUCUAUGUUUUUAUUGUCUUAGAAUUCAAAUAUAUAUACUCCAACUUUUGCACUCCUAAUCAGAAUAUUUACCAACCGUAUGACUUGGCUUCAUUUUUAACGAUUGUAAUGCUUUUUCCAGGAAAAUGCAUCUAUUAGAGUAGACAAUGGAUUGCUACAAUUACAGCACAUGAUAAUAAUUUCUAUACAUUUUUAAGUGUUCUAUUCGUCAAGCACGCCAUCAUUUGGGCCCUCAUUGCAAAACAAAAACUGCGGGAAAGCCUUAGGUGAGAAGCUAUAUAAUCAUUAUGACUGAAAUCUAGCUACUUCAGUAACGUGAAAACUGGAAAGUUGAUUAUAUUAAUGAAUCAAGAAUUAAUCUUCUAUACACUAUCAAAUCAAGAUGCACAAUAAUUAAUUUUAAUUUGAUUUUGAAAUUAAAAUUUUACACGUGUAUCAUGUAUUUAAUCAUGAUAAUGUAUAUAUGCUGUCAGUAUAUAUAUGCACUAAAAUAUAGACCCAAAAAAAAUUUUAGAAACAGGUACAUGAAACGGGUACAAAAAAAAAAGGAUUUUAGAGAAAGAUUUUAUCACCUGUCAGAGGAAAAGCAAGAUCCAGGAAAGGCUAACCAUGGAUUGUUUUGUGCAAUGUCUAAUGUGACUCACAAGUCACAAGAUGUACGGCAUGGACAACACAUUGUGAAAACUAAUACUCCCUUCCUUUUUUUAUAACUGACGUUUAAGAUUUUGCACAUCAAUUAAGAAAAGCAUUUCAUUACUUAAAUAUGUACACUACUUUCCUUUUGUACCCUCAUUAAUUAUCCAAUUCACCCAUGGAGGGGCAGAUAAUUACUAGGGUUGUUACAAAGAGAGAAGCAAUAAUUACUAGGAGUAGUAAUUAAGAACCCUGUAUUGGAAAAGAGAGAUAAAAGGGUAAAAUUGUGAAAAAAUAAUUAAUACUGUAUGGGGAUAAUAAAACGACAGAUAAAAGUACACUAGAGCAAAUUUCUUAAACGUCAGUUAUAAAAAAAAUGGAGGGAGUAGUACAAUAGAGUGGAAACUCUGAGCACUAAGUAUCAAUUUUAUGCAAUUUUGAGCCAAAGUGGCCAACCGCCCAAAACCAUUAAAAGAUGCAAGAGUUAUUGUCCCUUCUUGUUGGGUUGAUAGGGCAAAUUAAUACACGAAUUAGUGCAUUAAUGCACGUAUUCUAGUUGACAGUCAAAGUGGCGUUUCCAUAUCUUUGUUGAACUCAAGACUGUAAAUUGUAUAUCCGCUAGGAUGAUAACUAGUGCAGACCAGACAACGAGGUCUUGGCUUCAAAUUUGGCUGAAAUGUGCAAAUAAUUUAUAGGUACUUGAAUCCAUUGAAAAGGGGUUUUAUGUACCUGCCUUGAUUUGAAUAGUAAGUUAACUAAAUAAUCACGUAGUAGUACUUUUUUUGGGUAACGUGUUAGACCCACAAGAAAAUCUAAAAAAUGCUAUGCUAUAAAUUUAAGAAUUAAUGUUCUCUACACUGUUAGUGUAUACAUUGUACGUUUUAAAUAAAUAACAACUAUAUGAAAUUUAAAUUUGAAAUUUAACUUUUAUACAUGUGCCAUGGAUCCAUCAAUGAUAAUGUAUACACUGUCAGUGUAUAUAAAAUUUGCUUUAAAUUUAAUCAUAGCGAAUGAUAAAAAGUCAUGCCAAGAUAAAAAAAACUUCCAAAUCAACCCAGACGGUAAGAAAUCUGGAAAACAUGUCUAAUCCAACUAAAAACACGCAUACAGAAUGCAAAUGAUUACGCAAAUCCAGUCCUGAAGCAAUAAAAUUAGACUUAGGCACCAGCUUGCCCAAGCUGGUGUAGUAUGUUGGUGUAGUAUAUUCCUAUUGCCCACAACUGCUUUGAAAACAAGCUUGGAAAGAUGUGUCUACCUUCAAAAAAUGGCGGUUUGGGAGUUAAAAAUCUGGUCAAAUGGAAUCAAGCUUUGUUACAUAAACUAAUUUAGAAUAUUUGUGCUAAGAAAGAUCAUUUAUGGAUUGUUUGGGUGCAAAGGUUUUUACUAAAAGACAAGUGGUUUUGGAUGAUUUCUGUUCCUAUGGAUUGUAGUUGGGCUUGGCUCAAAAUAUUGCAGUUCAGGCCUUUGAUUACGCCAUUUAUUUGAAUAGAAUAGGCAAUAGGGCCACCACAUCUUUGUGGUUUGACAAUUGGCGUCUCAAAAGGGUCCUUUCUGGUAAUGUAUUUUCUGGUAAUUUACAAAAGAUCCUUUCUUUUUGGUAAUUUACUUUGAUCCUUGGGGUGUAAUAAGUUAAAUGUAGUGUCUCGAAUGAUGAGUAAGAGAAGUUAAUUUUAUUUUGCAUCUUUUAAUUAUACCUAAAUUUUCACUUUGAUACCUAAAUUUCAAAGUAUGACAUUUAGUAUUUGAAGCACCUAUUUUAUCCUAUGUAAGUAAGAUCUGCCGCACUUUAGUCCUUAAAAUAUAAUGGGCCAGCCAAAGUCAACAAUGGGUUUGAGCUGGGCAUUGUAUAUUAUUGGAUUAGGAUGACCUUGGACUUCAAUUGAAGUUCGCCCAAAAAUUUAUGUAUAUAAAGUUUAUGUUUCAUUUACUUUCAUUUUUAAUUAUGUAUAUUAUUGAAUAACUAUUUGUGUAUCUAUAUAUAUUAUAAUUUUCAUAAUCCUAAAAUAUUAUAUGCACAUUAUGGGCUUGUUCUCAUUGAUUAUUUUAGGUGGUUAUAUAUUUUUUUCCAACAAACAUUAACAGUUUCAUAUAUAAGAAUUAACACUUGAUAUUGCAAGAGUUAAUUACAAAAAGGGGCCACUACCCUAAUUUCCUUCUGUGCUAAGUCUAUCAACAAUAUUGGAAAAUCUUGUUCCCAUUCUACAUCAUGCACUAACUUUACAUCUUGUGCUAAGUUUAUGGCUGAUUUCAUUUUCUAAUCUAGUUACAAAAAAGAAAUGAUAGUUUUCAAAAUAUGCUUUUAGUUUCCUGAACGUCUUCCAAAAUAGUUGCAAUGUUGUAUUUACAGUCACUGCAGCUAUUAAUCUGGUCUACAGCUGACUUGCAAUCUGUGUGAACUACUAUUUUAGUCCACCCUGCAUUUUGGCCAUCACCAUUGCAUUUCUUAUUGCAAGAGUUUCUUCCUUGCUUGCAUCUCCCUUUUUUUGGUUCACUAUCCCUUUUGCCUUCACAAUCCUUCCCCUCCAGUUUCUUGCAAUUAUCCCUUAGCCUAUUCUAAUCAUUCUUGCAGAGAUUGUAGCAUCUGGAUACAUGUAUAUCACAUUUUUCUUUGAUGGCUCUCUUCUGACUUGUGUCUUACUGUUAACAUGUAGUGCAGUGUUUUCUUGUUCUGCUUCUCUUGUCUAUUUGUACUCUAUCCAAUCACCUUGUGCUUUCUGUAUUGUUCUACUUGGAUCCAGAUUAGAGUCUUCAAACAUUUUUUUGUUCCUAGCUUUCCAAAUUUGCCAAAAGAUGUUAAUGGUAAGGUUUAUUUGAUCCUGACCUUGUUCCUUUAAGAUUGUUUGCAUGGCAGUUUCCGACCAGAGCCACAAGUUAUGCUAUUUGUCUUUCAAUCCAUCCCAUCUCACUAGAGCCAGUUUCUAGACCAGUGCUGCAUUUGUACAAAAGAAGAACAAAUGUUCUAUGGUUUCAACAUCCUCCCCACAAUAGUCAUAUCUUCUCUUCUCUUUUCCUAACCUUUUGAAUGUAAUGUCGUUUACUGGUAUGCAAUUCUGCAGGCAUUUCCACAUAAAAUGUUUCAAUUUGCCCUUUACAUUCUAUUACCAUAACUUUUUCCAAAUACUAUGUUUUAUUAUCUCCCAACUAGUUUCAGCAUUGAUUCUUUCUUUGGCACAGUGCUGAUCACAAUCCUAUUUUGACACUAUAUAUCCAGUCUUUACUGUGUAUGUUCCAGUUUUAGAGAAUUUCUAGAAUACUUUGUCCUUUCUUCGAUGUAUACUAAUAAGAAUGCUCUCAAUCAGUUCAGCAUCUUUUCUGCAAAACCAUUGUUAUAGAGCCUCUUUUUUCCAUUUCUCCCCUUCUAUCAGCUCACUUACCCAUUCCAACUAGCAAUCCUCAAGUUUUUCAAAGGUCACUUUCACCUUUCUCUGAUCUGAUUAUCCAUUUGUCCUUCCAUAUGUUUACUCUACUUCAAUCUCUAACUCUCUUCCAUAAGCCAGCAAACAGUAGUGUCCUGGAACUGUGUAUGCUCUUCCAGCUCCAUGAUGCUGAGUUUGGGGGUUCUUUCUCUAUCCAGUUAGGGUCCUUCAUGUAUUUUGCUUCAUUACCUUGCUUACUAGCAAAUUUGGAGCAAUUAAGAAUCCCCAAAUUUGCUCUGCAAGCAAGGCAAUAUUAAAUGCCUCUAAGUCCUUGAAGCCAAUUCCCCCUCUUCCCUUUACUUCUGUGAGUUUCUUCCAGCUUGCCCAAUGCACACAAGUCUCUUUCUCCCCAUCUCCCUACCAGAACCUUGCAAUCCUUGAUGUGAUCUCUCUGCACAAUCCUUUAAGGAGUCUAAAGCAUGCCAUUAUAUAUGUUAGCAUGGCCAUUAUGACUAACUUGAUAAGUACCUCAUUUCCUCUUUGACUUAUUAGCCUCUGUUUCCACCUUUGUAACUUGUUACUGAUUUUACUCUUUACAAAGGCAAACGCCUGCUCUUUUGAUCUUCCAAUGGCCAUUGGUAGCCCCAAGUAUGUCCCUUUUGAUGCCUCUCUCAUGCUGUCCAAUCCUUCACUCACCUCCUGUUUUGUCUGAUUAGUGGUGUUUCUACUUUAGAAAAUUGCUGACUUGUCAAAGUUUACCACUUGUCUAGAACCUUUGCCAUAUUUUGUCAGGAUAUCUUUCACUUUCAACAUCUCUUCUUUGUUUGUUUGCAACACAGUAAGGAGUCAUCUGCAAAGAGCAAAUGUGAAAUAGGAGGGCUAUCUCUGCAAAUUUUGAUACCUGUUAGCUCAUUUUUUGUCACUACUUUUUUUAGUAGGCUGGACAAUCCUUCAACACAGAUAAUGAAAAGAUAAGGUGAUAAUGGGUCCCUUUGUCUAAUUCCUCUAUUUGGUCUAAUGUGUCCUACUUUUUGGCCAUUCAACUUGAAGGAGUAAGAAAUAGUAGACAAACAGACCAUGAUCUAUUUAACAAAAAUUGGACAAAAAUCCAUUUUCAACAUCAAUCUUCCCAAAAACUUCUAUUCUACUCUAUCAUAAGCUUUGGACAUGUCAAACUUAAUGGUCAAGAAUCCUAUUUUUCCUUUUCUUUUAUUUUUUUCAAAAAAUGGAGAAUUUCAUGGGCUAUCACUACAUUGUCAAGGAUUUAUCUACCAAGGAUAAAAACAGACUGAGAACAACUGAUGCAAUGCUUAAGAACCCUUUUGGGCCUAUUUGCUAUGAAUUUAGAAAUGAUUUUAUAAAGUACAGUACAUAAACUAAUAGGCCUAUAGUUCACAACAGACACUGAUGCUUCAGUUUUUGGGACCAAAAAAUUGAUGGUUUCAUUCACAACUUUGAGCAAGUAACUAGCAUGGAAAAAGCUAUUUAUAGCAGACACAAUGUCCUUUUUUAUGAUAUGCCAAUAAUGUUGGAAAAAAUGUGGAGACAUACCAUCAGUUCUUGGGGCUUUGUUAGGAUACAUUGAAAGAAGAACUUGUCUGAUUUCUUUUUCUUCAACAAGCUUAAUCAACUAUUCAUUCAUUUGACCAAAAAUAGUGCUUGGGACCUUUGCUAAUAUAUCCUCAAAAUUGUUAGGGUUGGUAGUGGUGAAAAGGUCCUUGUAGUACUUACUAAGCUCCUUUUCAAUUUCCUGCUCAGUCUUACACUAGGUUCCAUCUUGUUUCUACAGAGUACUGAUCUUGUUUCUUUACCUUCUUGUCAUCACACUUGUAUGGAAAAAGGCUGUAUUUCUGUCACAUUCUUUGAGCCAUCUACUUCUUGAUUUUUGACUCCAAAACAAUUCUUCCUUCUUAUAUGCUUUGCUCAGUUGAGUUUUUAUCUCUGCAAUCUAGCCUCUCUCACCUGGUUCAUUUCCUGUUUUCACCUCAUUGAGUUGCUUUUUUAGUUCCCUGAUCCUUACUUUUGAAUUCCCUUGCACUCUUUUAUUCCAUUCCAGAGUGGCUAUCCUGCACUCCUUUAUUUUUCCUAGUCACUUUGUACAUUAUGGAACCUGUGUGUACUUUAUCCCAUGCUCCUUUGAUCAUAUUCUUUGAUUCUAGAUUUUUAGUCCAGCAUUGAUCAAAAUAAAACCUCAUUCUUCUUUUAUGUCUAUCUAGAUUAGUAUCCAGAUUAGGAUCAAGUGGUUUGGGGCUUUAUUUUCUACAUGUGUACAAGAGGCCUUAUCAAACUUUGGCAUCUAUUCAACAUUGCUUAAGCACUUGUCCAAUCUCUCCUUCACUUCCCCAUCCCCCCCAACAAUUGCUCCACAUCCAUGGCACCCUUUGGUAUCCUAUAUCUAUAGGAUCAUUACCUAUGAUGAAGCAAUUGAAAUCCCUUAGACUUCCUUCAGCUCUCUCUCUCUCUCUCUCUCUCUCUCUCUCUCUCUCUCCCCCCAAUUUCUCCCCAUUCGGUCUUAUAUCAUUGAAAUCCUCCACCAGCAUCCAAGGCUCUCCCAAUUCCUUUUUCUUGCUUUCAAGAUGUUUCCACUGUUCUUUUCUGAUAUUUCUAUCCACACUCGCAUAUAGGCAUACUAGCUGCCAAUGGCAAUUAGUUUCCCUGUCUUCUGUUUUUGCUGCUAUAUACCAGCUAGUGCUGUUCACUUCGUCUAUCUUCACAUCAUUGCUCCAAAACAAGGCCAAUCCCCCUGCUCUACCUAUAGAGUUUACAAUGUAUCCAUUUUCAAAUUUGAUUUUCUUUUGCACUUUUUUCAUGAAGUUUUCCUAGUUUUUUGUUUCACAAAAGAACACAAUAUUAAGAGAGUGGAGAUUUAAACCCUCAUUCAAUUGGAAAAUUGUCAAGGGGCCUCCUGCACCUCGACAAUUCCACACGGACCACACCACAACCUUUAUAUACACCUUGGAGGUAUAAAGGGGUUAGCCUCCAAUUCCCCAGUUGAUAGUGUGUUGGUUGUUUCCUUUCUCAUUGCUUUCACCUUUGGGUUAUCUGCAGCAUCUUCAUCCAUUGGUUCUAUCUCUUGUUGUAAUGACUCCAUUUUUCUUUUUCCUCCCAAUUCCCCUAGCCAUUCCUUAUUUGUAAUCUUCUUCAGAGGAGUUCUAGUUGUUCUCAACACUCUCUUGAAUUAUCUUCAUUCUUCUUUUCUACUUCCAUCCCCUAAGUUUUCUAUUGUCUGUCUUUCCUUUUUCUCCUCAAAACCUUCCAUUACCUUUGCCAUUAUCAAUGUGUUUUUUGAUUGGCACCCAUUGUGCUCCACUUCCAUAUUCUUAAUGAGGAGGGGCUCAAGGCUGCUCAAACUUCUAGUGCUCAGGUCAUGCAAAUACCCAAUGGUCCAAUUACAAGAGCGCGUGCUAGGAGAAUUCAAGAAUCACUUCAAGCUCUUGUUUGCACGAUUCAAGAACGAGUUGGUGAUGACUUGAGGACCAUUGAAGGAUUACAUAAUGGAGAAACUACUCUAUACACUUUCCUUCAAAUGGAAGAACCAAGUGAAGACUAGUUCACGGAGCACUAGCUUGCUAAUUAGGGUUUUAGUUACCAUUAUUAGUUGUUUGUUAGCAUUAAUAAUUUCGGUCAAUUUUCACUUCACUUUGGCCGAAUUCAGAGUCUUAAUUUUAGUCAAUUAGUUGUUAGAUAUUUUCACCCUUAAUGAAGGGCAAGGUCGUCCAUUGGACAUUCUAGGGUUUGAGUCUUGUAAGGCUAUAUAUAGCCUAGGUUUUCAUUCAUUAAAGGGGGAAUUCAGAUUUUUUACAAAAAUAUUCGUGAGUUUAUUCACUCUCUCUUGCCUCAAGAGAAUUUCCUUUGAAUACUUGAGAAUUAAUCUCAAGUUGUUCAUCGAACUUAUCAAUCAAGUAGUCUCCUUGAUUGUGGCGUUCUUCUAUCUAUACUUUUGGUUCACUAAAUUUGCUAGUCUUGGGUUAAGGAAUCUCCUUAGUUCGUGGCUUGUGAUUCUAGAAGGGUCAAAGUUCCGCCAAUCAUCCCAACUUGGUGUUCGUCUAGAUCCGUCUCACAUCAGUUGGUAUCAAGAGCUAGUCGACGACAUCAAGUAUAUCCCGUUGAGGUUCUUUGUUUUUCUCCUUUUCUUUUCUUCGUAAGUUUUCUAGUAUUUUCUUCAAAUCUGGUCGUGUCAAUCCGUGUGACAAUUACAAAAAAAAAAAAAGAAAACAGCCGCAUCUUAUUUGUUUCCUUGUUGCAUCGUUUAUUGAAUUUUUUCUCUUUUGAUUCUUGUACACUUCGUGCGUUAUUUUGUUGCGUGAAUUUCCUUGGAAUCUGCCUCCAAGCUUAGCCGUGGUUGUCUUUGGAUAAUCUGGUUAGUACAAAAAAAAAAAAUUAUUUGCGACGGCUAGGGUUUUCACUUGCAAUUAGGGUUUCCUUGAGCGCAAGUUUCUUGCCAAAUCUGUCCAAACUUUAGUUUAUUCCACCAAGUUGUUUUCAUUAAUUUUCUAAACUGAUUUUUGUGGUUAAACUUGUUUGGGUUGGAAUCUUGAAGAGGGACUACAAUAAUCUAGGGAUUCUUGAGUUUCUUGAAACUAAUCUUGAAGUCUCAAAAAUUUUGAUACAUGUCUUGAUAGUUAUUGGAGGAUUGAAGGAGAACAUUGGAGUGACAUUAAAUUCUGGAAUUUUACCCAAAAACAGCCGAGUAAUUGUGUGUUCGUAGAGUAAAAAAAAAAAGAAAAAAAGAAAGGAAACACACAAUCGGCUAGGACAAGGCCGAACAAGAAAGAAAAGAAGGAACUUGACCUGAUUUGCUACACUUUGUUCCUUGAAUUUGAUCCGCAAAAACAGAAAUUUAAGGCAAAGGAAGGGUUUAAAAAUUUUGACCAAUUUCUUCUUGGAAAUGUUGAGCACCUUGAGCCUUGAUCACUUGUAUCACCCGUUGAGACUUGUGAGGAUCUUGACCAUCUUGAUUCUUGAAGAUUUGCACCUCUCUUCGUACAAAAAGUUUCUUGUACAUCCUUGCAUCCAUACGGGGCUUCCUUGGCUUAAGAGUAAACCUCUUGGGAAUUUCCUGAGCAGGCCGCUUGGGGAAUUCUUGAGUGACGUCGCUUGUAUCAACUUGUGAAGCCAUUAUUUAGAACCAAGCGUCGAAACUGUCCUUGUGUGGAGCAAAGAGGAGGGGGCCGAAUUGUUUGUUCUUGAGGGAGAGUAAGGGAUGAAAAUUUUGGGGGGAGGAAAUUCUGGCUUUAGAGGUGAGGAAGCUACCAAAUCUGGAAAAUUUUUAGGAAGUUCUAGCCGACUUUGAGAGGGAUUUAAGAAGAGGGAAUUCUGGAAUUUUCAGAGGUUAGUUUCGGUUAGAAUAGGAAACUGCCAAAAAAAACUGUUUGGCACUUGGUUAGCAGCCGACUUUAGGAAGGUUAAAGAGAAAGGAAAUCUGGUAUUUUUUGGUAACAAUUCUGAUUUGGCUAGACGACUUUAAGGAAAUUUUCCAAAUAAGUACAACACCUAACUUGUUUCCAAAAAAAUCAAUUAGGAAAUUAAGUAAAACACUUGGGAAACUCCAUCAUUGUACUUGGGCAUUUUUUUUGUACAUCAAUUUUCCUUGUUCCAUUUCUUACCAAAUCCGCCAUUGAGUUUUCCGUUCUACUCUUGUCCUUUGAUUUGGGAGCUAAUUGGUUAAAGUUUGACUGAAUUUUUUUUGAGAUAAUUUCUGAUUUCUUCAAAGGAAACGAUCGAGAGACUUGAGGAGUGAAUUGGUGAGUGCAUUAGAGGGACAUAAACACUUGAGUGAAAACACGAGAGGAGUGCAACACUUAAGGGAGCGAGUGAGGCAUUUUCUACUAACAAUUUGUCAAGUUUUGCAGGUUUCACCAUGUCUCAGGAAAAUGAACUUACCAUUGCUCAGUUAUCACUUAAAAUGGAUGCUAUGUGGAAGGAAAUGCAGAGGAGAUUUGACCAAAGACUGGAAACGAUCCAUGAGCAGAUUGAUCAACUAAGUUCAUCUAGGGUUUCUUCUAGGAAAUCUAGGGGAAAAUCCACCCUGGAGGAAUCUAGUGACUCCAAUGCCGAUUCGGACCGUGAGGCAUACGGGCAAGGGAGACCGAAGAGAAACACAAGAGCAAUUGGUGAUGCAAUCAAAGGGAUUAAGAUGAAGAUUCCUCCUUUCCAAGGCAAAUCUGAUCCGGAUACAUACCUUGAAUGGGAGAGUCGAGUAGAGCUAGUAUUCGAUUGUAAUGACUACACCGAUGCACAAAAAUUGAGACUUGCCGUAGUAGAAUUCACCGACUAUGCCAUAGUUUGGUGGGAACAAGUGGCUACAAGCAGGAGAAGGUGUGGUGAACCACCUAUAACCACUUGGACUGAGCUCAAGAGACUUAUGAAGAAGCGAUUUGUACCAAGUCACUACCAUAGAGACUUGUACCAAAAACUUCAAACCUUGACGCAAGGUCAACGCUCAGUUGAGGACUACUACAAGGACAUGGAAAUCUCCAUGUUGAGAGCUGAUAUUCAAGAAGAUAGAGAGGCUACAAUGGCAAGGUUUCUCAAUGGUCUGAGGGCUGAAAUAGCCGAUCAACUGGAGCUUCAAUACUAUGUGGAGAUAGAAGAUAUGGUGGAAAAGGCUAUCAAGAUUGAGCAAAGGCUCAAGAGGAGGGGUACAACCAGAAAUUAUAACCCUCAUCCACAAACAUUUACUCGACCAUUCCAGUCUAGAAGGGAAGAGAGAGGUUCGAAUGCUUGAAACCCUCCAAAGCCGAAGCAAGAUCAAGGGUCAAGCUCGCGGCCACCUGUUACCAAAACCGACUCCAAGGUUGUUUCAAAGCCAACAAUUGAAACUUCAAAACCUAGGAAUCGUGACACCAAAUGUUGGAGGUGUCAAGGAGUUGGACAUAUUGCAAGCCAAUGUCCAAACCCAAGGACCAUGCUUGUCCUACCAUAUGGAGACAUUGUCACUGAUGAUGAAGAGAAGGAUUACAAAGACAUGCCUCCCUUGGUUGAAGAGGAAGAUGAAAUAGAGGAAGUUCCAACUCAAGACAAAGUUGGAUUGGUAGCAAGAAGGGCGCUAGCUACUCAAGCUAGUAAAGAUGAGCUUCAACGUGACAACAUCUUUUACACUAGGUGCCAUGUGACCAACAAGGUAUGCAGCUUGGUGAUUGACCCCGGAAGUUGCACUAAUGUUGCUAGUGCAUUGAUGGUGGAGAAACUAAACUUGCCAACUAGUGAGCACCCCCGUUCCUACAAGCUUCUGUGGUUAAACAACAGUGGAGAGGUACGUGUUCAUAAACAAGUUUUGGUUACUUUUCGCAUUGGUAGGUAUGAAGAUGAUGUUAUGUGUGAUGUAUUACCAAUGCAAGCUGCACAUAUACUCUUAGGGCGUCCUUGGCAAUUUGACAAAAGAGUCACUUUUGAUGGUUUCUUGAACAAAUACUCUUUUAUGCAUAAUUGUAAAAAGAUUACACUUGCACCUCUUACACCUCAACAAGUACAUGAGGAUCAAGUUAGUCUACAAAAAGAGUAUGACUUGCAUGCUACCACCAAGAAGGACAACGCCAAAGCUAAGAAAUUAGUGUUGGCCGAUCCUUCUUCAAGCAAGUUGGAUCACUCUCAUUCGGUAUUCGAGCCCACACAGGAGAGAAAACCCAGCAUGCUUGCCAAGGUGAAAGAUGUGAGAAAGGCCGUGCAUUCUAAUCAGGUUUUAUUUAUUUUAUUUGGCAAGGAAUCCUUACUCACUAAUGCUCUUGAUGCUUCUUUGCCUAGUGUUAUUACUAACCUCUUACAGGAGUAUCAAGACGUCUUUCCUGAGGAUAUACCUAAUGGUUUGCCUCCAUUAAGGGGAAUUGAACAUCAAAUUGAUUUCAUUCCUGGCUCUUCCCUUCCAAACAAGGCACCAUAUAGGACCAAUCCUGAGGAAACCAAGGAGCAACAACGACAAGUUGAGGAGUUGCUUAGUAAGGGUUGGAUUCAAGAGAGUCUAAGCCCUUGUGCUGUACCAGUUCUACUUGUUCCGAAGAAAGAUGGAGGAUGGAGAAUGUGCACUGAUUGUAGGGCUAAUGCCAUAACGGUAAAGUACCGCCAUCCCAUACCUCGUUUGGAUGACAUGCUUGAUGAAUUACAUGGUGCUAUCAUUUUUACUAAGAUUGAUUUGAAAAGUGGUUACCAUCAAAUUCGCAUGAAAGAAGGAGAUGAAUGGAAAACUGCAUUUAAAACAAAACAUGGACUUUUUGAGUGGUUGGUCAUGCCUUUUGGGCUAACCAAUGCACCAAGUACUUUUAUGAGACUCAUGAAUCAUGUUUUACGCUCUUUCAUUGGUAAAUUUGUGGUCGUUUACUUUGAUGACAUUUUGAUCUAUAGUAAGACUCUAGAUGAGCAUGUUGUGCAUUUACAAAUGGUCCUCGAUGCACUUCGCAAGGCCAGCCUCUACGCUAACCUUAAGAAGUGUACCUUUUGCACAAAUCAAUUGGUUUUCCUAGGAUAUGUUGUUAGUGAGCAGGAAAUUCAUGUUGAUCAAGAAAAGGUGAAGGCUAUUAGUGAAUGGCCAACCCCUACCAAUGUAAGUGAGGUGAGAAGUUUUCAUGGCUUGGCAAGCUUCUAUAGGCGUUUUGUCAAGGAUUUUAGCACAAUUGCUGCCCCACUUACGUCAAUUGUCAAGAAAGAUGUGCAAUUUCAUUGGGGAGAGGAACAAGCUAAGUCUUUCCAAUUACUUAAACACAAGCUCACACAUGUACCUGUUCUUAGUUUACCUAAUUUUGACAAAGCUUUUGAAGUAGAGUGUGAUGCUUUUGGUAUAGGUAUUGGACCUGUUUUACUCCAAGAGGGUCGCCCAGUUGCCUACUUUAGCGAGAAGUUAAAUGGAGCUGCUCUAAACUACUCAACCUAUGAUAAGGAACUCAUGGCCUUAGUGCGAGCCCUACAAACAUGGCAACAUUACCUUCGCCCUCGUGAGUUUGUCUUGCACACCGAUCAUAAGUCGCUCAAGCAUAUCAAGUCCCAAGACAAGUUGAGUAAGCGACAUGCAAGAUGGAUUACCUUCAUUGACAGUUUUAUCUUUGUGAUCAAAUACAAGACAGGUAAGACGAAUGUAGUGGCUGAUGCACUCUUACGAAGGUAUGCACUUAUCACUACAUUAGAUGCUAAGUUGCUUGGUUUUGAAUUCCUUAAAGAUCUUUAUGCAGCUGACUCAGAUUUUGGUGAGAUUUUUGUCUCCUUGCCACGACACUCUCGUGAGCACUAUUUCAUCUCUCAGGGGUUCUUAUACUACAAGGACAAGCUUUGCAUUCCCAAGAGCUCCAUGCGCACACUCCUAGUAAGAGAAGCUCAUGGAGGAGGACUAAUGGGACACUUUGGCAUUGCCAAGACCUUAAUGAUUCUCCAAGAGCAUUUCUUCUGGCCACGCAUGAGGAGUGACGUAAAACGGCACAUUGAAAGGUGUGUGACUUGUCACCAAGCCAAAUCAAAGGUACACCCUUAUGGUCUCUAUACACCUUUGCCAAUUCCACAUGAACCAUGGGUUGAUCUGUCAAUGGAUUUUGUGCUUGGACUACCUAGGACUAGAAAAGGACAUGAUUCAAUCUAUGUGGUAGUUGACCGCUUCUCCAAAAUGGCCCAUUUUAUUCCUUAUCUUAAAACAGAUGAUGCUAAGCAUGUUGCAGAUUUAUUCUUUCGUGAGAUAGUUAGAUUACAUGGCAUGCCACGCACUAUUGUUUCUGUUAGGGAUGCCAAAUUCCUUAGCUAUUUUUGGAAAACUUUGUGGUGUAAACUAGGUACUAAAUUGCUAUUUUCUACUUCUAGCCACCCACAAACUGAUGGUCAAACCGAAGUGGUUAAUAGGACUUUAUCUACCCUGUUGCGCGCAAUUAUAAAAAAGAACAUUAAAUCUUGGGAAGAUUGCUUACCACAUGUGAAAUUUGCAUAUAAUCGCACUGUUCAUUCUGCUACACAUUAUUCGCCGUUUGAAAUUGUGUAUGGUUUUAACCCUCUCACACCUUUGGAUUUAACUUCUUUACCUGUUCAUGAGAGAGUUAACUUGGAUGGUAAGAACAAAGCUGCAUAUGUACGUGAGUUACACACUAAGGUGCGAGCCAACAUCGAGAAGCAUACACUUCAAUACAUCCAAAGUGCCAACAAGGGGCGCCGCAAGAUGGUCUUUGAGUCUGGCGAUUGGGUAUGGAUACACAUGCGCAAAGAGAGGUUCCCAGUCAAAAGGCGUAGUAAGCUAUUUUCACGGGGAAAUGGUCCAUUCCAAGUCCUGGAGCGUAUAAAUGACAAUGCCUACAAACUUGAACUUCCAGGUGAGUAUGUGGUACAUGCUACUUUUAAUGUAUCUGACUUGAGUCCUUUUUAUGCAGACGAUGAGUUUGAUUUGAGGACAAAUCGCCUUCGAGAGGAGGGGACUAAUGAGGAGGGGUUCAAGGCUGCUCAAACUUCUAGUGCUCAGGUCAUGCAAAUACCCAGUGGUCCAAUUACAAGAGCGUGUGCUAGGAGAAUUCAAGAAUCACUUCAAGCUCUUGUUUGCACGAUUCAAGAACGAGUUGGUGAUGAUUUGAGGACCAUUGAAGGAUUACAUAAUGGAGAAACUACUCUAUACACUUUCCUUCAAAUGGAAGAACCAAGUGAAGACUAGUUCACGGAGCACUAGCUUCCUCAUUACUUAUUCUGUAGAUUCCUCUACUUCAUUUCUAGCUUCCUCUUUCUUCCUUUCAAUGCUAAACAUAUUCUUCCUUUCUUCCUAUUGGCUCUCCUUUGGCUAUGUGGUUGGAUCUUGUAAAUAUGCUGUCAUCUUAUCCUCGUAUACCUUUCUCCUCAUGGAUCCUUGGUCUUUUCCGUCCUUUUUUUUGCAUCCCUGCUAUAUUUCCACUAUCAGCUUUUUCCUUGUCCUUCAUUCUGAGUCCAACUACUAAAGCAUUGCUUCUGUCAGCUUUCUCCAGUUUCUUUCUUUCUAUUGCUUUUGGUGGUUCAUUCCAUCCUUUUAAUAGGGAUAUCAUGAUGUUUCUUGCUCUCAUCCUUGCUCUGUAUUGCUUUUCUCUCUGCAUCACUCCUUCUCUUCCCCCCCUUAUUACAGGAUUUCUCACUGUGUCUUAUUACCCCACAGUUAUAGCAAAAGUCUGGGCAACGUUCAUACCUAAACUCAACCCAUACCGCCUGAUCUUUGAGUUUAAUCUUUGUUCCUUUGAUCAACAGUUGUGUCACAUCAAUUUCUGCCAUUAUUUUCAUCUGACUUUUCUUUUUCCCACCAAUUGCUAGGAUUAUUACAUCUCUUACAGAUUUAAAGAUCUAGCCUAGCUUGAAGCCUACUGCUUUGCUCAUCCAGUGAACUGGAAGAUUAAUUGCACCUAUUUCAAAGCAUGUUAAAGUAUGUUAUAUCUCUUUCACAUCCCUCUAACCAUUCCUUAACAAUUAACACCUGAUUAUCCAUUAUCCAUGGACCACCUCUUAGUAUCCUUCUUCUAUCUUUCUCUUUUUCUAAAUGGAACUGAAACAAGUUGGGGCCCAGCUCUAUUAUCAUCAUCUUCAUAGGGUAGCCCCAAGCAUGGUUGGUGAAAUUCUUAACCGUUGUGAAGUUUGCAAUUUUUUCACCUAUCAAUUUUCCCGCUAAGCUGCCAUUGCAACCCUGUAUGCCUUCUUCUAUGUCUUCACCACUCAGAUCUACACCGUCUAUUUCUUUUUUCGAUAGCUCAAACUUUUGGAAUGUUCUUGCUAGAGAUUCUUUCAUCAUUAAAGAGAGUAUUAGAGUGAGCACAAGCACUACUUCUUGGUCACUGAACUUCCUAGCUGGUUAAACCUGCUAAAGAAAGCAAUCAGAUAAGCAAGUAAGGAAAUUAGAUGUGGAACUAAAGGCCGAUAGUGUACUAUUAAGAACUUCAAAAGCUUGAACAUAAGAUUCAGUGGAGCCGACAGGCCCUAAAAGCAUAAACUUCAGAAAAUUCAAGAGGAAUAAAAGUAAAUGCAGGUAAGGUUUCAACAAGAGUAAAAAUUCCACAUCUUUGUUUAAUGGAUCAUGUUUUGUCUUAGCAUUUACUCCAACAAUUAAUGGUUGUGAUCGAACUACAGCACUAAUCUAACAGGGGUGUGUUUUUUAAUUUUAUGGUGAAAUCUGGGUUGACUCUAAGAUUGUGCAGUGUUAGGAUUUUGAAAAUUUGAACUUUCGAGACUCCUACACUUAGGAGAGGAGCUCUAAAGUUAGAGAUAGAAGCUCUCAAGAAGAGAGAGACUCAGUGUCUUUUUUCCUGAUGAUUUUAUAGGGGUGGCAAUUCCUGACACGAUCCAAAAACACGACACGAACCUAACACGAAAUUAAUGGGUUUGGGUUGAGGUUUUGGGAGUUUGGAUCAGAAUCGAGUCGAACCCGAUGAACCCGAAAAGAAAAUAGGUCAAUUUCGGGUUAACCCGUAGUGACCUGAUAUGACCCGAUGUGACUCGUUUACGAAUUAAAACUAAUUUAAUAAACAUAAAAAUUAUUUUAUCUAACUAAACUAAAUCAUUCUUUUUUUCCAAAGGCAUUAAUUACUUAAUCCUAAAUGAAUUUAUUUAACUUGUGUGAAGUUAAAAUUAUUAUAUUUGGACAAAUAAUAUAUUAUGUUAUUUUUUACUUUUAUGUUGUUUUAAUUUAUUUUAUAUUUGGUUUGGGAUAAAACACUUUUAUGGUGUUUAAUUUAUUUUAGAUUUGGUUUGAAAUUAUUUAUUUAAAUUUUUAUUACUUGAUGAUGUAAUUAAUUUUGUGAAAAAUUGAUUUUAUUAGAAAUUACAGUGAUAAAAUAAUAAAUUAAAAUUAAGUUUCGGGUCAUUUUGGGUCGACCCGCCAACCCGAAAUUUUCGGAUUCGUGUCAGGUACCCUGACCCGUUUCGGGUUAGCGGGUCGGGUUAGCAGGUCAGCAGGUUCUUUGUUAUACUUAGGCCUCAACCCGACCCGCCAACCCGAACCCAAUCCGUUUGCCACCCCUAUGAUUUUAGGUGGUUAUAGAUUUUGAUCUUAGAUAGUUUUUUUUUUGUAAUUUUGUAAUUUAUUUUUGUAUUUAGAUUAUAGAUUUUUUUAAUAGCUAAAAAUAUUAUAUUAAAAAUUUAAGAGCAACUUUUUGUUGAUUUUGAUUAAACAUUAUAACACUCCUAAUAAUCAGAUUUUGCAAAGUUUAAAACAAAUGAGAACAAGACAUGCAUAUAACUAUAUAAAUUAGUCGUGUGCUUAGGUCAAAUGUGAAUUAGGCUCGAAGUCCUAAUAUCUUUGUGAUCCGAGUAUGAACCUCGCAUUGUGUGACCAAAGUACAACAGCAAGAAUAUUUUACAAUAGCUCACUCCAACACGAACAUCCUUUAGCACUCUGCAUACAAUAGUUUCAGCAUUAGAGGUUUUCUAUUGGAACACCCUAUAAUUCCUCUUUUUCCAUAUAUGAUAUACAAUUGUUUCUAGUGCCAGUUUCUUUAAUAUGUUUACAGAGCAUUCCUUCUUCCAAUGGCAACUGAGCCAUUCAACUUCAGUGUUCCACUCAUAAAUCCCUCGAUAUUGCAAGCAACAUUGCUGUAUUCUUGAUCAAAUAUCGCAGCAUACUCAAAGUGAAUAUGCGGCUUGUAUUUGGUCAAGAGUACAGCAAUGCUGCUUGCAAUAUGACAUACUAUUCCAAUGCCAUUUCUGAUAAUGAACUAAUCUGAGCAUGAUACAAUUUAAUUAUGAUAAAGAACCAAGCGGAGCCUUGAGUAGUUCUUUUCUUUCUUCUUUCCCUUUUUAAUUAUUAUUUAUCUUUCUUACAGCCUUUUUUCAUUUAGCUCUAUUACACAAGAUCCUAGUUAAGAAUUCUGAUUAAGAGGUUGUACUUUCGUAUUCUCUAUACCAGUAUUAGAACUAGAUAAGAAUUGGAAUAGUGUUUUAAGGAUAUGUUGAUUCAUUUUAGUACGAUACAAUUUUGCUUCUAAUAAACAACAAGCAUUACUUAUAUUUUUAAUGAGCAUUAUUUUGAACUGGAAAUUUUUUUACAAUUCCUUGAACUCGUUUUUCAAAUGACAUUUUUAUUAUUUUCAAUCACCUUUUUACCUGUUAUACAUCAUGUGGUGAAAAGGUCUAUGAGAUUGUUAUUAACAAUAAUUUUCUAAAUAAUCUUCAAUUUGAAAGCAUAUAGUUUCCAGUCUAAAAAUUCAAUAAUGUUAUUUUCUUUCCAAAAACCAUUGCAGAAUUUAUUCUUUGCUGGGUCAGACACUUCAGGUGGCACGAUAAUUUGGGCUAUGACGGCGCUUAUCAAGAACCCCUACAGCAAUGAAAAAGCACAAACUGAGUGCAUGGAGAGAGGAAAUGAUAGAUGAAGAUGAUCCUCAAAAGCUUCCCUAUCUCACAGCUAUCAUCAAGGAGACUAUGAGAUUGUACACAAUUGUUUCUAAUUUAGUCCCAAGAUACUUAAUGGAAAGUGGCAUCCUUGGCGGAUAUGAAAUUCAGCCCCAGACUAUAGUUUACAUAAAUGGUUGGGCAAUUGGAAAGGGAUACUGAGUAUUGGGAAAAUCUACGAGUUCUUGCCUGAGAGAUUCUUGAAUAGUACUAUAGAUAUGAAAGGGGAGCACUUUUAGUUGCUCCCAUCUGGGGUAGGCAAAAGAUGAUGCCCUAUAUACUCCCUAGGGCUAGCAUCUAUGGAGAUCGCACUUGCUAAUAUUUGAAUUCAUUCAACCAGGAAUUGCCUUCUAGAAUGAAGAAAGAAGACAUUGAUACUCAUUGUUUACGUGGUGCCCUGCGACUUGUGGCAAGAACCAUCUGCCUUCUUAGCAAGGAAAAACAAAUGACAACUUGGGAGAGAGGGGAUAGGCUGGUUGGUUAGGAAGGGAGAGAUUCUACCUGAGAGGUCACGGAUGCAAGCCGUAGCAAUUACACUAAAAAAAAAAAAACAAAUGUCAACAUAGUAGUUGUAAAAAGGGUUACAAACGAAUUGAAUCGAGUCGAAUCGAGUUUUGACCUAAUUGAGUUGAGUCUCGACUUAAUUUUAUCAAGUUCGAACUCGAGCUCAAACUCGAUGACCGCUCAGUGUAAAGCUCUCGAGUCGAGCUCGAGUUUAAAACAAUAAAAAAAUUAUUUUAAUUUAUAAAAAAUUGAUAAAAUAAUAUUUUUCUUAAUAAAUAUAAAAUAUUAUGGAUAUAUAUAUGUAAUUUUACUAUUAAAAUAAUAUAUAUGUAUAAAAUUGAACUGGUGAGUUAACGUGUUGAAUAUUUUUGAACUCAAAUUUGACUUGAUUUGCUCGAACUCGAUUCAAACUUGAUAUUGACCAAACUCGAGUCGAGUUUUGAAUCAAGUUGCUCGCGAUCAACUUGACUCGUGUACACCCUAGUUGUGAAGUUGUGUAAGGUAUGAAUAAUUCAAGAAAGAAAUAUUAACAAUACUCUUACGGAUUUAUUGCACAAUAUUAUUAUAUUCUAAGCAUUCAACUAACAUAUUAAAUACUCUUACGCAGUUUAAAUAUAUUGUAAUGUUAUAAUAUCCAUGAACUAUUGCAGUGCAUCAAAAAAAUUAUUAAGUAUUCUUUGAGAUAUUUAUUAAAAUUUUAGAAUGAUUAGAUAUCAAGAACUAUGUAUAUUUUUAUUAAUGAAAUACAAAAGAUACAACAAUUCAAAAUAUUUAGUUUCUAAUAAAAUUCAUAAAUUUAUCAAUAUAACAAUUAAAUCGCACCAAUAAAAGUGUGGAUAAAAAAAUAAUUCAAAUAUAUUAAAAAGAUAGAAGUUGUUAGAAGAAAGGAAAACCAUAAGAAAAACCCAAUGAGAUUUAUCUUCAAUUAUAUAAAAAAGUUAACAGUGCCUUCAAAUACGAUAGUGAGUGAUUAGAUUAGCAAGAAAGUGAGGAAUGGGCUAUAUAUAUAUAUGCCCCAAAAAUUAUGCCCCAAAUUAAAAUGACCAAGUUUUGGCAACACUUUGCUAAGCUUAGUAUAACCUUGACUGAUAAAUAUCAAAUGUCAUAUUGUAUAUUAAUAUACUCAAAGAAAUUAUGAGAUCUCUAAUUCGACUUUUAACCUUUCCUUUUCUUCCUUCUCUCCUGCAAUAGUUGGAGUUUGUUGAACAAAAGAAAAGUAUUAUAUAUUGUUUGUUUUAUUUAAAGAAUCACCACACCUGUCAAGACAUUUAUGAAAAAUUCUCGUGUUAAGAAUCUAAAUUUUUAUUUUUUACUCACAAUAUUAUUUUUUUCAAAAAAAGUAUAUUUUUUUAGAGAACAAAAAAGUGUGAAAGCUUGAAAAAAAAAAGUGUGAAAGCUUGAGUUUGGGUCAAUUAGAUUGGAGCUAGAAGCCUAACAAACCAAAAGGGCCGAGUGUUGCAAACAAUCUUUAAGCCUGAAGGAUUCUCCUCAAGCUAUGGAAGCAGGUAUUUUUAGUUAAGCACGUCUUUGGGUUUGUAGCAGAGUCCAGGCCAGAAGCCCCAAUUGAAAAGCCUGCUAACAGUAAAGAUGGAGAGGUUAGCACAGGUCGUCUGCCGGAUUUUCAAAUGGAACCACCCGCGGUGCUUUCAAAUACUCCUAUAGGAUACACUGAUUGAUGUAAUCCCUUACAAACAUUAUAGGUAUGUUUAGACAAGUUAACUUAGUUGAUAGUAAUUAGUCAUUCUCUUAUAAAAGAUCAUGUGCUCAAGUUUCACUGUCGAUGUAAGGAAUGUAUUGGUGUACAAUUUAUAAAAAUUCAUGUAAGUGAUCUAUGGUUCCAAAUGUGAGAAUUAUGUUGGUAUGCAAUUCGUAAGAACCUAUAGUCCCAAAUGUGAGAACUAUGUUGAUUGACGAUAUGUAAAAACUCUUACAAGUAACCUAUCGAAUGUGAAAAUUGUAUUGGUGGUUGAUCCGUAAUUGAAGCCGACCAACGGUAAUAAUCAGAGUCAAACCCACCCAAAUUUUUAUUUACCAAGAAAAAAGAAAACAUUAUAGGUGUCUGAUUAUAUUAAUUGGUUUUGGAUUCCAAUUUUGAAAAUUAUUCUUUUUGAUCUUCACAUUUGCUUUCAUAGUUAGAUUUUGAAAUAGGUAACCCAAUAAUAGAUUUUAGUAUUUCUGAUUAAUUAGUCUUUUACAAAAAUUGUAGCAUGAACAGCACCACGCUGUUAUUUCAUUUAAAUCUUGUAGCUCCUCCACCAUCUUGCAGUUGUUUAUUGCUUUGAGCAAUUUGGCUUUCUUUUUUGGUUAAUUUCUCACUUGAGAUAUGGCCAAAUUAUUAGUUUGUCCAAACUACAACAACAGGUCCGUUUGGUUCGUGUGAAUUGCAAAAAAAAAUUUAAAAAAAUCUCAAAUAUUAUUUAAUUUGUAUCAUAAACACAAUUUCCAAUCAUUCUUUUAUUUGACAUACAUUACAUCAUAAAAAAUAUUAUUGUAUUAUUUCAAAUUUUUUUUCCAAAUAAUCUCUUAUCCAAACACAUCUAUGUUAAAUUCAACUAGUAGACGCAAUAAGACGACAUAUUGGCCAUGCAUCUCCUCUUAAAUUACAUACCCCAUCAAUUCUUGAAAAGUUUUGAAAAUAUUAGUUAUGAGAUUAACCAUUCAAUAUUAUAUGAAUCAUAUUCCAUUGCACUCAUAUGAGAAUCAAAGCAAGUACUUCUUUUUUUUUUAAUUUGGUUAAAACAAGAAAGGAAAUGAAAAAGCUAGCACGAAGGAGGAUAGGUUGAGCAAGUAUUAAAAAAGUUAUCUAAAACAAGAAUGAACCUCAGAACGGUUGGCAUGGCAAUUCCCAAAACCCUCAUAUUUAGAGUCCAUUCUUCAUAAAGCUUAUAUUAUAAUUUGAUCUGAUAAAAGUCAUGGAUCCAUCAAUAAUCACCUGCUUGGUAAAAGACCAUUUUGUUUUGUCAAGCAUCUAAACUGACUAAUUUAAAUUGAACAUAAAUGAUCAACAACUAAAAUGAAGAAAAAUAUAAGUUGAGGGACUGAGUAAGGACAUUUGAGGAAAUUUACCUCACUUCCGUGUGGAAAAAUCGUUAAAAAAAAAACCUAUAAAUAUUUCUGUUUCCAAGACUAAGCUAUAAAAACGUAAGUUCGAAGGUCAAUUUAACAUGUUGAAACAAAAGGUUUAUGCAAACUAUAUGAUAUCAAAUCUUUGACUUUUGCUGUACAUGAAGUCAUGAAAGAUACUCGUAUGCAAUUAUUAUGAUUCGAAAUCAUCUCUGACAAGCAUUAGGUCAAGGCUGUAGAAUUUAUUUCUAAACAAAUAGUUUUAUAUAAACCCAGGGACCAUGUGUUGGGAUUCUUAACAAUAAACACAAUAAACAACUCAAGGGCAUUUUUUUUUUUGACCUCCCAUCUUUCCCCGUUACUUUUCCACUCCCUUGCUAUACGGGUGGCAAUUUCCGACACGAUCCGAAAAUACGACACGAAUUUAACACGAAAUUAAUGGAUUUGGGUUAAGGUUUCAAGAGUUCGAAUUAAAAUCGGGUCGAACCUGUUGAACCCGAAAAGAAAACAGAUCGAUUUCGGGUCAAUCCGUGGGUGACCCGAUAUUACCCGAUAUGACUCGUUUACGAAUUAAAAAUAAUUUAAUAAACAUAAAAAUUAUUUUAUCUAACUAAACUAAGUUAUUCUUUUUUUUUCAAAGACAUUAAUUACUUAAUCCUAAAUGAAUUUAUUUAACUUGUGUGAAGUUGAAAUUAUUAUAUUUGGAUAAAUAAUAUAUUAUAUGAUUUUUAGGCCCAGAAUUCGAAUAUGAACCUGACAGCAGAGAUAGUUUUUAAAACCCUCCACUGACCAUUAGACUAAUCCCAGGAGAUUAACUAAAGGGCAUGUGUUGGUUCUUACUUCUAAAUAUUUUGCACGCUUCUCUCUAUGGGUGGUGGUCACAAGUGAGUUCACGAUCAUGACACAUUCGGCUUUAAAAUUCAGCAGUCAACCCUCAACACGAAAGACAUCCAACAAUAUUCUACGGAUUAUUCUUCUUCGAUCAUUAGUUUUAACCCCCAAGGGUCGGUAUUUUGUGGAUUCAGAUCUCCUACGGUUGCAAGGACCGCAUUAUGACGGUCCAAGAUUGGAUUAGAGUGUCACAGCUUGAUAUACGCCGUCUAUUUCAAGAUUCACUAGUUUUGAAAUGGAUGAUUGAGAUCGAGUAGGGCCACUUCGAUUCAAUCUCAAACCAUCAGUUGUAUAGUCCGGUUUCUCUUGCAACUGUAGAGGAGCUAAAUCUGUAUUUUUCAAACAUGAUGUACUAAUUUUCUGGUAAAUUUUCAAAAAUAAGUUCUAGCUAUACAUGAAAAUCAAUUUUAAGAUUUAUUUAGUUUCUUACGGACAAAUAAUACAAUAAUCCUGCAAAAGUUUUGUAAUAUCCACCAACUAAUGGUUAAUAAUGCCUCGGGAAUCAUGGAUACUAAAUUUUAGACUAAUCAAGUACUCAUAUUCACUUACACAAGCUAUUGAAAUAUACCAAUACGCACUAUUUUAAGGGAUAACCCCCAUAGGUUUCUAACAAUUUCAUCUAGCUUCCCUCUAAUUUGAGAAAUUAUAUUGACCUCUCUUGACAUGAUGAGUUACCAAAAACGACCUUCACUUUCUCACUAUUUUACACGGAAAAAAACCUAUAUUCUUAAAAGAGAAAAAAAUCCAAAAAAUUUGUUCAAAAAAUUUUUGUGAUAUUUCAAAACAAUUGUCAAUUGAAAAAACUUAUUUGAGUAGAUGCUUUGAUUGUGGAUUUUAUUGAAAUUAAUUAAUAUAAAAGUGAAUGUAAAAAUCACAGUAUACACAAAGACGUGACUUUUUUUCAGGCUAGUACCCUCCGGGUUUUCGAUUGCUAGAGCAUCUCCUUAUUUUUUCCCUGACAAAAUGUGCCUUAGGAUUAUGAUUGUAGUAACAUAGAUGGAAUUGUUAGUGAUAGUGUGGAUCUAGUGGUAGAAAGAAAAGAAUGUUACAAAGUUUUCUAUUGCUCUUUUUUAUCCCGUCUAGUUGGUAGCCUAUGACAGUGAUAAUGGAGAUGGGCUUGGUAGUAAUUGUUGACGUAGAAUGUAGAAGGGAAAAUCGUUUAAAACGUCUUUCACAUUUUGUAAAAUAACUUUUUUCGUCCCUUACUUUUAAAAAUGUAAUUUUACAUCCCUUACAACUUUGCAUUUGUCAAAUUUGAUCCCUACUUAGGUUUCCGACUAGUUUUUGGUCAGAAUUCACCACGUGCCUUGCACGUGAUCAUAUUUUAAGGACAAAAUUGUCAAAUCAAAUUUGAUAUAAUUCGAUUCAUAAUCCCUCACAUUUCAUAAAAUAAAUUUUUCACCCCUUACAUUUCACAAAAUGAAUUUCUUCAUCCUUCACAUUUUUCAAAAUGAAUUUUUUUCAUCUUUUAUUGAUCGUGUGUGAAUAAUUUUUUUUAAAUGCAUGUAUAUAUCUAUUUGAUUUCACCUGAACAGUACGAAUAGCAUGUGAAAUCAAAUAGAGAUAUAUUAGAUACUAUUCGUACUGUUCAAGUGAAAUCAAAUAGAUAUAUAUAUAUAUAUAUAUAUAUAUAUAUAUGGGUUUAAAAAAAUUGUUAGUUUUUCACUUAUAUUGAUUUUCUUUUACUCAAAAUUUGAAAAUAAAGAAAACAUUUAAUCAUAAAUAUUAUCGAGUGUUUCUAUCGAAUUAAAUUUGGACAGAAAAAAUAAACAAAAGAAAAGUAUGACAAAAAGAAAUAAGUGAUUGACACUUUCAAAUUUUAAGACAAUCACAAGAUAAGUAAUUCAACUAUUGGUCUUAAAAAUGUCGAGUAGAAAUUCAAAUUUAAACUGAAAUUUGUUAUGAUUAUAGAAUUCAAGUUAGCACCCAUUAAUUAGAUGACCUUAUUAUACAACUCAAUAAAAAAAUUAUUACCAAAAGAAAAAGGUCACAAAUAUUGAAUAGAUUCAAAUGGUGAAAUCAUAUAAAUAUAUACAUGGGUUUCAAACAAAAUUAUUAGCUUAAAACCCCUAUAUAUAUCUAUUGAAUAGCAUGUGUCUAACUAUGAUUAGCAUGUUUAGAUGAAAUCUAAUAGAGAUAAAUUACAUGCUAUUCGUAUUGUUCAGGUAAAAUCAAAUAAACAUAUACGUGGGUUUAUAGAAAAAAAGCUAUUCACACACAUGAUCAAUGAGGGAUAAAAAAUUCAUUUUGAAAAAUGUGAGGGAUGAAAAAAUUCAUUUUUUGAAAUGUGAGGAACGAAACAAUUCAUUUUGUAAAAUGUUAGGGAUGAAAAAAUUCAUUUUGUGAACUGUGAGGGACUAUGAAUCAAAUUAUAUAAAAAUUUGAUUUGACAAUUUUGCCCUUAAAAAAUGAUCACAUGCAAGUCACGUAGUGGAUUCCGGCAAAAAACUAGUCAAAAACUUAGGUAGGAACCAAAUUUGGUCAAUAUGAAUUUAUAAGAGACGUAAAAUUAUACUUUUAAAAGUGAGAGACGAAAAAAAAACAUCUUGUAAAAUGUGAGGGACGUUUUGAACGAUUUUCCCUUAAAAAAAUCAAGCAACUUGAAGCUCAACAAAGACUAUUUAAAACCAACUUCUAUGGCCAUUUUCCAGCCACCUCAAGAAAAUCUUCCUCCUGAAGUGAUGGAGAUAGUAUUGAUCAUUGCUUUACUUUCAGCUCUUCCCAUAAUUUUCCUGAUUCUUCUUCAGAAAAACAGCAGGAAAUCAUCAACAAAAUCUCAUCCUCCUCUCCCUGGUCCUCCUGGCAUUCCAAUCAUUGGAAACAUGCAUCAGUUUGAUCCCUCAGCCCCACAUAGCUAUCUCGGGGAGCUUUCCAGAAAGUAUGGCCCUCUCAUGUCCCUCAAGCUCGGAUCCUUGCCAGUACUUGUGGUUUCUUCAGCAAGAAUGGCAGAAGAGGUUAUGAAAAAUCACGACUUAAUUUUCUGUAGCCGACCACCUAUGCUUGGCCAGCGAAAAUUGUCCUACAAUGGCCUGGACAUCGCGUUCGCUCAGUACAAUGAGCAAUGGAGAGAAUUGAGAAAGAUUUGUGUUCUUCAUCUCUUGAGCUCCAAGAGAGUUCAAUCAUUUCGUCCUAUACGCGAAGAUGAGGUCUACCGAAUUAUUCAAAAGAUAUCCCGGGAAUCUGCUUCAUCACAAGUAACUGACUUGACUCACACUUUAUUGUCUCUCACAAGUACAAUGAUUUGCCAAAUUGGAUUUGGAAAAAGGUAUGACGAGGAAGGCCAAGAAAGAAAAAGAUUCCACUUUCUCUUGCAAGAAGCUCAGGCAAUGUUUGUUGCAUUCUAUUUCUCUGAUUAUUUUCCUACAAUUGGUUGGUUGGAUAAAUACACUGGGAUGCUAUCUCGACUGGAGAAAGUUUUCAACAAGCUUGAUUUGUUCUACCAAGAACUCAUUGAUGAGCACCUGGAUCCAAAUAGGCCAACGUCAAUGGAUGGAGACAUUAUUGAUCUCUUGAUUCAAUUACAGAAGGACAGAUCAACUACGUUUGAUCUGACUGUGAACCACAUCAAGGCCACGCUUAUGGUAAUAAACUAACUCUUUAACAUACUAUUCCAGUACAGAGUGUGAUAUACAGGUUCUGUUAGUUCUUUUCUACUUGAAAUUGCAAUCAUAUCUUAUGAAAAAUAAUGCUGCUUAAUAUGAAUACUAUACAAUUUAAUUCUGACACAAAGCCAAACACAGCGUUAUUUAUUUGUUUUUCUAUUUACAUCCUUAAGUUAAUUGGCACUAUUACAUACCAACUCCAAGUUCAAAUUCUGAUAGAGAGGUUGUGUUUUGGGUCUCCACCAGAAUUGGAUAGGAUGAGAGUCAUAAUUUUGUCUUACACAAAUGUUGAUUUAUUUCAAUUGGAUACAAUUGGUCUUGAUGAACAAGAAGCAUUGGAAUCAGCCCUUUUUUAGAAAAAAAGAAUUUGUAAUAUUUCCUAAACAUAAUGUUUAUCCACCUCUUUAUUGCUCAUACAUCACAUUCCAAAAAUUUUACAUUUUACUGUCUGAAAAAAAUUUCUAAAUGAUCUUCAACCCAAACACAUGAAAAGUUUUAGGCUUAGGAAAUUCAUUGAUGAUUAUCUUUUUUGUUUUUCAAUAAACAACUGCAGAACGUAUUUUUUGCCGGGUCAGAAACUUCAGCAGGCACAGUAAUCUGGGCAAUGACAGCACUUAUCAAGAACCCUACGGCACUGGAAAAAGCUCAAAACGAAAUCCAAGAGGUGCUUGGAGAGAAAAAAAUGAUAGAUGAAGAUGAUAUUCAAAAGCUUCCCUAUCUCAAAGCAAUCAUCAAGGAGACUAUGAGAUUGUACCCAGUUGCUCCUCUUUUAGUCCCAAGAUACACAAUGGAAAGUUGCAUCCUAGACGGGUAUGAGAUCCAGCCCAAGACUACCGUUUACGUGAACGCUUGGGCAAUUGGAAGAGAUCCUGAGUAUUGGAAUCCACACGAGUUCUUGCCUGAGAGAUUCUUGAAUAGUACUAUAGAUGCAACAGGGAAACACUUUCAAUUGAUCCCGUUUGGGGCAGGCAGAAGAGGCUGCCCGGGAUACUCCCUGGGAAUAGCAGCUGUGGAGCUUGCACUUGCUAAUCUUUUGAACUCAUUCAAUUGGGGAUUGCCUUCUGGAGUGAAGAAAGAGGACAUUGAUACUGAUGUUUUACCGGGUCUUGCUAUGCUUAAGAAAAAUGCCCUGCGACUUGUGGCAAAGAAACGUGUGUCUUCGUAGUAAGAAAAAACAUGUCAAAUGGGAUCAGAAUGUGUAGUUCAUAUACAAUGUACGGCCAUUUGGAAUGAAAGAGUUUCAUACGUUUGUAUUGGAAGCUCAAACCCGUAAGCCGACGAAGCUUAGAGGGAAGUUUGUAUAGAUAACGUCACUUUUCCAUUAACCUAAGAUUGCUUUGGAAAAUCAUCCUUCCAGCAUUUGCUAUAAUAACUAGUCACUUUGGUUUAAUGGAAUGAUUGCUGUGGGGGUCUCACAUCAAAUGUUAGCAGAAUUGAACUUCGCACUCAUUAUCGAUCUGCUGAAGUCGAGCACUGGAGCAUAUAUACUCUACAAAAUGGGGUGUUACCUGCGAAUUAUGAUGCAACUAUGGAAGAAACAAAUACAUUAACAAUAGAACGGAGUACUUACUUGUAUGGCAAAUCAUUGAAAUAAACCUUCACAUAUUAAUUUAUUUCUAGUGUUAAGUCUAACUGAGGCAGCAAGUACGAACGUAAAUUUAAUAUGUUGAAACAAAUCUUUUAAUUUAAGCAAACUGUGCUUGAAAUCUUUGACUUUUUUCGUAAAUGAAGUCAUGGAAGAUGCUUGAAUGCAGUUAGAUCCUCAACUAUUGGGACGUAGGAACAGUUUAGGAAACCAAACAAUGUGAUCCGGAAUCAUUUCUGAUAAGCAUUACGUAAAGAAUGCAGAAAUUAUUUGCAAAGAAAAUGUAUUUUUCAAACUCAAGGACCAUGCAUGGGCGCGUUGGGAUUCUUGAUGAUAAAUAGGUCAGGACAUGUGAGCGGUGGGUUCAUACUUCAAUGCGAAAAUCAUUUACUUCGAGUAAAUUCCCAAAAAGUGUGACUUUUUAAACUAACUUCCCAAAGGGUGGUGUUUUUUUAGUAUCUUCUCAAAGGAUGAAAAACGCAUCCAGGGAAUGCGUUUUUAUAAAUAAAAAUGCAAUUGUCAAAUGCGUUAUUUUAUUUUUCAUCAAUUUAUUUUAAUAUGAAAAAAUUGGUCAAAUAACGCAUUAUUAGAAUGCGUUUUUUGAUCUCACCAUACAACGCAUUUUGGAAAUGCGUUAUUAACAUAUGUAUAAAAGAGCGAAUGCCAUGGCUCAAAAGGGAUGGUUGUUUUGCUGAUGUGUCCAAUAGUAAUUGGUUGGAGUGUGUUCGUCCGUCUGUGUGUGUGUGGUUUUUUUUCCUCUUCUUUUUCAAACAAUCAAAUGCAGAUGUGAUGGAUGGGAGAAGGUUACCUGCUCCCAACUUUUCAGUGAUGGUAGCGGUUCCUUUUCUCCACUCAUUUCAUUAACCAUCCGACUCCCUCUCUCCAACACUUCCUUUCUCUUCUUUUUUUCCCUCAUCCUCACAAAGAAAGCUGCACUUUUUCUCUCUCUUCAAUUUCGGAAGCAUUUUCUCUCUUCAAUUUUUUUCUGAUAGAUGACAACAGAAUCAAAAAGUUGGCUGGAAUAUUUUUGCUUCAAAAACUCUUCUUAAUUCUUUUUUCCAAAGCAUCUUUAUUAGCCAUUUUUCCCCCUUCUAUUAUUUACCAGAUUAAUUGUCUAAUUUUUCCCUUUUAUGAUGUUGUGAUGUUGAUCAAGUUGAGGAUCAAAGCCAGUGCUGUCGACUUGAGGAUCAAGUUGAGAGGGAGAUGGGAACUCUAGGAGUCCUUUCCUUUCCUUUUGCUUCGAUCCAAACGGUGCCUUAAGAUUUCGGCUCUCUGAAGAAUGAGGCUGUCAGAGAGACUGGGAUUUCUUCAACCUCUCUGAUUUUUAGCCUAUGAUUUCUUUUUUCAUCAUCGACCAUCAGAAACCAAUAGCCCUUCAGAUGCAGUUUCUGCUUAUGAUUAAUCACAGAAACCCACCUUAAAGUUUUUGAACCAGACCUUUCAUAAAUAGCAGCAUUACUACUACUACUAUUGAUUCUGCUCAUCUUCUCGAGAAGCCUGCUUGUCUGAAAGCUGUGGUGAUUCUUUACCUUUCAGAGCAAAUGGGUCAGUGCAUUGAGCCAAAUCUGACCCGUAUCUUGGCUGGGCAACCCGGAUGGCAUAUAUGAUGGGGAGGAAGAGAAGAUGAUCCAUCACAUUGCAACCGGCGUUGCAGCCAUGGCGGUGUCACUUUCUUUUUGCCUGACCUAAGAUGAUACAUCUGAGCCUGAACCUUGAUCAUUUUCCCCCUUCGAUGGCAUCGUUAUUUUUCUGAAAAUAAAAGCAAGUUUUUUUUUUCACUAUCAAGAAAUUGGGCUUUUUUUUUUGUUGGUUGGGUACACUGAGGAAUGAAGUUAAAUCAAUACAAAAUUGCAGUUUACUCUGGAAAAAAAAAUUGACGUUGUGAUGUUGCAGGUACAUAAUUUGGAAAUUUCCUCCACCAUCUUCAUGCGAUUUUGUAAGUUUUGUUUUUCCAUUUUGAAGGUAGAUUCUAUAAGGUUAUUUUCUUAAAAAAUUGUAUUCUUUAACAUUGUUUCCCAUGCCUCUCGAACCCUCUCAGUUUAAGGAAGAAAAUAGAAAAAGUAAAUCAGUGUUCCUGAAAUAAAGCACUUGCUCUGCAUCUCGUUUUACCUUUAUGGAUUUCUGUCUAAAUGUUUGUCAUGUGGGGUUUAUUUUGUGGGUAGUUUGGUUCACCACUUCUAUAUAUUUCUUGUUCAGUUUUGGAGUAUGUGGAAAGCAAAUGAGUCUUUAAAAUUGCUGGCCCGCCUGGUGGUUUUGGAGAAAGUACCUUACGGAAGUAUUUCUAAGAAGGAUUUUUCAAGUUGUUUUGCAUUUCAAAAGUUCUCCCCUACAAUUAAAUUUUUUACCAAACAAUUUAUUUGGAUUAACCUGGAUUUCAAAUAUUCAAAAUCCUCCGUGAAAUCUAAUUCCAUGAAACUAAACUGAUUUUUGUGGGAGUUUUCGUACAUUUGAUCAUUCUUAGUCCCAUUUAUUGUGGUUUUCUACCAGUACAAUCUGGUGUUUGUAUCAGUGAUGUUGGAGUCCUUGAUUGGAUUUCAAGAAAUUGUAGGUUUAUGGUGUACUGCCUUGUAUACUAAAUCAUUUGGUAUAUAAUCUUUUUUUCAAGUUAAAUUGGUGUUAAAUUGAUCCUAAUGAUGGACCAAUGUGAUUUUCAUGCUAAAAAAGUCUUGUGUCGUUGAUGGCUUGAUAAUUUUUGGGAGUUUAGUAAGCUGUUGUGAGUAGUAUUUUUUAGUGAUAACGGUAUUAUUCACUAUGCCAUUUUAAGAAUUGUACCUGACCACAUGGAUAUUUUCUCCUCCUGGUGGUUUGGUGCUUUUUCCUUUUUAAAUACCUGGAGGCUUUUUUUGAUUGAACUAUUUGAUGAUUUGACUUGUUGCUUAUGGUUAUACGUUGGUUUGUUUUGACAGCCGUGUGUGUGAAAAAUCCCAUGAUAUUAUCUGUAAGUAUGGCCUGAUGUGCUGCAGACAAUACUUCUGCAGUAAUGCUAAGGAGAUUGGAUUCAUUAAGGUAAUGGAUUUGAAGUUUUAAGAAAGGAAUGAUCGUAUUGUUACCUUCUUUAAAAAAAAAAAACUAACCGAGCUACUAGGACGUGGAUAUUGUUUUCAUCGUCAUGUCAAUAUUCAUAUUCAAGUUAGGAUCUGAUUGUGCAUUUAAAUUUUCUUGUGCCUGCGGUUCUAGAUACGAGUAUAUGCCAAUUUAAGAAUUUUGUAGUUGGUUGUUGGCACACUGUGAUACUGAGUUAUGGGUCUUGCUUUUCCAUUUUUGUGUCCUUCUUGAAUAAAUUACUAAAUCAUUUUGAAUUUUCUUGCAUUUGUCAUUGCAAUAUAAUUGAAAGAAUAGGUCUUUGCCUCCUUGCUAGCGGAUUUUGUUGAGCAAGCUGCCAUUAGAGAUAAAUGGAUCCCAAGUUGUUAUUUGCUUUGAAUUUGAACAAUUUUGGAUGUUCUAAUUUGCCAUUGAACUUGAAUUGGUAUGUGAAUCAACAAAUUCUACCAUAUACUGUUCUUUAAUAUGCGGUAUCACAUAUUUUCUUGAGGUUGUCUUUGGUGUGACUAUUUUGUGAAUGCAAUUAUGGUGAAUUUUUUAUUUCUAUUAUAAGAAAUUGAUGAAUUGCAGGCAAUGUUUUUAAUUAGUUGGUUAAUUCUCUUGAACUGAUUAUUCUGGAUCGUAUAUGUUUUUUAUGUCGAUGCCAUGAUAAAUUGGUUAAAUUGGUUCUCGUUCAUUGUGAGCAAAUCUAGAUUUGUAUUGGAACAGAUUGCCUUUCUUUUUUAUUUAAAUAAGAUGAGAAGAUCUUUGUAAGACAUUUCUUAUCAUUUUACUAUUGCAAUAAUUACUGGAAAAUGCAGAGCCAAGGUAUAUUUAUGCAAAAACAUUAAUAUUCUGGAGUAUUUUCAAAGUGAGACUUAUUUUAGCUAAUGAAUACUUAUUAGCGGGUUUACAAUUUUGUUAAGCUAUCAGAGCUUUAUUAUGCCAGCAAUAUACUACAUAACCUACCUACAACACCUGCCAAAGGUUUUUUUAUUACAUUUUAGGCAAGAAUAAAACGAGUUUUCCACUAAAUUAUGGUAAGGUUGAGUAUUUGUCCUUGGGAAAAAUGCCAUAUUCACAUUUGUACAUGAAAAAUGCAAUUUUUUGUUUUGUUACGUGUGUACAUUCAUGCCCUGUAUCUGGUAACAUGAAAUAAUUGCUUAGAAUAAUCAUUUAUGUAAAUUGAUGGGGUCUGAUGCCAAGUUUAACAUGGGUAGGGAACUGUAAUGUAAGUGUUGAUUCCUUAAGUGAGAUGACUUCAAUUAAUGACCUGUUUUAAUAUACUUGAUGAUAAUGUAAAAAGCGAGUUACAUAAUGCUAUAGGGGUUGGGUAAAGGGAAAAGGAGUUAUAUUACAUUGAGGUGGAUGUUUGAUAAACGUAUUUAUUUGGAUAUGAAAAUGAUAAUAAUGCAUAGCGUUUUCGUCCAAAAAGGUGAUAGUAGUAAUUAUUUUUCUAUUAAGUUUAGUUCACGAUGAAAUGUAGUACUUAGUUUGCAUUAAUUAUGGUUGACUCCAUCCAAAUCUGAGUUUGUUUGUAUGUAAUUUGCAGGUUGAUGGUGCUAAAAAUUUCUUGUGGAUUUGAACAAGAUACUUAAAUGAGCUUCUAUUUCUUCAAAUUGUGAGUGGUUUAUGGAUGGUUGUAUACAAUUCUUAAAGUUUUUAUUACUUGCCAUCUACUUGUACAUAGUUUUGCAGUCACAAUUGAUGCUUUUCUCAUUCUGGUGAUGUUUUAUUCUAUUUUACUAAGUAGGAUGGGAAUUAGAGUGUUUAGCAGGUGAAUUUGUCAACAUUUAAUGUCACAUACUGUGGUUAACUUAUUGCUUUUCUAAUGCAUGACUGCUAAUGCUUGAAAUGCAUUAGCCUAUCUCUAUCUUUUUUUUGGGAGGGGAGGGGGGAAAUCGAGCAUAAACAAUAGGUACUUGCUAAUUGGAAGUUUAGGAUUUUGGCCUUUUUUGGUGGUUUUUUCCUUGGCUAAUUAUAAUCAGCCAAUACUUUUUUUUUUGGAAGUACUACCUAAUUAUUUUUUCGAGUCUUGGCUGAUAGCAGUCGGAAUUUUGGAGUCAAUUUUAUCUUUCACGCUGAUUUUUACUUUUCCAGGUCUGUUGUUCUGUUUCUCAGAGAUCUGGUAUUUAUAAAGUUCAUGUUAUGUUCUGAAAAUUUUUUCCCUUGAGAAUUUUUCUCAGUUUGCUACAGUCAAGAAAAGAAAAUAUUAACUAGAUUUGGCCAUGUAGUAUGGGUACUGUGUAACUCCACUUUCUCUUUUUGUCUUUCUGCUUCACUCUCUCGUGAUCUCCUAGAAAUUCCUCACUCAAAGUUACUGGUUUGGUGCUGUCUAUAAACUGUAUAUAGCGGAACCCUUUUUUUUGGUUUCUACAUAUCCAUUUUUCCUGGUUACGAAAUGAGGAAUUGAGAUAUACAAUCAAGGGAUGGUUUUUAUACUUUUUUUUUUUGGAGUGGUGCAUGAUUCACCUCUCAAGGUCAUAUACAUAUCUAUACUUAUUAUCCCUUUUUUCUAAUGAGAUUCCUUUCGAUUGAUCAGCAUCAAAGGGAAUACCCACAAUAAUAUAUUACCUGAAAUACACUAAUAAGCAAACACUAUUUGGUUGGAAGAUAGAAAAAUCAAUUCCAAGUGCAGUACAUAAGUUGCGAUUGGCCUUUAUGUGAGCUACUCUAUUCCAUUCUGUUAUGAGUGCUCUGAUAUCCGCAACCGCAUAAUGAAGCACUCUAUCGUCAGGAAUGAUGAUAUUGGACUGGUAAAUCGGACUAAACUCAGGCUUUACUUUUUUUUCAUGGUCACUUCUCAGAUUAAGAAACUCAAUUCCAGAUUUAGAAAGCUUUAAUUAUGUAUUGUAUGUGAAAUUUGGUGAAUUUGCUAAACUUUUUCUUAUUUAGUCUCUUUUUUGGGUUUUUAUUUCUCAUGGCUGUCAGCCUUAUAAAAUCUGAUAAUGGCCUAGAAAAUGAUAAGAUAGAGGUACUAAAUUUGUCUUUUAAGAUUUAAUUGUGAGUUGCCAUAUCUGUCUUUGUAAAAAUUUGGCUGCUAUUUAUGCUAUUGGGUCACAUUAGGUCAAAUGUAAGUGGGCAGUUUUUGGUUGGGAACGGUAGUAUACAUAUUUUGCGGAACUGUGUUAACAAAAUGGCACUUCUCACAUGUGCAAAAACAUCUGAUCAGAGGUUGUUUUCAUUAGGUAGAAAUCGAAAUGUUGAUAUUUUGGAUAGUUAAUUUUAGUGUAAAUUUUUGUUUGUUUGAAUGGUGUUAUUUUCAUGACCUUACUAUAUUGUGUAUGGAAGUGGUAAUUAGUUUUAUGGAUCUAGCAAAUUCAAUGUUUACUUUGUUUUGGUCUCUAAUUUGUGGGGAAUUUUAUUAGGUUGAUAUAUUAAUCAUGAAGGAAAAAAGCUGCCAUAGUUGUUGCCAUCUUUUAGUUCGUAGUGGUCUUUAAGAUAUUAGUUUCUUGUGCAAUUUUUUGUGGUGAUUGAAUUUUAAGGUAUUGGCUUAACUACAUGAAUGGAAAUUAAUCAAUUUGAAUGGAAAUUGGAGUUGGGAGAGUGAAAAUAGCUAUUCUAUUUUGUUGAUUUUAAGUCGUGCAAGAUUUUUCACUCAACAGGCUCAUGCGCAUCAGGUGCUCAAUUUCCAUUCAAAUUAAUUAGUUUCCCAUUUGAGGAUGAAUUGGUCAAAAAUUGAUAGUUUAGAUACUAAAUGCGUUAUACCAGAAAAUUUGAGGAUGAAAUGUAUUCAUAACUCAAAAUUUAGGGAUGAAAAGUGACAUUUUUCCUUAAAUGUUCUAUUCAUUCACCAAAAAAAGAAUUAACUUGCUGCAUAACUGUAGUUUUGCCUCUUUAAUCAUAGACUACGAUGUUUAGUAGCUUAGAAAUUCUUGUUAGAAAAUUCAGUUUUAGUUGACUUAAAUCUAUAUUUGCAAAACAUGGUGUUCUCUUAGAUUUGUAACAUCUCAGUAAGAUAAAGCCUGGAAAACUGAACCUUACAACAAAUUUAUUUUACUUUGUAAAAAUGAACUUAAUUGAAGAAAGCUUACAUAGGAAAUUUUGCAAAAAAACAUGAAGAUGGUGGUCCAAUUGAUAGGUUCAAAGAGGUGAAUGUGUUAUAGACCUUCAAUUUGUCUUGAAAUUUUUAUACAGGAAAGAACUUUACGAAAGGGCAUAUUACUUUUGAAGAAGAUUUGGUAAAACUCACUGAUUUGUUUUAACAGGAUGGAUAAUCUGUAGUAAAUAUGACACAUCCAGAUGUUCCAGUAUGAGUUGCCUCUACUUUGAGAUAAAUGACACAUACUUCUUCCUAGAGUUUGAGAAUACAAUCACUGCUUCGACACAUUCAAUUUUUUCCCCUUUUUUUGUUCUUUUGGUGUUAGUUUUCUAAGUAUAUUAUUGGUUGUUGUUACAGGAAGGAAUAUGAAGACUUGAAGUUGACAUCUCUAACAAGUAGUUAAAGCUGGUAAUAUUUAUUUGUGUUCUACCAUUUAUACUAUAAACCAUAUUGUCGUUUUCUAUAAACAGUCUCUCACCUAAUUUAGCCUAUCUUGAUUGCAUUAUUGAUAAAGAUGUGCUGAGAAAUGAGCUUCAGUUAUGGAUCCAAAUGGUGUUUUUUUCUAUUCCUCAUGAGAUUUGCUUCGGUUGUAUGAUUUCUUCUCAAGUUAAAUUGAAAAGUUAUUCUGUUUAUUGAUUUUAUUACAUGGACGCUUAUCUUGGGAGAUUGGUAUUGAUCAUCAUUUAAGCUGUGAGGAAUGAAUGAAAAAAAACAUACCUAGCAGAAAACCCUUCACCUUUUUUCGAGUUCUUUGGGGCAUUGUGAUUUCUUUCACUAGCUGGUCCUUAUUGAAUCAUCAAAACAAAUCUAAUCUUUUUAUGUUGGCAAACCUCAAUCCUCUCCUCUUUUGAAUACCUUUGAUUACUCCUUUUUAGAACCCAAGCAGACCAUAACUAGGGAAAUAUACGAGGUUAUGAUUGUAUAGAGACUCGUCCUAAGGAUGGCUUUUGAAAACUUAUCAUUGGUAGGGUUUCAAAAGGCAUUAUUGGAGUUGCUGGAGUUAUAAGGAAUUGAUAUGGAUUUUGGACCAUCGGAUCAGUAAAAGAUUAGGAAUAACUUCCAAUCUUCUAGCUGAACUUUUCGGAUUGAGAGGAGGACUAAGGAUAACUAUAGAUCAUUAUUGCUACAAACCGGAAUUGGAAGUUGAUGCUAUUAAUAUUUUUAAUCUUUUAAACCAAUAUGAUACUGCUAUUUACAAUGUGCUAUGGUUAUAUCUGAUUGUAGGUAUCUUAUCGUAUUUUGGCAGCAAGUCUUGAUCAAAGCAUAUAAGCAGUGAAGCAAAUCAGAUGGUAGAUUGUUUAGCUAAUGUAUAGGAUGCUAACAACAGGGUAUCUUUUAUUAUGAUGUUAUGCCCCACCAUUUUUAGUUGCAGCUAGAUGACUGUUUGGGGAUUUUAUUCUCGUUUUGUAUCUCAAUAUGAUUGCAUAUUAUUUUAAAGUUCCUUUUAUGCAAAAAAAAUUCCAAAACUACAAAAAGUUAAAACUGUAGCUUAUUUUCACUAUUUAAUAAAACUACAAAAGCAUAGCUUAUUUUCACUACGAAUGCACUUUUAUGUAACUUUUCAUAUUUAAUAUCUAAAUUUGAAUAAUUGGGCAUUUAUGGGCACGAUUGAAAAUUACACCGCACAUCGUGCGGUGUUAUCCUCCUAGUUUUAUAAUAAAACGCAUUAGAUGAAUGCGUUUUUUGUUUACAAUAUGUACCACUUUUUUUCAUUUCUUCAUUCUGGACUUCGAUUAUGUAAGGUUUUUGUUUUAAAUAUUAUCUUAUUAUUUUAUCGAAGUUAUUAUUAAUUUAGCUCACUAAUGGAAGUCAAGAUCCAAAAAAAUUGUUAUUUCAUAGUUGUUAUUAAUUUAGUUGGUAGAGAUUUCAUUUCAGGUUUGCAAAAGGCUUAAAGGUUUUGAACUUUGGAUUUUACAUAUGUAUACACUAAUUUUGUAUCUCAAAUGUUGGUAGUAAAAUUCAAAAAGUAUUAUAAUAAUAUUAUUACGAAAGGAAAACUAGUAGGUUUUGUAUUUAAUAUAAAUUAAAUACGUGAAAGUAAAAAAAAGAAAUUACCCACUUUUUACCAACUCUUUAUGGGUUUCUUCUAUUAGUUGAAUAAAGUACUAGCUAUGGGGGCAGGCAUUUUACUCUGAAUCAUAUAAUUUAUGUUAAAUAUAUAAAUGUUUGUAAGUAAAAUUUAAAAAGUGUUAUACUAAUAUUUUUAUGAAAGGAAAACUAGUAUGUUUUGUAUUUAACAUAAAUUAAAUAUUUGAAAGUUAAAACAAAAUUAAAUUGCCCAUAACAUACCAGUUCUUUAUGAAAAACUUGUAGGUUUUAUAUUUAACGUAAAUUAAUUGCGCGAAAGUAACACUCGUAGGUAAUUUAAUUAGUUUAAUCAGUUACUUAAUUUGUUGACAAGAAACAAGUUUCUUUUGCAAAAUUUGGCCAUUAGGUUUCUCCAAAUAAUUAGGGUAUAAAGGCAAAUUUUCACAAUCUUUUGUUAGCAAUGAGCUCCAAUUUCCUUCUAAGGGAGGGCAGUGCUUAAUUUAUAUCACCUGUUAAGCAAACACUUGCAUAUUCAAAUAUGUCAUAAGAUGAUAUAAUAUCACAUCUAAUUUCAUAUACUAAAUUUACUUGGUUUUCAAUCCAAAUUCUCUUAUACAAUAAGAAUUCUUAUAACAAGACAACUACAAUAAAUCAUUUGAGAAUGCCUCCAGAGUAACACAACUUUUGCCUUCUGACUCUUUUAGAUGGUGGCCGCAAGGGUAGAUGCUGAUUUUUACCACGACCUUUACAAGUGUCACGCUUAUUUCGAUCAACAUGUUCUUGUGUUUGAUGUUGCAAAUCAAACUCCAGAUGUGUCUGAUCAUGCUUAUCACUUUGCACAUGCAUCAGAUCAUGUUCACCAGCUUGUGCAUGUGUUGUAUCAGCUUCUGUAUGUUCAUCCCCUUGACCUUGCUCGAGAUUGAUUUCAGAAGUCCGAUCACAUGUCUGAUUGAACUCAUUAGCUGUUUCCUCAUUUCCCACGUCUCUAGUCUCUUGAUUCAACAUAUGAUCUCCUACAAACUCAUCCUGACUUAAAAUCUGAUUUUGUACACUGUUUUGAUCAGUUUGGACGUGUUUUCGCCUUCGUCCCCCUCUAUGGAUUCUUUGUGAACCUUCUUGUGUGGCUCUUCGAACACGUGCCCGUGGAACUACAUGUUGCAACUCUUCAUCCAUUGAGAGCGGCAUUAUUGGAUUCAAUGGUAGGAGUUUCAAUCUCAUCUCACAUCCAAUGGCACGCAUAGUUGAUUGGCACAUAUCCCGAAUAUCAGUGAGAGCAGGAACAGAGAUGGCCUCAUCAUGUGGUAAUGCUUCAAGUGAUCUAUAAUAGACACGAUGCAAUGUAUCUACCUGAAAUGUUAUCAAAAUAAAUUCUAAUGCUGCCAAUACAAAACUUUAAACAAAGUAGUCAAUUAAAAAUAUCUAAAUAAUGGUUACCAUCAUCUCAUUAGCUGGUGCAAUACCCUGAUAACCAGCUGGUAAUAGUGGUCUCAAUGAUGGGUUGCCAAUAAGCAAUCUUGUACGCUGCUUAUACCAAGUCAUAUACUCUAAGCUAGCCUCACCAGGAACCUCCUCGAGUUCACCUUCUUGUAUACUUGAAGCUCGAUCCAUCCACAUUUGGAUGUGGCGGUAGUGUUUAAGGGUCCAAUCUGUAUUUCGUCUACCUCGACGAUCCACUUGAUGCAAACUCCAAUCCGUGUCACAUGGUGCCGGAAUAUGCUGAACAAAUCCAAAUUGUCGCAUACACCUAUCUGGUAGGUGUAGCUCUACUAUAUCCCAACAAAUAAGUGCAGUUCGACUACGCCACAAUUCAGAACUAGCCAAACAACACUGAGGCAAUGUCUCUAAAAUGUGUUGAGGAUAUGGUUGCCAUACAAACUAUGAAUAACAAAAUGGAAAAUUACAAAAUAAACUAAAAAAAUUUGGUUGUAACUUGCAAUUUACCAUGAUACAUGAAAUAUGCAUGAAAUAAAUACUUACAUGAUCAUCUCUCAAGCUAUCUAGUUGAUCUCGAUAUACAACUAAUACAUGCAUUGCUACUCUAGAAAGGUUAAAAUCGACAUUCCACCUACAGAAUAAUCAACAAUACACCGUCAUUGUUACGGUCAUGUAUCUAAAUUAUAUACCUAAUAUAUCCUAACACUAAUAGGCAAAUACAAACUAACCUUGCACCAUAAGGACUCUCAGCUGGCAACUCCAUUUUAGGCACUGGCCUAUCUGGACAUAAGGUAGGAAAUCGUUCCCAUGUCCAAAGCUAAAACAAAAAUUAGGAUAUUUAACAAAAAUAGGUCAUAAUUGUUAGAAACCAAAAAAAAAAUUCAAAGAGUUUUAGUGAAAAUACCUGUAAAAGAACCAAUGGUCCAGCAAUCUCUUGUGAGGUACAAAGAGUAGCUCUACAUAGUCCACGAUAUAAAAAAGCAAGAACUGCACUCCCCCAACUAUAUGUUCGAGUAACAGUAAAAUCUCUUAGAAAUGACAAAUACAUUAAGCUGACCAUGUUGCCAGAUUUAUCUGAAAACAGGUGACCACCAAUAAGCUGUAAAAUACGCAUCCUAGCAUGACAUCUAAUAUCAUCAUCUGAUGCAUCACUAGGAAGUCUGACAGCUAAGGGAGCAUCUAAACAACCCAAUAAUAGUUUCCCUCCCUUAAUAUCAUCUGUUUUAGGUCGAAAUCCUAACAAGUCCUCACAAAUCGGCAACCAAUCCUCUGAUUUUGAGUGCAUGAAGUUGUAGGUGCAGGUAAUAUCGGAGAUUCAACAUCUUGUGUCAGCAAAUUUACAUAUGGAGCCAUUUCCUUACUGGUGAAGAUGUUAUUGCCCUCCUGACAAUUGACAACUGAUUCUCGUACAAUGUAUAGAUGAACCAUAGUAUUUGGGUACUCAGCUGCUAAAGAAAAUAUCAAAUCCAUUCCCUCUUCGUUCAUUAUUAGUAAUGGGCAAAAUUUGAAACCCCACGGUCCAUGAUCAGGAUAUUUGCAGAUGAGCUUCAAAUCUAUAGUUAUUGUAUCCACUCCAAUAUAUGAGUGUAUAUUACUUAGUAAGUCUCCAAAUCUUAUCCUGUGGUUGAUUGUAACUAUCUUGCCAAUUGGGCCUAUAAAUCCCAAAUCAGGAUAAUAUUGGAUAUGACCAUCCCAAUAUAAAGCAAGUUUCAAUGGAUGUUGAAGAUCCAUUAAAACAUAUGCUAACAAGCCUUCAAAUGCAAUGUAAACUACAGUCAAUUCAUCUCGAAUGUUGAAAAAUACUAUAAAUAAAAAGUAUAUUUUAAAACCAGUCAUAUCUUGUAAAUGUAGGUAACUUCUAAAUACAACAGAAGCAAAAAUUCCAACCUUGGAAGCUCAACAUAUAAAAGUAUACUAGUAGAAGAAAUGUCAUAAACACACGGAAGCCAUUUAUAUUUCAACCAAAAAUAGUGUAUGAAAAAAAAAAAGAAAAAGAAAUUCAGCACUCACUUUGAAGAGAAUGAAUACUCUGGCAACAAUUUAUCCUUUGAAUCUGCAAAAAAAUAAACUUACUUUAAGUUUGAGGGAAAAAAAAAUUUCAGCACUUACUUGAGAGGGAAAAAGAAAGAAAGAAAGAAACCUGAGAGUAGAUGAUCUGUAGAAUUUGAGAAAAUUCCAGAAUCUCUUUGUCUAAUACUCUCGCCCCUUGUAGGGUAUCUUCCUCUGUCAAUAAACCCCAAAGAAUCAUCUCAGGUUUGCUUUUUGCUCUUUAAAAUAAUUAAAUGCAUCCAUUACAUAAACCCUAAAUUUGGGAUUUUAAGUAUUACCUGAUAAUAUGCCUAAUUAGCUCAGCAGUCUCCCAAUCACCACCCUUGCUCUUACGUUGGCUGCGAAUGUGGGAUAAGAUGUAAGAAAAAAUUGAAUGGGUGGUGCAUUUUGUUUGCCGCCUGAAGAAGUUAGGGUAGAAAAAGAGAGGGAUUGAGGGGAAAUUAGUUUUUAGACCCCUUAUGAAGUACCGGGGAGUAGAACAGGCUUCUUAGAUAUGAUAAACAACUCAUUUAGCAAAUGCGUUUUUUUAUUAAUAAACGCAUUUCAGAAAUGGGUUUUAAGGACAAAAAACGCAUUCAUCCUAUGAGACUUUUUAAAAUAAGGCAUUCUAAUAAUGCGUUAUUUAACCAAUUUUUUUAUAUUAAAAUAAAUUGAUGAAAAUUAAAAUAACGCAUUUGACAAUUGCGAUUUUAUUUAUAAAAACGCAUUUCCUGGAUGCGUUUUUCAUCCUUUGGGAAGAUACUAAAAAAUCACCGCCCUUUGGGAAGUUAGUUUAAAAAGUCACACUUUUUGGGAAUUUACUCCAUUUACUUCCUAGUCACAGUGAGCAGUGGUCAGAUCACGAUCACGUUAUGUGGUUUUAAAAUUCACAAGUCAACCCUCAAAAUGAAUGCCAUCCAACAAUAAUAUAUCAUUCUCGGCAAUUGAUUAUUCUUCUCAAAUCAGUAUUUUAUAAAUCAUCAUUUUAUUAUUAUGGAAUUAAAAGAGUUUUGGCCAAUGGUUUAAAGGAAAUGUUAGUUCAGUUUUUCUGAGAAAUGUUCAGUCGAAAAAGUUGAAUGAGAAUAUGUCGGUUUGCAAACAUAGUUGCUGCUUUAGAAAGUUUGGCAAACAAGCCAACAACUUGAAGCUCAUCCGGGAAUACCAAGCCUUCUAUACUAAAACCAAUAUAAAUAUAUAUAUAUAUAUAUAUAUAUAUAUAUGAGGGCAGUUAUUUUAAUCAGAGUUGUUUCUCACUACUACGUGGCAUGCUUAAUUGAACAGAAUUAAUGGGUUAUAGGUCACUUGGAUUUUACCUAUAUUGAAUCCUAUUUGGAUUGUAUUAUAUAUUUAAAAAUUAUCUCUAAUUUUAAAAUAACUUUAAAAAACAACUGAUUUUAUCAUAAUAGUACUUGCUUUUAUCAAAUUAUUACAUAGAACUAUAGUAAAUCUUUUCUAAAUCACAAUUAUUGAAAAUUUACAUAUCUCAUAAAUUACUUCCUUUCACCACCAUAUCGUUGAUUAAUAUUCAAAUUAUUCAUCAUCUUUUCCCUUAUUGUUAUUAUCUUGUAAAUACAAAAUUUUAAUUAUCUAAAAAAUAUUUAAAAAAAAGAAUGUCCACCAAGUUUUUAAUAUGGGGUACAUUAUUUGAUGUAUACUAUUAUAUUACAAUGAAAGUACAUAAACAAAUUUUUCAAAAUUAGUAAAUAAUUGAACAUUUAGAAUACAUUAAGUUUUUAAAGUUAAUAUGAGUGAACACGUAGGAUUGUUGUUAAUUUUUGCAUUUAAAUUAUUCAUAUUUGUGUAAAUUCACAAUAAAUAAAAAAAAGACCGUGCUAAGGUACGGACAUAAUUCUAGUUAUGUAAUAAGUAAGAAGAAUAAUCUAUUGCAAAGUAAGAAGUGUUUCAUUUCAAGGGUUGACUAGUGAACUUUUUAAAAUCAAUUGUCCCAUGAUCAUGGUCUAACCACCUCCUUGAAUUUUGGUGAUUAACCCUAAUUUUGAACUUGUACUACUUACCUAUUUAUUAUUAAGAAUCCCAACCGCAUACUCCUUGGAUUUUUAUACGUACAAUAGUUUGAUUGGAAAUAAUUUGUACAGCACUGACCUAAUGCAAGUUGGAAUUGCUUGGUUUUAUAACCCCAAUAAUUGCAUCUUCCAUGACUUCGCCUAUCGUAAGUCAAAGGUUUUGCAUCACAUUUUGCUUAAACAAUUUAUCUAAAACAUAUCAAAUUGGCCUUCGAAUUGACGACGUUAGACUAAACCAUAGAGAUAAGGUGAAGGUUUUUUUUUUUUUUUUUUUUGCGACUUUCUUUACAGGAAUAGGGUGAAUUUGCUCAUAUGCCCUUCAAUAUUUAUGAACAUUUUGAUUGUUUUCAACUUAUACUUUCUUCAUUUUCGAUCUCGAGUAUUGAUUUUCAAUUUAGUUUUGGCAGGUUUGUACCUUGACAAAUCAACUUGUAUUGACCCAUGAGUUUCAUAAAAUUAUCAAACUUACAAUGUACAAGCUCUGUGAAGAAUGGACGGUAUUACAUGAUUACAUCACCAGUAAUUGAAUGGGAUAUAUACAGUCUAGUGGUCAAGGGACUAUUGGCUCCGUUUGGAUUAGCUGUUUUUUGGAUUGUUUUUCAAAAACACCACUGUAGCAUUUCGAAUCUGAAAAACAAGUCCGUUUGGAUUAGUUGUUUUUGGGGUUGUUUUUCAAAAACUAUAUGAAAAACUUUUACUGUAAAUUUUUUUGGAUUAUUUUUAGAGGUAUUUUUGAAACAUAUUUUUGAGUAUUUUUAGAAUAUUAUAAUUUUUAUAUAAAUAUACAUUUAUUCAUUUAUAAUACAUUUAUAUUUACAAAUGUAUAAAUGUAUAUUAUUAUAAAUUAUAAAUUAUAAAUGAAUAUUAUAUAAAUGUAUAAAUGUAUAAAUUAUAAUUUUUAUAUAAAUAUACAUUUAUGCAUUUAUAAUACAUUUAUAAAUAAAUAUAUUUAUAUAAAAAUAUAUAAAUGUAUUAUAUUCUUAUAAUACAUAAUAUAAAUAUAUUUAUAAAUGUAUAAGUGUAUAUUAUUAUAAAUGUAUAAAUUAUAAAUGAAUAUUAUAAAUAUAUUAUAAAUUAUAAGUGUAUAUUAUUAUAAAUGUAUAAAUUAAUAUAUUAUAAAUAUAUAUUAUUAUUAUGUAGAAAUGUAUUUAUAUAAUUAAUAUAAAUGUAUAUGUGCAUUAAUAUUAUGUAUAAAUGUAAAAUUAAUAUUAUGUAUAUUAAUAUAAAUGUAUAAAUGUAUUAUAUUAUAUAUAAUACAUAAUAUAAAUGUAUAUUUAAAUGUAUAAGUGUAUGUUAUUAAAAAUGUAUAAAUUAUAAAUGAAUAUUAUAUAAAUGUAUAAAUUAAUAUAUUAUAAAUAUGUUUUAAUAUUAUGUUGAAAUGUAUUAAUAUAAUUAAUAUAAAUGUAUACAUGUAUUAAUAUAAUUAAUAUAAAUGUAUGCAUGUAUUAAUAUUAUGUAUAAAUGUAAAAUUAAUAUUAUGUAUAUUAAUAUAAAUGUAUAAAUGUAUUAUAUUAUAUAUAAUACAUAAUAUAAAUGUACAUUUAAAUGUAUAAGUGUAUGUUAUUAAAAAUGUAUAAAUUAUAAAUGAAUAUUAUAUAAAUGUAUAAAUUAAUAUAUUAUAAAUAUGUUUUAAUAUUAUGUUGAAAUGUAUUAAUAUAAUUAAUAUAAAUAUAUAAUUAAUAUUAUGUAUAAAUGUAAAAUUAAUAUUAUGUAUAUUAAUAUAAAUGUAUAAAUGUAUUAUAUUAUAUAUAAUACAUAAUAUAAAUGUAUAUUUAAAUGUAUAAGUGUAUGUUAUUAAAAAUGUAUAAAUUAUAAAUGAAUAUUAUAUAAAUGUAUAAAUUAAUAUAUUAUAAAUAUGUUUUAAUAUUAUGUUGAAUAAUUAAUAUAAUUAACAUGUAUUAAUAUAUGUAUAAAUGUAAAAUUAAUAUAUAUUAAUAUAAAUAUGUAUAAUUAUAUAAUUAUAUAUAUAUAUAUAUAUAUGUAUAUAUAUGUAUAAAUAUAUAUAUAUAUAUAUAUAUAUAAUUUAUAUAACAUAUAAUAUUUAUGUAAAUAUAUUAUAAAUAUAUAAAAAUAUAUUUUAAAUAAAAUAAAAUAUUUAUGAUAUGUAUAUGUAAAUAUAUAAUAUUAGAAAUGUAUAAUAUAUAUAAUAUACAUUAAUAUUAAUAUAAUUUAUAUAUAAUAUACAUAAUUGAAAUAUACAUAUUAAUAUAUAUUAUAAAACAAAAUUGCAUAAAUAUAUUUAUAAAUUUAUAUAUAAAUAAACGUAUUUAUAUAAAUCUAUAAUAUUUAUUUCAAUUGAUAUAAUAUAUAUAACAUUAUACAUAAUUGAAAUAAAUAUAUUUAUAUUAAUAUAAUAUAUAUAAUAUACAUAAUUGAAUAUACAUAUUAAAAUACAUAAUUGAAAUAUACAUAUUAAAAUAUAUAAUUAAAAUAUAUUAAAAUAUAAUUGAAAUAUACAUAUAAAAUACAUAAUUAAAAUAUACAAAUUGAAAUAUACUUAUUAAAAUAUACAAAUUAAAUAUGCAUAAUUGAAAUAUAUUUGGAGUUGUUUUUGAUAUAUUGUUUGGAUUGGUGUUUUUGAAGUUGUUUUUGAAAUACACAUUUACUGUAACAUUUGGAAUGUGAAAAACAGUUUUUCAAAAACAGGCUCAAAAACACCAAUCCAAACGUACCCUAUGUUUUUGAAGGCACUGAAGAUGAUGCAAUUUGAAAUUUUGCCACGUCACUUUUUUUCCAAUGGAAAUUUUAAACCUCACAAGAAGAAGAAAGAGGAGGAAAUGAUUGACAACAAACAAAGAUCUUGCAAUUGACUAGUUUUUUAUUUUUUAUUUUUUAAAUUUAACUAGCAAGUAGUAGUAUAUAACAUGGCUGAAUUGUCUGAGUCGGGAAAAUAUGAGGCUGAACAUAUCCAGGAUUAUCCAAGUACGCCCAUUUUAACUUGGGUUUAAUUUUUGGGAGAAUUGUAAUUUUGGUCCCCAAUCUAUAGUGUAUGCACGGAAUUAUCCCCAAUCUAUUUCGAAAAUCAAUUUUGGUCCCCAAUCAAUUUUGCACUAAAGUGGACAAUUAACGGAAUCUCUUCAAUUUCAAUCGGAACUAAGUCACAUGAGAUCACGUGCCGGCACCUAAAAUCCUUUUUCAAUUUUUUAAUUUCUAAAACACAUUUUUUCUAGUGGCUUGGCUUUUUGCAUGGACACUCCUGUCCCUUUAACUAGAUCAAUCUCUUCCUUGCCAAUUCUUUUCCAAUCAAAACUCUGAAUUAGAGAUCUCAAGGCAAACCCACCACCCACUGUGCUAGGCCAGAACCAGGGCAAGAUCUCCUUCCCAUCCCAAAUGGAAUCAGCUUUGAUGGCUGAACCUGCAAGUCUUCGAAUCUCUUUGGCUUGAAGCUUGUUGGAUCAUCCCAAACAUUUGGGUCCCUGUGAAUUAUCCAUGCAUUAACUAGCAAAAUUGUGCCUCGCGAUAUAUUGUAUUCCCCAAUUUUAUAGUCAUUGGACGACUCAUGUGGCACUAGCAUUGGUGCUGCUGGGUACAACCGAAGUGUUUCUGAAAUAAUGUUAUGAAGAUAAGGAAAGAUUGGAUAGAUCAUGUUCGUCGACCAAUCGAUCAGUCCCUACUUGAGCAUCCAAUUCAGCUCGAGCUUUCUCUAGCACCUCGGGAUGGUUGAGCAAAAAAGACAAGGCCCAUUCUAUAGUUACCGAUGAAGUGUCUGUUCCAGCCGUAAGCAUAACCUACCAAUAAUAUACUAGUGGUUCAAUUGAAUGCUCAUUCCAAUUCAAUGGUGAAGAAUGGCUAAUAGGGAAAGAAUAUGCUUUCCAAUAUAAUCCUUUUGAUUUCCAGUUACUAUCAUCCGCUCUUCUCUCUCGGCUGCUUGCUUGUAGGGGUGGCAAUUUUCGACACGACCUGAAAACACGACACGAAAUUAAUGGGUUUGGGUUGAGGUUUUGGGAAUUCGAGUUGGACCCGAUGAACCCGAAAAGAAAACAGGUCGAUUUCGGAUCAACCCGUGGUGACCUGAUAUGACCCGAUAUGACCCGUUUACGAAUUAAAAAUAAUUUAAUAAAUAUAAAAAUAAUUUUAUCUAACUAACCUAAGUUAUUCUUUUUUUCAAAGGCAUUAAUUACUUAAUCAUAAAUGAAUUUAUUUAAUUUGUGUGAAGUUGAAAUUAUUAUAUUUGGACAAAUAAUAUAUUAUAUUAUUUUUUACUUUUAUACUGUUUUAAUUUAUUUUAUAUUUUGUUUGGGAUAAAACACUUUUACGGUGUUUAAUUUAUUUUAGAUUUGGUUUGGAAUUACUUAUUUAAAUUUUUAUUACUUGAUUAUGUAAUUAGUUUUGUGAGAAAUUGAUUUUAUUAGAAAUUACAGUGAUAAAUUAAUAAAUUAAAAUUAAGUUUCGGGUCAUUUCGGGUCGACCCGCCAACCCGUCAACCUGAAAUUUUCGGGUUCGGGUCAGCAUACCUGACCCGUCACGGGUUGGCGGGUCGGGUUCGGGACAACAGAUUUUCUGGCGGGUUGACCCGAACCCGACCCGCCAACCUGAUUUGGACCUGAAUUGCCACCCCUACUUGCUUGCUUACUUAUGAAGUAGUACUGCUGCUCUUGUUGUUUGUACAGGAGAGUUGAACUGGGUUCGUCUCUGGCGUUGAUUGUAGAUUAUCUCCAUUACUAAUGGAGGUAAGAGCGACACUUGGACUUGGAGGCGAAGCUGAGCUUCUUACUCGUGCUGUGGGUUCUGGGGAUUUGAAGACGGCGGCCAACAAGAGGAGUAAUUUGGAUUGUGAGAUUACCCCUUUCAUGUCUUUGUUUAAUACGACAAAAGGUAAGAUAAAACUGAAAAUAUUAAAAAACGUGUUUUAGAAAUUAAAAAAUUGAAAAAAAGGUUUUAGGUGCCGGCACGUGAUCUCACAUGACUUAGUUCCGAUUGUAAUUAGAGAGAUUCUGUCAAUUGUCCACUUUAGCGUAAAAUUGAAUAGAUUGGGGAUCAAAAUUAAUUUUUAAAAUAGAUUGGGGAUAAUUCCGCGCAUACACUAUAGAUUGGGGAUCAAAAUUACAAUUCUCCCUUAAUUUUUUGUGCCCAUAUCAAACUAAGCCAAUCUAUGUAGAAGGCUUGGACCUAGUACGUAUAUUAAAAGGCCUAUCUCUGACUAAAGUGAGGAUAAAUUACUUGUUACCUGUGUGUGGUUUUAUAUAGGGAAAAUGGCAUGUUUCAUCCUUACAUUUCGCAAAAAUAUUUUUUUCGUUCCUCACUUUCAAAAUGAAGCAAAUUUGUCCCUGACAUUUAAAAAUUAAACCUAUUACAUCUCUGAACCUAAUUUUCAAUCUGAAUCAAACCAUUCAAUAAUCUAGUAAUAAAUUUCGAAAAUAGAAUUGAUAGAUCACUCGGUCAAUUUCAUCAUAUUCACAUGACAAUUAUUAAACUAAAAAAAAAUUUAUAACAUAAAAGGCCAUUCUUUUCUUGGAAUAGUAGGGUUUUUUUUUGGGUAAAUCUUUUCAUACACCGUUAGUAUAUCCGCUUGCGAAUCUAGAUGUGUAUCAUAAAUAUAAAAUUUGGUGUUUAAAUUUAAAUUGAAAUGAUAUGGCAGUACAUAAAACCGUCAGUGUAUACAAUGAUAAUGUAGGAAAGAUUAAUCUUUCUUUUUUAUGUUAUAAUUUUUUAUUUUUUCUUUUUGGGUUCAUUAAAUUUUACAUGAAUAUCAAGUUGAGUUAAUCAAGUGAUCUACCAAUUACACCCCAAAAUUUGUAAUCAGGAUGAUUGGUGGUUUGAUUCAGAUUGAAAUUUGGGUUCAGGGAUGUAAGAACUUCAGUUUUUAAAUGUUAAGGACGAAAUUGCUUCGUUUUAAAAGUGAGGGACAAAAAGAAUAUUUUUGUGAAAUGUGAAGGAUGAAACAGAUCAUUUUCCCUUUUAUAUAAUGUCACAUGAACUUUUUAGAGAUUUAAAAUAGUCAUAUAAUCCCUAUGGUUUUAUGUAAAUUUUAAGAUAAGAAAAGAUGGAAUGCACAACCAAUUAUAGCAUUUAUACCAAACGUAUUUUGAAAGAGUGUGUGAUAAUGUCAGAUGAACUUUUUAGAGUUUUAACAUGGUCAUAUAAUCCCUAUGGUUUUAUGUAAAUUUUAAGAUAAAAAAGACGAAAUGCACAAUCAAUUAUAGCAUUUAUACCAAACGUAUUUUGAAAGAGUGUGUGAUAAAGUUUUAAUAUUCAUUUAACACCCUUAUGAUUUGUACAAAUAUCCACUUUACUUACUUGUGGUUUUUGCAUUUAUCUACAUAAUCUUCUUAUGUUUUUAUACAAGGUUUCAGGGGAGGGGGGAGAGGAAAGGGGAAGGAGAGGAGGAAGAGGAAGGGAGGAGGAGGAAAGAGGAAGGAGAGAAAGAGAGAGAGAGGGAGAAAAGAAAGAAAGGAAAAAAAAAAAAAAAGAGUCACCCGCCCCGAUGCCGGCACCGGUGGAGUGGCGGCCGGUGGCAGCCGUUGGUGGAGAUGGUGGUAGAUUGAUUUGUGGGGAGGAAGAAGAAAAAAGACAAGAAAAAAUUUUUGUUUGUGUUUGGGCAUUUGAGGUAUGCAUUUAAAAAAAUUUGGGGAGUUUGAAAUUAUUAUAAUUAAAGUUGUUAAAAAUCUUGUAGAAAAAAAAGCUAGACAAAAAACUUGAGCUCCAAACAGACAAUAGAAUAUAAGUAUACGACUAGGAGCAAGUCACAAAACAAACUAAACACAAGGAGGGAAGAAAAAAAAGAGGAAAUUCCACAACCAAAGAAUACAUGGUCCCAAGUAUUUAGAUGCCAGCACUUGACACUUGCUACGCAUACAAAUUUUUUGCCGGAAGUGGCAGAUCAUUUUUCUUAGGCAUUGUAAGACCUGGUAAAACUUGAGUAUCAACGUCGUCUUUCUUGAUCCCAAAAGGCAAUUCCCAGUCAAAAGAGUACAGAAGACUGGCAAGUCCAACUUCCACCAUUGCUAGUCCCAGAGAAUAUCGAGGGCAGCCCCUUCGGCCAGCUCCAAAUGGUAUCAGUUGAAAGUCUUUCCCUUUCAUAUCUACACUAAUAUUCAAGCAUCGCUCAGGCAAAAACUCAUUUGGAUUUUCCCAAUACUCGAGCUCUCUUCCAAUCGCCCAGACAUUUGUGUAAACUAUAGAAUUGAACUGGAUUUCGUGACCAUUUAUAAUGCAAUUUGCUAGUGUCUGUCUUGGAACUGAAAGUAGAGCUGGAGGAUACAAUCUGAAGGUCUCCUUGACAAUUGCCUUGAGAUAAGGGAGCUUUUGAAUAUCAUCUUCGUUUACUAUAUCUUUAUUUCCAACUGCACCUCUAAUCUCUGCUUGUGCCUUCUUCAAUAUUGCUUCAGGGCUCUUCAUCAGUGCUGCCAUUGCCCAGAUUAUCGUAGCUGCAAUAGUAUCCGACCCCGCACUAAAUACAUCCUACAAGGAAAUAUUGAAACAGAUUAGCAAAAUGGGAUUGAUCCAAAUUCUUAAAAGGAAAAACAAAAAUGAGAAAUCGUUCAAAACGUUCCCACGUUUCAUUAAAUGAAUUUCUUGAUCCCUCACCUUUAAAAUAUUAAAUUUACGUUCCUUACAAAUUCAAAUUAAUAAUAUUUGAUCCUUACCUAAAUUUUUGACCACUUUUUAAUCCAAAAUCACUAUGUGACCACAUGCAAUUAUUUUUUAUAUACAAGAAGGCUAGAUUCCACUUUUUAAUGGCAAAAAUGAAUAUAGAUUAAAUCAGAUCCUACUUUUUUAGAUGCAAAAGUGAAUAUGGAUCAAGUUAUUUAUUUAACUAUAAAUGAGAUCUAACAUUUUUGCUCCGAAAAAAAAUAACAAUAUGUGGGUCACAUAAUUGAUUCAAGAUAAAAAUGAUCGAAAACCUAGGUUGGAACUAAAUUUUAUCAAAUUAAUUUUAUAAAGGACAUAAAUUUAUAAUUUUAAAAGUGAAGGACAAAGAAUUUUAUUUAUUGAAAUGUAAAGGGCGUUUUGAACCCAAACAAAAAAGUAGGCCCUUUGAACAGGUAAUUAAUCACCAUGAGCAUUGCUUUUGAUGUGAUCUUGCGUUAGAUCAAAGGAAGUUGAUUGUUCUUGAAGUAAUUGAAGCAUGAUGUCAAUGAUAUCACCGUUCAUGGACUCUGGCCUAUUUGGAUUUAAGUGUUCGUCGAUGAGUUCUUGAAGAAAUGAAUCUAACUUACUGCAAGUCCUCUCAAGUCGAGAACGCAUCCCAUUGAGGCUAUCAAGCCAACCAAUUGAAGGAAUAUAGUCUGAGAAAAAGAACCCCACGAAUGCGGCCUCCAUUUCUUGGAGGAGAUCAUGGAAUCGUCUUCUUUGUUGAUCUUCCUCAUCAUACCUCUUUCCGAAAGCAAUUCUACAGAUAAGCGUACAUGAAAGUGAUAGUAAAGUCUUACUCAAAUUCGUCACUUGAGAUGAAGAUGCUUCCUUGGAUGUCUUUCUGAUCAUCCGGGAGACUUCAUCUUCACGAAUACCACGACAUGACUGCACCCUUCUGUUGCUGAAGAGAUGAAGAACAGAAAACUUUCUCAGCUCUCUCCAUUGCUCGCUGUAUGGAUAGAAGGCGAUAUCCAAGCCGUUGUAAGAAAGCAUUCGGGAAUCUAGGAACAGUGGGCGACUGAAAAUGUCGAGUCAUGGUUUUUCACAACUUCUUCAGCCAUUCUUGUGGAUGAAACCACAAGCAGUGGAAAGGAUCCAAGCUUAAGAGACAUGAGAGGACCAUAUAUUUUGGAAAGUUGCCAAAGGUAUACAUGAGGGGCUGAGGUAUCAAACUGAAGCAAGCUUCGAAUGACUGGAAUCCCCGAGGACCUGGUGGUGGAGGAAUUUUUGUUGUUGAUGAUCUCAUCCUGUUCUUUUGAAGAACGCUUAGGACGACAACUAGAAGUGCUGAGAUUAAAGCAAUCAAUAUCUCCAUCAUCUGGCUGGAAGUAAGAUAUGAUGGCCUUUGUAGGAUGCAAAUUUGAUCAGAUAGAAGCGAACUCGAAUAUUUAGACUUUGUUGAGCUUGAAUAUGAGCUUGAGUUUGAGUUGCGUUGUGGAUUUGAACAAAAAUUGGGUUCUUUUUUUGGAUAAUAAUUGAUGAGAAUACCAAGAUGUGAGUAGCGGGAUACGGAUUGAGAAGGCGAAUUUGCUUGUAUCAUGAAUAUGUUUUUUAAUUAUUUUUUUAUUUCACACACAUCAUAUUAAUAUAAAUAUUAUAUGAUAGGUUGUAAUUUUAUUAUUUAUUUUAUUAUUAAUUUUUUCCUGAUGUGAAUUAAUUAUUAGAUUCUACUCAUUUUUAGUAAUUUACAUUUAUUUCAGAGAGUAGAACGAAAAUAUCAUAACCAAGAUCAAUUUGAUAGUCAUCGAAAAGAAUUCAAAUGAAAGACAUUCAGGGGCAUUUUUGAAACAAAAAAAAUGUAAGCCCUUUUCGAUAAUUUAGCCGAAGACAGCAAGGGAAAAAAGGCUGGUGUCUUCGGUUUUGAAGGGAGAGCCGCCGCACAGCAUUAGUGGCAAUAAGAAUAGGAAAUAGCUGAGGCCAUUUGGAGAGGAACGAUUUUUACAUGGCAGACAUGGAGCACUACUUUGAAUUAGCUUUUGACUUUUCUUCCUUUUUAGCUCUUAGUAGCUUUCUUUUCCUCCGUGUGUCAGAGAAAGCAAAAACACUCAAUUGCUCCUGUAGCUUGCUUCUCUUAUUGAAUAGAAUAAAUUGAAUUUUUCCAAUUCUUGGAGACGGUGGCUGCAACUUUACAUGAAUUUUUCGCAUCAAAUAUGAACUAAUUUCUUUAUUUUAGUUAAGAAAUAACGAAGGUUUUGAUUCACCUAAAAAUUAUGAGAUCGAUUUAAUUUUAUUUUUUCUUUUUAUUUAUUGGUAUUCGCAUAUUUUUUUAUUACAGCACUUACGAUUGUUCAAUUAAUUGAUUUUCUUGAAUCCGAAUAAUUAGUUAAUUAGGUAGUCUAUUAUCAAUUGGGGCAUUAAAUGCGUAAUUGUUUAAUUGCUUUGAAAUAGUGACAACUGGCAUAAUUAGAUUUGUGUCAGAGGAAUACGUGGGCUAACCUAAAAUAACCCUAGUAGUACGUUAUUUGGUUAGAAUAGAACUCCUCUAAUACGUAAGGCAAUUGGAGAAUUAAAUCUUAUGGGUGUACCUAAGCUUAUUUCUCAAUUAGAGUAGUGACUAACGGGCGUACCUUAAUCACCAACACAGUAAGGAGGGGUUGACUGUCAUCGCUUGUUUGGCAGUUGUAACCUAUUUAUUGGUAAAUAAUUGGAAUUGGCUUUGCAUCGAUGAUCAAUUAGGUGAACCAUUGCUGAAGUUAUUUCUUGGCUAGAUCCUUAAUUAUCACCCAUUUGAUUUUAAUAAUUUGUUAUUUAAUUUUUAGUAGCUUCUUAGAUUUUAUUUGAAUUUCUUUGAUUGUCACCUUCUGCACAAAAACACCCCCUUUGUUACUGUGAAUUUGAAAAUAAAUAGUUACACCCAGUCCCUGUGGAUUCAACCCUGCUUACCACUAUUUACAAAAAUUAAUUUUAGUUUAGCAGGUUUUGAUUAUUGCACAGGCCUGACACAUGUCACUAUAGUAUUUUUUUUAAAUAUUCCAAAUAAUUUACAAUCCAAACACACUUAUUAUACCCUUAAAAUGAUUGAAAUGACGAAAACUAUGAAUGUUACAAGCUCCUAAUUUAUUUUAUGGCAGCAAUAGCACCGUCCAUAUCAGAAUUUCAUAUCGAGAAGAUCUUUCUUAUCUUUGGUAGAAUUAAAACCUAUGGCGAGUAGGCAGCAUUGUAUCCUUAAAAUCAUGAAAAAUAAAAAUUUACAAACUCUAUGACUUUAAAAGUUACAUGAAACUGUUGGCCACUAACUUAAUCAAAUUUAUUAUUAUUCUAUUUUCUUAUCUCUAAAUUUUAGAUACUGUUGGCCACUGAGUUUUGACACUUGCAAAUUUUUAAAAUCCUAAGCGAUGAGAAGUAAUGAUCGAGAAACUUUUGUGUAUGUUUGUAACUCCAUAUGAUAGUACUAAAUCCUAAAUGCUUUAAACAUUUUUCGUAUUCUAGUUUUCAAUUUUUUAAAGUUAUUUCAUAUCCAAAUAGUAUUUAACUAUCUUGUAAUGCUUUACUAGUUCUCUAAACUUGAAAAUUUUGAGUUGGAAGAGCUAGCAAUGGCUUAUAAGGACUCCCCUCGAAUACACUCUUCCCAGCUCUACUUCAUUAUCUACGUGGCAGUAUAAUAUUCAUUGAGGGAUUUCACUUGGCAUGCCACUAGUUUUAGUUGCCAAUGUUUUUACUUUUCCCCAGCAUUCUGGAUGAUUGGCGAGAAGGAACAAUUGGAAGCAGAUAUCUGCUUUUUUUUUUUUUUUCCAUUUUGUCUGAAGCAAGAAAUGAUCCAUCAAUCCUUUGGAUGAGCUGGUCGCAGAAGUUCUACAAGAUUAAGUGGAAUUCGACGACUUCUUGUGCAUCAACCAAUAGGGUAGUAGUAGUACUACUACUACAACUUGCUGCUACUAUUGUCCAAGAAAAGAUCGGCCUGCAAAUAUUGGUGGCUAUUAGCUGGUUGAUGUAUUUCAACUUUAUCACAAUUGUCGUUUUAAUGAUCCAAGUCCGGUUGUUCUUGUUUGAAUACAAGGCUUGACAAUUAUUUGAUCAGGACCUGAGAGAAUUAUUCCAAGUUUUUGAUCAAGACACAGAUUUGCGAAGACACUCAAGCCAAUGGACUAAAUCCAGUUUGUACCUCUAAACUCGUGACGUAUUCUCUCACUUCAUACCGCAAUUUCAAUUUUGGCCACUUUCCUGGCAUAAGCAUUUACAAUUGUCCCCAAUUCAAACCUUCUGUUUAUUACAAUAAAAGAUUUGGAUAUUACACGGAUACACAUAGGCAUGUCAACAUGUCAGAUCUUAUCCAAAUCUAAUUUAGAUCCAUUAUACUUGAGUAGUGUUUUGAUUUAAUUUGUCAAAUUCAAACUCUACUUGGACCCGGACUUUGUAAGAGAGUUAUGGGUCUUGAUAGGAUUUAAUUUUCUAUAAUCCAAAUCCAAACACACACACACACACACAUAUAUAGUAGAUUUAUAAAAGAGUAAAAGCAAAUAAAUGAAAGAUUGAAUGAAAAUGCUGAUGAACCUUUGAAAAUAAUUAGCUUUAGUUAAUAAUAGUUCUUUCUUUGAGUACAUAAUAUUGCAUUCAACAUCUUGAAUGUUAAUUUUAUUAUUUGAAAAUAAAAAUUGGAUGAUAUUUAUGUUAUUUUUAAACUAUUUAAAACAUUUUUACUUUAAUUCUUUAUUGUGUGUUUAGAAAAGUAUCCAUGGGCACCUGUUGAAUACUCAAACCCAUGAGUGUCGGAUUUGGAUUUUUUUUUUUAGACCCAUAAGAGUCUGGAUUUAACUAAAGUUUGGAUGUGAAUAAAAAAAUCCAAUCCGAAUCCUAUCCAUUGACAUGACUAACUACACACCAUGCACCAUUAUUGAAUGGGUCAAAUAUCAUUCCCCCCCCCACCCCCCUUUUACUACCCUUUUAUGGAUUUUUUAGAUGUGGAAUACGCAUAAAUAGGGUUUUAUUUGGCAUUUUACACCGCUCUAAUAAAUUCAAAUGUCUGGACAGAUUGUAAUCUAUUAUUAUGGAUUUUUUAGAUGUGGAAUACGCAUAAAUAGGGAUUUAUUUGGCAUUUUACACCCUCAUAAUGAUUUCUUAUAAAUUGUUUCUUUAAUUUCUUACAAUUUUUCAACCGCAGAAUAUCACUUAAGUUAUAAAAGGGUUUUUUUAGGGAAAAUCAUAAAAGGUUAAGGUACAAAUUUCUAAAUGAAUAAAAGGACUUGGUUACAACUUUAGGUGUUAAUGAAAGUAAAGGAAAAUAAACUUGUUCGUAGAAUAAUUUUUUUAAAUCGGGGUGCGGCGUGCCCAACCUGCAAUACAACGCCAGACAACUCCCGAAGACCCCCAACUAGCAAGUAUUAUAAUUUGCUUUCCCCCUAAAAUAAAAUUCACUUAAUAUUCCCCUGACCCACGAGCCCAGGUACCAAAUGAUGUAUUAAAUUGGUAAGAACAGUUACUACACAGUUUGUUCCAACAAAUGAACCAAUACAUCAUGAGUAAAUUUUAUAUGCACUGACGAUAUAUAUAUUAUCACCGUUGGAUUCAUAAUGCAUGUACAAAAUUUGAAUUUCAAAUUUAAAUUUUAUAUAGUUAUUAUUCAUUCAAAAUUGAUGGUGUAUAUAAAAUCACUGUAUAGAAGAUUAAUCCAUAUUUUAUACUGUUCAUACUUGGGGAGAGAUUUAGGAUUAUAUGGGACAAAUAUAAUAAGAGAUAUUAUACAUUUGUAUAUCAUAUGAAUUUUUUUAAAACACAAUUAAAAGUUCAUCGUAAAAAUAUGAGUUUGAAAAAGUUAUGCAUACAAAUUUGUAUGUAAACAGUGAGGACAUAUUUGAUAGUUAUGAAAGAAAGAAAAGAUAAAUUACCUGUCAAAAUUGUAGUUGGAUUUUUUGCGAUAUUUUAAAAAGAUUGUUACAAUAAAAUAAGAUCUUGGUGAAACAAAUAAAUAUAUAGGUGAAUUUUACUAAUACUUAAAAUUAACUUCCUCCAAUGAUAUCACAGGUAAGAGAAACUUCUGGAGAUAACACGUUCAUUGGAUUAAAGCCUUUUUUAUUAGUUAAGGGCCUCGUUAUGCCCUUUUCUCAGUGACUAUCUGAGGAUCCCGUCUCAUGUGAUAUACGUGUGUGCCUCAUUUAUUAUAUAUAUAUAUAUAUAUAUAUAUAUAUAUAUAUAUAUGUUAUGUAGAACACAUUUUAUUGAUACAGAGCUUCCAUGCAACUUAGAGCUCAACAAAGUCUAUUUAAAACCAACUUCUAUGUCCAUUUUCCAGCCGCCACAAGAAAAAACUUCCUCAUAAAGUGAUGGAGAUUGUCCUGAUCAUCGCUUUACUUUCAGCUCUUCCCAUAAUUUUCCUGAUUCUUCUUCAGAAAAACAGCAGGAAAUCAUAAACAAAAUCUCAUCAACAAAAUUUUCCUAGCAAAGGGAGGACUUCUAAAUAGUUCGCUACUGGUGGAAGAAUUCAAGUAGUACUUUUUUUCGUCUGAACCAGAAAGAAAAGAAAGGAGAAAUAAAGAAACGGGAAAGAGAGAGAGAGAAAGGAAGAAGAAAACAAAAGAUGAUGGGCUAAAAUAAAGCAGAAAGGGAGUGUUUUGUUUUGCUGCCACGUGGGUCAACUUCCAUUUUUUGUUUGACUGUUUGACUUCUUCUCUUUCACGACAGAGAGUAAGUUUAAUUUGUUUGGAUAGGAGUUUAUUUGGAUGAUUUAUUUGAGAUAAUUACUGUAACACUUUUUGUAAUGUGAUGUAUGUGAGAUAAAAAGAUAAUUGGAAAGAUAAAAAAGUGGUUGAAAUUUGUGAAAAAAAUUAUUUUACUUGAAAUCAUUUCAAUCCAUACAAACUCUUAUCUUUUGUCUGAGAAAAGAGGGAAAGAGACGGGAAAGGCUGGGAAAGAAAGCAAAAGACUAUUUACAAAAUGUCAAAAAUAGCCCUCAAUAGUUAGCUACUCUUUUAGGGCUAGUUAUUUUUCUCUGCGCAAGAUAGUAAUUUCAUGUAAAAGACAAAAAUGACCUCAACAGUGAUAUACUAUUAGGAGAAGUAGUAAACAUUCCCAUGGCAUAAAAGGAAGAAAAAUUUUCUCCCUCCCCUAACGCCACCACGUGGCUUAAUGUGGGAGUAGAAAUCUUAACUCUUUCUAUAUAUGUAAGAUAAGAUAUAUAUAUAUAUAUAUAUAUAUAUAUAUAUAUAUAUAUAUUAUGUAAAACACAUUUUAUUGAUAUAGAACUUCUAUGCAACUUGUAGCACAACGAAGUCUAUUUAAAACCAACUUCUAUGUCCAUUUUCCAGCCACCUCAAGAAAACCUUCCUCCUGAAAUAAUGGAGAUAGUAUUGAUCAUCGCUUUACUUUCAGCUCUUCCCAUAAUUUACCUGAUUCUUCUUCAGAAAAAAGGCAAGAAAUCAUCAACAAAAUCUCAUCCUCCUCUCCCUGCUCCUCCUGGGAUUCCAAUCAUUGGAAACAUGCAUCAGUUUGAUUCUUCAGCCCCACAUAUCUAUCUCUGGGAGCUUUCCAGAAAGUAUGGCCCUCUCAUGUUCCUCAAGCACGGAUGCUUGCCAGUACUUGUGGUUUCUUCAGCAAGAAUGGCAGAAGAGGUUAUGAAAAAUCAUGACUUAAUUUUCUGUAGCCGACCACCUAUGCUUGGCCAGCGAAAAUUGUCCUACAAUGGCCUGGACAUCGCGUUGGCACCGUACGCUGAGCAAUGGAGAGAAUUGAGAAAGAUUUGUGUUCUUCAUCUCCUGAGCUCCAAGAGAGUUCAAUCGUUUCGUCCUAUACGCGAAGAUGAGGUCUACCGUAUGAUUCAAAAGAUAUCCCAGGAAUCGGCUUCAUCACAAGUAACUGACUUGACUCACACUUUAUUGUCUCUCACAUGUACUAUGAUUUGCCGAAUUGGUUUUGGAAAAAGGUAUGACGAGGAAGGCCAAGAAAGAAAAAGAUUCCACUUUCUCAUGCGCGAAGCUCAGGCAGUGUUGGUUGCCUUCUAUUUCUCUGAUUAUUUUCCUACAAUUGGUUGGCUGGAUAAAUACACUGGGAUGCUAUCUCGACUGGAGAAAGUUUUCAACAAGCUUGAUUUGUUCUACCAAGAACUCAUUGAUGAGCACCUGGAUCCAAAUAGGCCAACGUCAAUGGAUGGAGACAUUAUUGAUCUCUUGCUUCAAUUACAGAAUGACAGAUCAACUCCGUUUGAUCUGACUGUGGAUCACAUCAAGGCCAUGCUAAUGGUAAUAAACUAACUCUUUAACGUACAUUCCAAUACAGAGUGUGAUAUACAGGUUCUGUUUAGUUUUUUUCUACUUGAAAUUGCAAUCAUUUCUUGUGAAAAAUAAUGCUACUUAACAAUAGGAUACAAUUUAAUUUAAUUUUGACAAAAAGCCAAACACAGCGCUAUUUAUUUGUUUUUCUAUUUACAUCCUAAGUUAAUUGGCACUAUCCUUAAGUAAAUUUGCUUCCUAGCCUCCGUGAUACGCGAAUCAUCAGCAUCUAUCUCUUCCUUAACUACUACUUUCCCCCAAAAUCAUCAUCACCAUAUUAUCAGCAUCCCUUUAUUACUUCCUCUCUCUUUCCUCCCCAAAAGUUGUAACCAGUUUAUUCCUCCUUUUUGCCUUCAUCGGUACCUACUUCUGAGAUCCAUCUCCACCGAAACCAUCACCACUCUUCUUUGUGGUUUCUUUCCCUCUUUCAUUUCCUUAGAUGCUUUAGGGGUUUUUUUUUGGGUGAAGCUCAUAAUUAUUUAAGGAAAACCAAAAAUAAAGCCAAAAUAACAAAGCUAAUCCAAUCAGAAAUUUACCGAAAAAGAAAACUGAAGGCAUGGGGCGGGGGUUUUUGGAAAUUUUACAUGGCUGAGAUAGAAUUUGGUAGGAAAGCAAAAAGAAACCUGACCUGAAAAAUUGUUGCUAUUAGAUUUUGAUGUGUACUUGUAUAUAGUUCAAAAGAGGAAUUUUAAAAAAUUGAGAGAGAGAGAGACGGUAGUGCAGAGCGGUGAAGUCAAACAAGGUGAUAGACGGAAGGUGAUCCCCAGCCUAUCAUGGUAAAACUCAAGUGAGGAAUGGAGUACAUGAACUUGCAGCUAGUUAAUGCUGAGGAUUAUAUUGAGGCCCAGUUUACUGGAAAUCUUGGAGAGAUUCUUGAUCAGAUGUAACAAUAUUCUCUACAUGCUUUGAAAUAGCAUGUAGAGAUUCUUGAUCAGAUGUAUAUUGAAGGAUGUUUCUAGUGAGUUGUGAUGAUGUGGCAAUUUCACCAUCACUCAAUCUACAAGUCGGCCCGUAGACCGGUUCUACACAAGUUUUUGCCACUAUUACAUAACAACUCUCAAAUUCUGAUAGAGAGGUUGUGUUUUGGGUCUCCACUAGAAUUGGAUCGGAUAGGAAUCUUAAUUUUGGCUUACACAAAUGUUGAUUCAUUUCAAUUGGAUACAAUUGGUCUUGAUGAACAACAAGCAUUUGAAUCAGCCUUUUUUAAGGAAAAAAAAAAAGAAAUUAUAAUAUUUCCUAAACAUAAUGUUUACCCAUUUCUCUUUAUCGCAUAUACAUCACAUUCCAAAAAUUUUACAGCUUUACUGUUCGAAAAAAUUUCUGAAUGAUCUUCAACCGAAGCACAUGAAAAUAUUUAGGCUUAGGAAAUUCAUUGAUGAUUAUCUUUUUUUUUUUUUCAAAAAACAACUGCAGAACGUAUUUUUGGCCGGGUCAGAAACUUCAGCAGGUGCAGUAAUCUGGGCAAUGACAGCCCUUAUCAAGAACCCUACGGCACUGGAAAAAGCUCAAAACGAAAUCCAAGAGGUGCUUGGAGAGAAAAAAAUGAUAGAUGAAGAUGAUAUCCAAAAGCUUCCCUAUCUCAAAGCAAUCGUCAAGGAGACUAUGAGACUGUACCCAGUUGCUCCUCUUUUACUCCCAAGAUACACAACGGAAAGUUGCAUCCUAGACGGGUAUGAGAUCCAGCCCAAGACUACCGUUUACGUGAAUGCUUGGGCAAUUGGAAGAGAUCCUGAGUACUGGGAAAAUCCACAUGAAUUCUUGCCUGAGAGAUUCUUGAAUAGUACUAUAGAUGCAACAGGGAAACACUUUAAAUUCAUACCGUUUGGGGCAGGCAGAAGAAGCUGCCCAGGAUACUACCUGGGACUAGCAACUGUGGAGCUUGCACUUGCUAAUCUCUUGAACUCAUUCAAUUGGGGAUUGCCUUCUGGAGUGAAGAAAGAGGACAUCGAUACUGAUGUUUUACCUGGUCUUGCUAUGCUUAAGAAAAAUGCCCUGCGACUUGUGGCAAAGAAACGUGUGCCUUCGUAGUAAAAAAAAAAAAGUCAAAUGGGAUCAGAAUGUGUGGUUCAUAUACAAUGUACGACCAUUUGAGGAAUUCUUGCUGUUUUGGUCUUCAAUUUGGUAUCAUCAGAUUUGAAAUGAAAGAGUUUAAUAUGUUGAAACAAAUUUUUAAGCAAACUGUGCUAUGAAAUCUUUGACCCUUUUUGUAAAUGAAUUCAUGGAAGAUGCUUGAAUGCAAUUAGGUCCUCAAUUAUUGAGACUUGGGGAACAGUGUAGAAAACCAAACAAUGUGAUCCAGAAUCAUCUCUGAUAAGCAUUACGUAAAGAAUGCACAAAUUAUUUGCAAGGAAAGUGUAUUCUAUAAACUCAAGGACCAUGAGCGCAGUUGGGAUUCUUGAUGAUAAAUAGCUCAGGACAUGUAUGGUUCAUGUUAUCACUAAUUAGUCAAUAUCAGUGAUGAUUACUGAUAUGGUUUUAGUGAUGACAUUGCUCCAAACAUUUGUGACAAAAAACAAAGGCGUCACUAACUCUCUGUCUGUCAUUGACAAAAUAUUUCAUCAAUAAAUAUUGAUAUUCAUUGACGACUCUCAAAGUUGUCCCUGUACACUUCUAUCGAUGGACAUUCAGUGAUGACCUUGAAGUUGUCAGCAAAUUUCAUCACUGGCCAUUUUUCCCGUUCUGUCUGACAAGAAUUGAGUGACAGCUCAUUAGUGGCAACUUUUUCUUUUUUUGUGACAAAAAUUGAUUGUUACUAAUGAUCAAUGUUUCGAAAUGCGUAUUUGGGGUGCGUCCCAAGGUGAGCCCAAGGGCGAGGCGUUUCCAAAUUGCCCCUGGGCAGUCAAAUGGGGCAUUAGUGUCAUAGGGCGUUCGCUCCAAGGAUCAGGGCAAACGCCCAAGCGUUCUGGUGAUUUUUUUUUUUAGGCGUAAAAAAUGUAUGUCUUUAAAAUUCAUUUUUGCCCUUUUUUAAACUCCAAAAGAACAUCUAAACUGGAUUUUCUCUUCACAUGCUUAAGGAAGUUGAGACCCUCAAGCUGAAUUUGCAAGUUCUGAAAACUUUUCUUAUGUUAGCUUACAAAUUUAAGUUGGCAAACAUGGAUGUUAAUUUGGAAUUUAAUGAUGCAAAAGAGGUGAAACUUCAAAACUUUGUGCUUCACAAUAAGGAUACUCUAAAGGAAUAGGAGAAGGACACUUGCUUUGAUAGUCAAACCUCACAAAUAUCAUUUGCUAGUGCCCUCAAAAAGAGUUUUCGCAACUGUAAUACACACACACACACACACAUACAUACAUAUAUAUAAUAAUAUUUUUGUUUUUUAUAUUUUUAAAAUAUUUAAAAAUAAAAAUUGUGGGCCUAUGUCCCACGCCAUGGGGCUUUUGCCCUAUUUGAACGAACAUAGAACAUCCUGCCUAAUGCUUUCACCUUUUAAAAUACCGCUAAUGACCAAUUUUGUUGUUGUGACAAGCUUGAUUUGUUCUAUCAAGAAUUCAUUGAUGAGUACCUGCAUCCAAAUAGGCCGAUGUCAAUGAUGCAGACAUUAUUGAUCACUUGCUUCAAUUACAGAAGAACAGAUCAACUCCAUUUGAUUUUACUAGCACUGCAAACGAAUCAAGUCUCGAGUCCGAGCUCGGUCAACUUCGAGUUCGAGUCGAACUCGAGUUUGAACUUGAACUCACAAAUAAUAAGCUCAUUAGUUCGCGAGCCGGCUCGGGUUCGAUUAUAUAUAUAUAUAUAUUUUUUUUUUUUUAUUGUAAUAGUAAAAUUACAUAUAUAUCCCUAAUAUUUAAUUAUUUGCUAAGAAAAAUUAUUAUUUUAUUCAUUUGUAAAAAUAAAAUAAUUAUUUUUUUAAUUUUUUUUAAGGUUGAACUUGACAUUUUAGCUUGUCGAACUCGAGUUAAUUUGAGUUCGAAUUUCAUAAAAUUAAGUUGAGGCUCGAGUUGAUUAGACUGAAACUCGACUUGACUCGACUCAUUCGCACUCCUAGAUUUGACUGUGGAUCACACUAAGGCCAUGCUCACGGUAAUUAACUAGCUCUUUAACAUACUAUUCCAAUACAGGGUGUGAUUUACAGGCUGUAUUUAGUUUUUUUCUCUACUUGAAAUUGGAAUUGUGUCUUAUGAAAAAUAAUGCUACUUAACAUGAAUAAGAUAAAAUUUAAUUCUAAUAAAAAGCCAGCACAGCCUUAUUUAUUUGUUUUUCUAUUCACAUCCUUAAGUUAACUAGUAAUAGGUCACGUGCUUUGCACGUGAUUAUAAUAUCAUAAAAUAUAAUAUUUCGUAUAUAUUAAAAUUUAUUUGUGAAAAUUUUUAAAAAAAUUUUAAUAUUUGCAUAUUUUCCUAUUUUCUAUUUUAUUUUUGUUUUUAUUUUUUUUAAUAAGUAGGAGGUCUUGGGUCUAGGACCCUCUACUUAUAAUCCCUUCCAUCUUACCAUCCAACCCAACUCUCUCCCUAUUUUCUUUUUUAAUAAAAUUUUCAUCUUCUUUAUUUAAUUGUCCUUAAAACCAUUAUUUUAAAAGGAAAAAAGGUUCACUAAAUGUUGUAUCAAUUCAUAUAAAAUGUCUAGAGAAUUUUUAACAAAUGAGGGUACAUUCGAUCUCUUUCAAUUUAUAAUAACGGUUUUAAGGAAAAUUAAUUAAAGAAGAUGAAAAAUUAACAUUUAAGAAAAUAAAGAUUUGACCAAAUAUGAAAUGAUUUGACAAAGGUAUCAAUAUUUUGAAUGGUAUAUGUACACUAUUGAUAAUAAUAAUUAUUUCUUUUGGUUUUUCUCUUUUCCAAGACAAAUAAAUUAUGAUAAGACAACUAAUUUUUUUUUAUUUUUAACCAGAUAUAUGAACAAUUUUUUAUUUUUUGUUUGGAGUUAGGAUGACCUGAAUUUGCAUGCUAACCAAACGUUAAUUGUUUGCCAACCAUUGGGGUUGACCCAAAGAUUAGAAAAGACUUCUUAGAGUUCUCUCUAAUGUUAGGUUCAAGAUUCAAAUCUUAUACCUAACAAUUAGGGAUGAAAAGAGCGUAAGGAGGGAUGGAAAGGUAAAAAUGAAAUAAAAUAAAAUAAAAAUAAUUGUUCACAAAAAUAUUAGUUGCAUGCAUUAUGAUUAUUAUUUUUCAUGUUACAUAAGUUGAAUUUGUCAAUUGCUUGAUGAAAUUCGUCAAUAUGAAAUCAUAUGCACUAUUUUUUUGAAAAUUGAAGAGAUAUAUAUUCUUUGAAGUUGAACUCUUUGUAUUAUUUUGUGUACUAUUUUUGUUAAUAAUGGAGUGUAAAUGAUCCACCACAUAUCAAUUUUUUCUGUCUAAUUGUUCAUUUCUUGAGAAUUAAAAUAUUAUUGGUCGAGAUAAUUGAGUUUUUCUUUUUUUUCUUUUCUUUUCUUUUAUUUUUGAAUUUUUUUGGACAGAAUCCAACAUAAAGUACAAAUGACAAAGAUUAUAUUAUUGUAAGAACACCUUGUUUUGGUAUCAAUAGUAAUAUUUUUGAAGAUUUGAAAAUUUAAUUAGGUUGUGGCUGAUCAAGAAUUUUUAAUGGAAAUGAAAAGGUGAAAACAGAAUGCAAAGAGACACAUUAUUUUUUUUUUUUAAUUUGUAGUCUUUUAUUGAUGAGAAUAAAUGUUACGCACAGAGAAACAUCAUUUUUAAGUACAGGAUUGAACUAUAAAGACAAGAAAUGAACCAGAAAUGUUUAGUGCUGAGUUGAAAAGCAAAAUAGCUCAAAUUCUCCUUUAUCCUCAGCCCUUCAUACGCUUAAUUUUUCGAAUUGAAGGCAUCCCUAAUCUGUUAAGGCGAAUUGCUCCACGAGCCAUAGUUGGGAACAAGUGGAAGGAGUCGUAUAACUUGAGUUGAUGCUCUGGAUGAGAGACGCCCACAUUGGACAAUGCAUCAGCGACCGUGUUAGCUUCUCUAUAACAAUGUGAAAAACGAUCAGGAUCUUCCACGAACUGCCAAAUCUGCCUAAUCUCUCGUCGAAUCUUCCAAGGGCAGUGAAUACAUUUCUGGAGAAUUCCAAUUAAUACCAAAGAAUCUGAUUGAAUAUAGAGAUUCUCAAAACCCCUAUGUAUGCAUGUUUGAAUGCCAAUAAGAAGAGCCCGGGCCUUUGCACUUAGACAUGUAGUUUCUCCAAGAUAUGCAGAAAAACCAAUCAAAGGAAUGCCAUGUGAAUCCCGAAGAACCCCACCUCCUCCACCCAAUCCUGGAUUACCCUUAGAAUAGCCAUCGGUAUUUAGUGUAAACCGACCAGUUUCCUUUGGUUCCCAACGAACAAGUUUGUACGUGACAUAAGUGUGAGAUGAAUACGGCCAAUCAUACAAAUGAUAGAAUGAAUGAGCCAUGAAAACUUGUUUGAAAUAAAUUUCCACAAUGGUCUGGAUUUCCAAGGAAAUGGCAAGACAAAUGGCGGGUGAUCUCAUAUGGACAUCCUCAAAUAAUGCUUUAUUUCUUGCUUUCCAAAUUUGCCAACAUACUAUACUGGGAAGAAUGCGUCCAAUGAAAUGCUGUAUCUCUGAAUCAUAUGAGUGCAACCACCAACCCACUAUACAGGAGCGUAAAGAAGAGCCUGGAAAAGUCAAUCCACAUGAAGCUCCAAAAUAAUUCCAAACUGUUGAAGCUAUAUGGCCUUUGGAAAAUAAAUGUUCAAUUGACUCCUCAGAUGCGGAAUCGCAGCAGAAACACUUUGAUGGUAAAUGUAAACCAAGUUUACAUAACCUAUCCGAUAAAGGCAGCCUCUCCAGCAACAAUCUUAACAUGAAGAAUGAAAUUUUGAGGGGGAUCUGAGGAUGCCAAAUGCUAUCAAAAACCAUAGACUUGUUUCGUACUUGCCUAAUCUCCCGAAAUGCCGAAGCUAGAGAGAAGUUUCCAGAUGUUGUGGACAUCCAAAUGAUUUCAGCUUCACCCCAGUCUUCCGGGACUGGAUGCUCUAAAAUAGAGGGGACCAGAUCCGUCGGCAAUGUCUGAUAUAAUCUAAUCACAUCCCAGUGUCCAUUGAUGAUAAAAUCACCAAACUACAAAUUAGAGACAACCGUCGUACGGAGAAACAAGGCACCCCCUCCCAACCAAUUGUCAUACCAAAAAUGACAAGCUCCAUUUUUUAUAUCCGAUAGCAUAGAUAGCUCCACUUGUCGACUUACAUUGACCAUCCUUCUCCAGAUUGCGAAGUCCAUUGACCUGAUUUCCACCUGACAAGGAUGUAGUAGUCUACAAUACUUAGCUUUCAUGAACGAAGCCCACAACGAGCAUCCCUUUCUGAAAUUCCACCAAAGCUUGAAUGAGAAUGCUGUGUAGAUGUCCUGUAACCUCCGGAAACCAACUCCUCCCUCAUCUACCGGAUAGCACAUCUGAGACCACCGUAUCCAGUGAAAUUUUGACUCCUCGGAGGAUGACCCCCAUAGGAAGGUCGAGAAAGCUUUUUCUAUAGUUCUAAAUACCUUACCCGGGAUAGCCGCUGCUGACAACAGAUGUACUGGCAUCGUUGCCAACACAUGUUUGAUUAGAACUAUUUUACCUCCAAGAGAAAGCAUCCUUGAUUUCCAUGACCUUAUUCUCCGCAAAGAGACACAUUAGUUUGGAGUGUUAUAUUUUGUUUAUUAUCUUCAAAAUUCAACUUUAAUUAAGGUUACAAUCUUUUUUCAUAACUACAAUAGUUAUUGCUAUUGAUAAGUGCAUAUUUUACAUGUUUUUAAGUGUGUUUUAUUAGUUAGUUUUAGUGUGUUUUAACUACUUUUAUUUAGUUUUAGUGUGUUUUAACUACUUUUAUAGCUAAUUAAUUAGGAUUCUAGUGAAAAUAUGCAUUUUGUAGUUUAAGUAGUAAAAAUUGCAUUUCUAUGGAUUUCUAUGGUGAAAAUUUCAUGUUUUUUUAUAGGUUUAAUGAUUCAAUCAUCAAUUGGAGUGAUUUGAGAAGAUAAUUGGAUGAUUGAUGAUGGUUUGAAAUGAUAAAAAGAGAAUAUGAAGUGCAAAAGGGAAAUGCAAUCAAGAAUAAAAGGAAUCAAGUUUCACAGUUUUGACCACCUUGUGGUAUUUCGACAAUAUCUUGAGCUACAAGCAUCGGAUUGAGGUGAUUCGUGAACCAUGUGAAGCUUAGAGAUAUAUCUACAUUUGGUAUGGAGAUAUCGAAAUCCAGUUCAGUCAUUUUCCUUGUUAGAAAGUCGAAAUACAGAAGUGCAUUUUCAUGGCCGAAAGCUGAAACAGAGUUCUGACCAAUCGAGGGUAUUUUGGUCAUUUAUUAGUCCACAAAACUCCAAAUUAGAUGAUUCUUUACGCAUUGGAAAGCUAAUUCAAAGGGCUACAACUUUCAUAUUUUGCACAAGAGUUCAACCUCCAUCAUCAAGAAAAAAUUAGUGAAAGUUGGGAAAAAUAGAGCACAUAAAUCCGAGUUUCGAUAUGUACUAAACCUAACCUCAGAUAAACUUCUGUAAAUCAGAGGCUACAUCUGAGAGGAGGAUCCGAGCUCGGACCCCAUGUUAUAGGCCUUAGAUCCUAAUGUGCAGUAAAGAUAAAAAUGAAAAAAAAUGAGAUCAGAGGGCUAUUUUAAGUGAUUCAACCUCGGAUCUUGCCCUUGGCUCUGCAACUUGUACUCUGUUCAUACAUGCUUUUUGGCCAAUUUAUCUGCAAGAAAUUCGACUGGAACUGACCAAGCAAGUAUAUAGAAUUCAAGAAGUAUCUUUUGGUGAUUCCAAGGAGCAAUUUACAUCAACUUUAACAACUCAUCUUGAAUUUGAAUUCCUCUAUAAAUAGAGGCCUCGAAGGACAUUUUCACAACUUUGGAAUGCUAGAGAAACUCACCAAAAAUGUAGUCUUCACUAGAGUUUCCUUAGUUCAUUAGUUAGGUUAGUAUAGUAUAGAAUAGUUUAGGAAGUUAUGUGUGUUAUCCACUCUUGUAUAUUGGCUAGAUUAGGAUGAAGAUGGAGGUGAAGAAGAAGGAGAUAAAGCUCAUGUGACAAGGGUUAUCUCUUCUCCAACUCUUUAUCUUUUGUAUUGGAUUCUUAAGUAUGGUUAAUAUGCAAGUUUUGGAUUUGUGUUUCAAUAUGAUUUUCUAAAGUUUAUGCCUAGAGUUAUGGAUGAACUUGCUAUAUCUUAUUAGUGAUGUUUACUUGGUUAUUUGAUGAUAGCAAGUUAUUUAUCACUUUUGUUUAUCUAAUCAUGAUUAACUGCCCAUUAAUUAUGAUAAUCUUAAGGUGUUAUGUUUGUAAUGAAAAUUGAAAUUUAGCACUAGUUCAAGGAAGUGAUAAACCUAGGGACUACACUCACGAAAGUAGAGAUGCACCUUUGUGGCUUUGGUGACUUGUUUCAUGUAAUUUCUUAGAAGGAAUGAGCUUGUAGUUAGUUUCAUAACCACGAAAGUAGGUAUGAAUUAACUAUAGGUACAGUUGGUACACCGGCGAAAGCGGGUAUCAUGUACAUUAGGAAAUUAUGCCAUAACUAGUCAAGAUAAUAGCAUUCGAGUAACCGGUAAUGUCAUUUGCAAGAGUAGUUAGGAAUUUCAUAUAUCUAAGAGCUUUUUAUUGCUAUUUUUAUUACUUUUAUUUGAUUUUUAUAGUGUAGAUUUAAUUUCUUGCACUUAUGAUAGUCUAAAUAAUAAAAGAGUUCGAAAAUCAUAGGUAAUUGACAAUCUUCCCUAUGGGAUCGAUGCCUAAUAACCCUAUGUUCAAUAAACAAUUUGUAUACUUGCGAAAAAUCACGUGUGGGGUAUUUAGGAAUUAUAAAUAUAAAACUUCAUUGUGAAAUAAGUUAAUUGAUAUAUGUAUACCCCGCGCUCAUCAAGUUUUUGGUGCUGUUGCCGGAGAAGAUUUGCUCAAUAUCUGUACUAAGAAUAAUUUUAUUAAUUUAGACAUUUUUUCUUGCUUUUCUUGUUUUUGUUUUAUUAAGUGUCUUAAUUGUUAUGUUUAGUGUCUUAUUGAGUCUUUAUUUGUAUGUCUUUAUAUGUGUCGAGUUAUCUAUUUUUCUUGAUUAAACUUGUUUUUGAGUUACCUUGAAAGCAUGUUUAGGGGUUCAAGGAAAGUAGAAUACAUGGGCGCACAAUGCUUGAGAAAAUGGAAGAUCGGUUAUGGAUGAUCAUCAAGUGCAAAGUUCGUUGAAUAGAGGUAAUCAAGAAAUUAUCAAAGGUAUGUCAUUCGAAGAUGGUUUGAGGUGCUUAAAAACUAAAUGUGAUGUUAUAACGUUAAAAGUUCAAUUGAACACUAUUACGAAUAUGCUUGAACAAAAGAGGAAUGCUAAUGCUGUCAAUUCUUAUCAUGUAAUUUGUGACUUGUGUGGAGGUUAUCAUGAUACUCAUACAUGUAUCCAAGCAUAAACUGUGGAUUAUUAUGAUGAAUUUGGGCAUUAUAAUUCUUGUUUUGAUCAAUGUAACCCUAAUUGAGAUAGUUCUUAUGCUUACGGUUGGGAUAAUCAAUGUGUAUAUAGUGAUUUUUCAUGUCUUCAUGAUUACCAAUCUGAAUGUGUCCAAUAUGAAUCAAAACCAUCUUGAGAAUUGGCAAUAGAAAGAUUAGCUAAUGCAUAUUUACCUUGGGAAUUAGAAGUGAACCAUUAGCUAAUAAUCCUAAUGCAUCUUGAGAGUUAGUUAUAGAAAAAUUUUCUAAUCAAUUUGAUUUAAUUAUAGAAAAGCUAGCUAAUGCGACCUCCGAUCGUUUUGCUAGAAUUGAGGAAAGAUUAGAUGAAUUAUCUUCUCACUUUGGUAGAAUACAAGAGCAAUUGCAUAAGUUGUGUGAAGUUAUUUUUUCUAACGAUAUGCACUAUGACCCUAUCAUGAAUGGUGAUUAUGUUACAAGUGAAAGUGGAUUACAUUUUGAUGAAAAUGAUGAAUCUCAAUUGUGUUUCAAUGAGAAAAUGUCCAUUUCAGAUGAUAAUACCUUCAGAGCUAAUCUUGAACCUCAAGAAGUGAGCCUUAACAACUCAUUUUUAACCUCUCUUGAGGAAUGUAUUGUGAAUAUAGGUUUUAAAGGUAUUAUUGCCCAAGACAGACAUACAAACAUUCCUUUGGUGAGUGUUCAAGUGAUAUACGUUCAAGGUAAUAUCUAUGAAAUACUUGAGAUAAGUAAGUCACUUCCACAUCUCAUAUCACUAGAACACAUGCCUUUUGUUGUUAAGCCACCUUUUAAUGAUCCACCAUGACCUAUAAUGGUAGAUUAUUCGUUAACAAAACCUCCUUGAAAAGUGAGGUAAAAUAGUCAAGCUAAUGACUAUAAAGAAUCGCUUGUUGGGAGGCAACCCAACGAUUCUAGUUUUUUUAGUAGGUUUUAGUUAUUUGAUUAGUAUUUUUGUAUGUUUUGUAGGUAACAAUGACAAGAAGUCAUGCAAAUUAUUUCAAGUACAAAAGAGCUUAUAAGAAGUGGAGACUGCCGUGAAAAAGGGAAGCUUAACCUUUAUUUUUGAGUUAACAAUGUUUAAUUUCAUGAUAUGAGAUUAAGUUAGUCAUUUGUAUGAAGUUGAAGUGCAUUUAAGUGAUUAAGUAUGUUCAUGAUCUAUUUGCACUAUUUUGAACCAUUUGAACACCAUCAUAUGCAUUGGAAGUGUCGAGGGGACUAUUUGAUCCAAGAACAUGAACCCUAAAUUUGCAUUCUACAUGUUUCUUAUUUGUUUUGAGGUGUUGAGAUUCAUGUUUAAGUCACUUUUCAUGUGCGUAAAGUGCUGAAUUGUUGAACAUUUCGUUGUAGAGCACAAAUUGAAGAUUGUGUUUUGAAUUGGGGUCAAAUUGAAAAUUGUAGAAAAUUCUGCAAUAAGUGCAGAUUCAAUGGAUCCGAGACCUGGGAUCUACUUCUGCAAUCAGAGAACAAAUUUGAUUUUUUUUAUCUGAGUUCAAUCAUCAUGAUCCGACCUCGGAUCCUUUCAAAAAUAAUUCAAAAACGAAAGCUCGGUUCACUUUUCCUUAUUCUUCCCUCUCUUCCUCCUUCAACUCCACACACACACGCAUACCUCAAACACACACUACUCACUAAAUUCCUCUUUUCACCAUCAAAUCUUCAAACUAACUUCACCAAAACACUCCUCUUACCUUCUAGAGUGGUUUUCAUGGUUUAAUUCUUUCAAAAACAUCUCCAAAUUUGAAUUUAAGAUUCAAGUAGGUAGGGUUUCAUCUUCUCAUAUUUUGCAAUUGUGCCCAAAUUGGAGUGAGUUUCUUGAGGGUUUUCACAUCAUUUUCAUCUCUAAUCGUCAACAAACCAUUUUGAGGUAACAAAUCUUCACCUAACUGUAGACACCAAAUUUUUGUCAAUUUUCAAUGUUUUCUUGAAUUUUUUUUCUAUUUAAUGAAUUAUUUAUUUUCUUGCAUUUUAAUGUGCAUUUUUCUCAUUUUUUGCGGGUUUGUUUAAAAAAAAAGGGGAAGAAAGAAAAAAACAAAACACAAAAAAAAACAACAAAAACUAAAAAAAAAAGGAGGAAAAUUAAGAAAAUAAAAAAAAUCAUUCUAAUCAUUUUUUUUCCACCAAAAUACAUUUAACCCAUUUCACACUCAAUGGCCAUGGACUUGUCUUUUCAUUAGUUGAGAAAUCAUCAUUUUGGAAAAUUCAACACACAAGCUCCAUUUUUGGCUACAAGUCCCUCUCGGCUCUCUCUUGAAAAAAAAGGAGAAAAAAAAACACACAACUAUAAAGGGGAGGCUCUCGGCUCUCUCUCUGGUCUCGACCAAAAAGAAGGAGAGAAGCCACAAAAGUAAAUUUUUCCCUCCCUCUCUCGGCGGACUCAAAACGGACAGAAAAAAAAAAGAAGGGGGGACACUCUCUCGGCCUUUUCUUUUGCUCUGAACAAAACCAAGACUCCAAUUUUUUUUCCCUCUCAAUACAUCUCUCGGACUUCCUCUCUCCCAAUAUUUCCACAACACCCUUGCAGACAACAAAAGGGAGGCAGCGACUGGUUGGGCUAUUGGAGCUUGGCAAUCUCAUCAAAAACUUUGGCCAAGGGACCAAGGUCUUCAUUGAGGUAUUUCUUGUCCUUUUUUCCAGCCUUUCUUUUUUUUUUAUUUAACUAGAUUAAAUGUAUGUGUGAUUGUUUGUGUGUUGUUUUAUUUUGCUGGUUUUGUUGUUAUUGUAUCGGUGAAAUUUUGGGAAGAUCAUAAACCAGAUUUAGGAAAAGGAAAUGUUUCUUGUGAAUGCAUGUUAAUUGUUUGAAAAAAGGGAAAAUCGUCCAAAACAUCCCUCACAUUUUGUAAAAUGACUUUUUUCGUCCCUCACUUUUAAAAAUGUAAUUUUAUGUCCCUUACAUAUUCACAUCGGUCAAAUUUAAUCCCUAACUAGGUUCCGAUCAUUUUUUGGCCGGAAUCCAUCACGUGCCUUGCACGUGAUCAUUUUUUAAAGGUAAAUUUGUCAAAUUAUAUUUUACAUAAUCUAAUCUAUAGUCCUCCACAUUUUAUAAAAUAAAUUUUUUCGUCCCUCACAUUUUAUAAAAUGAUUUUUUCAUCCUUCACAUUUCACAAAAAGAAUUUCUCCAUCCCUCACAUUUCAAAAAAUGAAUAUUUCCAUCCCUCACUAAUUAUGUAUGUGAGGGAAACCCUAAAAAAAAUGUGUGUGAAUACAUUUUGUUUAACACACAAGUAUAUGUCUAUUUGAUUUUGCUUAAUAAUCCGAAUAGCAUAAAUAUAUGUAUGUGUCUAUUUAAUUUCAAUUAACAAUACGAAUACCUUAUAUUAUACGUGAUCAUUUGAUUUCAUCUGGUAUUAGCUAGUAAAUAAUCUUGCAUUCAUUGUCAAGUUGGCCAAUAAAGCUAUUUUCAGUCAAAAUACAAUAAAAAUAUGCAAAUUAAGGUUCUAUUGAUAAAUAUUAGUCAUAAUCAUACAAAAAAAGAAGAUAGCCCACAAGUUGGACCCAAUUACAUACAUGUGUUUAUACUACUAUUAUUAAACAAAAUCAAAUAAACAUGUUUAUGUGUUUAAACAAAAGUAUUCACACACAUAAUAAGUGAGAAAUGAGAAAUUCAUUUUGUGAAAUGUGAGGGAUGGAGAAAUUCAUUUUGUGAAAUGUGAGGGAUGAAAAAAAUCAUUUGAUAAAAUGUGAGGAACGAAAAAUUUUAUUUUAUAAAAUGUGGAGGAUUAUAGAUGAGAUUAUGUAAAAUAUAAUUUGACAAAUUUACCCUUAAAAAAUGAUCAUGUGCCUUGCACAUGAUGGAUUCUGGCCAAAAAAUGAUCGGAAACCUAGUUAGGGACUAAAUUUGUCCGAUGUAAAUAUGUAAGGGAUAUAAAAUUACACUUUUAAAAGUGAGGGACGAAAAAAGUUAUUUUACAAAAUGUAAGGGACGUUUUGGACAAUUUUCCCUUGAAAAAAUGCCAAAAUGAAAAAAAAACUGAAUUUUAGGGACUGUUUUGCCUUAAUGUAAUCUUUUGUUGUUGUUUUCUUGUUAGCUAAGAUUAUAGUUGUAAAUGUGGAGAUUAUAAGUGUAGACACCAAAUUUUUGAUUUUUUAACUUUAUUUGUUUAAUAGAUUUAUUUGUUUCAAUUCUAGGGUUUUUAUUUUAUUUUAUUUUGUUCUAGUUUAUUUUAUUUUAUUAUUUAUUUUUUGUCUUCAUACUAAAUUUCAGAAAAAAAAAGAAAAAAGAGAGAAAAAAAAGUAAAAAUGACAAGUAGAGGGGGCAUGCAUGGGACAAGUGUCCCUCUUGUAUUUUGGACAACAAGGCAUUUAAGGGGGUUAGGUGUUAGAUUUUUGGUGACGGGGAAAAAAAAGAAAACUGGAGGGAGCCGAUAGUAAGAGGGGCUUGGGGAGCAAAAACAGGAAAAAGGGCGAAAAGCCGAGAGGGGUUUUAGGGCUGGAAGAAAGGAGGAGAUUAACGGCUGGGGGGACUGGAAAAGGGGACGGCUGAGAGAAAUUAAAAAGGAGGGGAGAUUGGUGAAGAAAAGACAGAGGGUAAGGAAAAGAAACAGAAGAGGGGCGGCAGACAGAUAGAGCUAAAAAAACUGACUAAGGGAAGGCUAAAGGAAGAGACAGAGGGGCUUGGUGGAAGAAAAAGAAGAACAGGGGCGGAGCAGAGAGCUAACGCGAGAGAGAAAAACAACAACGGAGGAAAAAGGCAGAGGAAAAAGGAAAAAGCAGGGGUGGUGGGCAAGGAAAAACUAUCGAACAAAAAGAGAAAAAGAAGGAAAGGAGGGCUUCGGAGACUAUGGAGAAAGAGAGAAAGCUAAAGGAAGGAAGAAAGAGGGCUUCGGCUACGGGGAAGGGUUGAACGGAUAUGGAAAAAACCUAAAAAUGGGGAGGAAAUUUCAGUUUGAACGAUCGAAAAGGAGAGAAAUUUCCAAUCACCACCGCCGCAAUCCAAGCUCUGCCACGGCAUCUCCACCUCGUGCGCCACUUAGCUGACUGACGCACCUCCCAUUCCCGCGCGGCCCUUCUCCGCCCCAGAUCUCCUCUCUUCCUCACGCCGCCCGCCCAAGCCACCAUCAGUCCGCAUUCGCUGCUGUUGCUGUCU
RNAcentral lists this long non-coding RNA (162497 nucleotides) under Coffea arabica (coffee). RNAcentral's name for it is "long non-coding RNA (CARA_LNC004316)". The record is from RNAcentral. Lineage: Eukaryota; Viridiplantae; Streptophyta; Magnoliopsida; Gentianales; Rubiaceae.